This 90061-nucleotide long non-coding RNA is filed under the name Glycine max (soybean). RNAcentral describes it as "long non-coding RNA (GMAX_LNC003738)". The record is from RNAcentral. Lineage: Eukaryota; Viridiplantae; Streptophyta; Magnoliopsida; Fabales; Fabaceae.
AUAUGCUCACUGGUGGGAUACCUACAGAAUUAAGCAAUUUGAACUUUCUUGAAGUCCUAAAUCUUUCCAAUAACCAUCUUGUGGGAGAAAUACCUCAAGGAAAACAGUUCGGUACUUUUUCCAAUGAUUCCUAUGAGGGAAACUUGGGGUUAUGUGGACUCCCAUUGACAACAGAAUGCAGCAAGGACCCUGAACAACAUUCUCCACCUUCAACUACCUUCAGGAGAGAACCAGGAUUUGGAUUUGGGUGGAAACCAGUGGCUAUAGGAUAUGGAUGUGGAAUGGUCUUUGGAGUGGGAAUGGGAUGUUGUGUAUUGUUAAUAGGAAAGCCUCAAUGGCUUGUGAGAAUGGUUGGAGGUCAACUAAAUAAAAAGGUGAAAAGGAAGACAAGGAUGAGAUCUAAUGAAAAUGGUAGCAGAAUGAAUUAGUUGAUAUAUGGCAUGACUGGAGAAUGUCUUGUUCCAUACCUGCCAUCUUUGAAAACAAAACUUAAGGGCAAGAACUUUAUCACACUGCAUUGCAUGGGAGAUCUGGUUCAAAGUUUUGCUGUAAUAUGAAUGUGUUAUACUUUUGCUUUUUUUGUGUGUUCCUUUUUGUUUUUUACGGGUAGAAGAGUGCGAUGUAUUGAGCUUGCAGUUUUGAUUUAUUUAAUAAGUAUAACUGUGGCAUUAAUUGGUUGUAUAAUAAUAGAUGUUGUAUAUUUUAAAAAAAUCAUAUGUAUUGGCCAAUGCUAAAAUAUAUUGUAUCUUAAUUCAAGGAGCUGAAUUCACGGUUUUAGCUUCUAUUGUAGACUAUUUAAUUAAUUUGCUAACUAUUUAACCAGCGUGACAUGGCUUUAGAAGCUGAGGUCCAGGGCGUAAGUAUAAGAGCACAAACAAUGCAUACUAAAGGAAGGCCAUGGGUAUAGUCUAGGCCACAUGGUCCGUAGGAUAUCACAUAUUUAUUUUUUAUUAAAUUGUCACUCAAAAAAAUCAACAUUGUCAUUAAAUAAACCAGUGUGCUGUACAAUAAUUCACUUUUUAUCAUUCAAAAGAAAAAAUAAAACUGUUUUAUAAUAUUUACCUUAAUGAUUAAAUAUAUUUUUGUCUUUAAUAAAUAGUUGAUUUUUUUUUCUUCCUAAUAUAUUUUUUUUUUGUUUUGAGUACCUUAUAAAACAAUAAUUUUAUUUUUUGUCUUAGAUAUUUUGUUGUAAUCUCUAAUAAAUUAGUGAAUUUUUUUUACUCCCUCUUGAAUUAUCUAAUUUUAUUUUAGUUCCGACUAAUAACAAAUAAAAAAAUUAUCAAAAAAUAAACACACAAUUUGUGAAUUUAUCAUGGACUAAGAAAAGUAUCAAGGACUAAAAUAAAAUGAUUUUUUUAUUUGAAACUCAACGUAAAGUAAAAAUUUAUUAAAAAUUAAAUAUUUAUUAGGGAUUAAAAUUACAAUUAAAACUUAUCUUAAAGAUUAAAUUUAUUAUAAUUUUUUUAAUUGAUUCACAAGAUAUAAAUAUUUACACUUGUUAAAAUAUACUAUAAUUUCUCUUAAAUUAUUUUAAUGAAAAGCAAUAGUAAAAUAGUAGGAGCUUAAUCUAAGUUAUGUUCGGCAAAUAUCAAGUAAAAUUGGUAAGAGUGUGAGAAACUUCAUUAUUUAUCAUUUCCAACUAUGUCCAAUUAUGUGGAUCAACUAAUGUGGGUUGUUGAGCUAGAGACUCUUGCGAAAAAAUAUUGUCUGAUAAUGAGAAGAAUACAUCAUAAAAAAAAUAGAAAAGAUAAUAAAUUUGUUUAAUAUGGUUCAUACUCUCAUCCUUGCAUUGACAAUCUCAUACAUUUUAAGGACAAUCUAGACAAACUUACUAAAAUUCCCUCCUAACGACUUCCCUCUCUUUGUUAGGGUAGUAACAUUUUCUUCACACCGGAUGCAGUGAUUCUUUUCAUUUCAAAAAAUCUUUAUUUAUAGACCUAACAUUUUAAUCUUAAAUGAAUUUAAAUCUUUAAUUUACAAAUAAUAUAUUUAAUUCUAAAUGGUAUCUUAAAAAUAAGAUAAUAUCUUUUUUAAAAUCUAAACAAUAUCCUAUAAAUUUUUUAAUCAUUGAUUGAACCAUCAUUAAUUCCUACAUCCACAACCUCUAUAUAAGUUUUUAUGACAAGUUAGACAAACUUGCAAACCUUCCCUUAACAUGACUCAAUCUCUCUUGGAGUGUUGACCUAAGCUGAGUGAUUAUUCUUAUCUCAUAAAUCUUAUUUUAUAGACAUAACAUCCUAGUCUUAAAUGAAGAAACAAAUACCUAAUUUAUUAAUAAUAUAUUUAAUUUUAACAACAUUCUAAAAAUAAGAUAAUAUCUUUUUUUAAGAAAACAAUAUCUUAUAGAUUUGAGAAUAUAAAUUUGAAUUGUUUCCGAAUAAAGUCUUGGGUAUGCAGUUAAAUAUUUGAAGAAAAUUUUUUAUCAUUCAUAAUAAUCAUAUUGACUCAAAUAAGAUUAUCUUCAAUGGAAUAUACCUACUAUCCGAAAGAAAAACCUAAGAUGUAAGAUAUACCAAGAAGCAAAGUUGGACUUAUGUAGAUCAACCAACUAAUCCCUAUACCCACUCAUCACCCAAGCUCAGUCAAAACUCGCUUGAGCCCCAACCCUGCAUCUAGGGGUGGAAAUGAGUCGAGCAGUUUGUCGAGGGCCUUUGGCUCGGCCUAUGUAAGGCUUGCCUUUGCUCAGCUUGUUUACUAUAAAGGUCAAGCUCAAACUUUUUUAAAAAGUCUUUUUAGAUAAAAAGGUCAAGCUCAAACUAUAAAAAAAACUUGUUAAGUUUGUCAAGCCGACUUGUUUAACUAAUAAUAAUAAUAAUAAUAAUAAUAAUAAUAAUAAUAAUAAAUUUAUUUUAUCAAAUCUUAUCUUAUCCAGAUUUUAUUCUAUCUAGAUUUUAUUUUAUCCAGAUUUUAUUCCAUCUAGAUUUUAUUUCGUCCAGAUUUUAUUUCAUCCAAUCUUAUCUUAUCUUGUCUAGAUUUUAUUUUAUUUCGUUUUGGGCUUGGACUUAAAAAUAGAUUUGUGAGCGUUGGGACUGAGGACCUAUAUAACAGCACCAAGGUUUUAGUUUAGGCAGUUUUUUUUCGGAGAGGAGAAUAAUUCUAGGAUUUUAGAAUUCCAGUUUUUAUUACUGUUCAUGCACACUGUUCACGUAAAAUAAAAUUUGUUUUCUGCAAUUUCGUUUCGGCUUCAAUCUACAAUUUCGUUUCCACUGAUUAAUGGAAGACUAAGUCUCCAGCAUUGUUUUGUCUUGAGGAUCAAGCACAACUAUCUUUGAGUUUUUGUUAUUACUAUUGAAUAAUGAUCAUUUUUUUCUCUUCACCAAUUACUUUGUAUUUGUUGCUAUUAAUCCAUGCAUGUUUAGUGUUUGAUUAAUUGUCUCUGCGCUUAAUUUACGUUCAUGCUUAAUGAUCAGUUUCGUUCAUGAUUAAUUGGUGCCUGUGUUGUUUAAUCACAUAAUGACAGCCUUAUGUUAAUUUUCGCUUAGUAAUUUAAGUUAGGGUUGGAUUAAGUGGUUGAACUGAUUAAGGAUAAAUUCUCGUAACCUAGGAUAAGAGACUUGCUUGUGAAUGAAGGGGAAACAUGUUUUAAUUCUGUUAUUUUCUAAUUCAAAUUUGUUUGCUGUUUAAUUUACAAUUUUAUUACUAUCUGUUAUGAACGUUUGGUUGACCAUUGCUUGUUGGGAGACGACCUAGGAUCACUUUCUAGAUACUGCAUUUUUAAUGUUUAUUUGAUUUGGGUACGACCUCAAUCAAUAGUAUAUAAGAUAUGGCUUGAGUAGACUAAGAAGAAAUUAUUGUAGAUAUAUUUUAAAAUAAUAUAUUUAAUAUAAUUAUAUAUUCUAAAAAUUGAAUUAAAAAUUGUUAAUUUAACUAAUAAUAAUUUUUGUUUGGCUAUAUUAGUGUAAAUCAUCUUUAAUCUAUACAUUUUUUAAUAUUAUGCUCUUUUUAUUUUCUUUUGAUAUACUUUGUGUUUUAACGACUUGAAUUCAAUAUGAUUUUGUUUAUCAAUUAUUUUUGGAUUUGUACAUUACUUAUACGAAAUUUUAUAAGUUUCUUUUUUUAGUUAGUAUUUCACUAGGUUUUAAAAUAAUUAAUUAAUCAAAGACAUCCUUAAGCAAACUUUUAAAUAGACUCGUGGGUCAAGCCAGACUUUUAUGUAAGCCGGACUGAGCCUUAAAAAAAAGCCUAUAACAGGUAAUGAGCCAAGCUCAAGCCUUACUUAUUCAAGUCCAGCCGAACUAAAGCCUAGUAAAACUUGGCCUGAUUUGGCUCAUUUCCACCCCUACCUCCAUCGCUUAAGCUCUUAGCCAACACCACUAAAGCUACAUCAAGAAACAUGUUAGUUUUUGUGCCCAUUCUAGCUUAAGCGCUACCCAACACCAUUUAAGCUACUUCAAACUAAUUUACUCAAAUUAAAAAUAAUAAUGAUUCUACUAUUUAAUCACUACACAUUAAAUACCUAAUUUAUUUUCCGCACAUCACGCAACUGGUCCAUUUAUCUUUAAAUCUAAUUAAAAAAAUUAUAAAACUCUUGAACCCCAGAAAUAUGUCUACGUUCUGUUAUAGUUUAAUUUUAAUUUCCUUCCCCAGAAACAAUAAAAAAAACACAUUCUCAGCUGUGUUUUACCUUUUUUUUAAGGACCUUACCAUGGUUUUCUGUAACCACUCCCGUAAGGUUGAUUUGAAAAAAUUAAUAUAUAAAACGAUUCCCUCCCUAAGAACUGAUUUCUUAUUGUAAAAACGAAAAAAAAAAAAAAAACAGGGAUGAAAAUUUGAUUUACGGGAAAUCAAUUUCGCACUCAUGAAAAAUAAAUAAUAAAUUAUAUCAUGCAUGAAAUAAUUAUUAAUUUAUAUCAUUUGGGUGAAAAAUUUCCCAAGUAGUCCAAUCCAAAUAAUAAAUAAACUAAACCAACACUUUCCUAAAUUGAAAUAAGAUCAAUAUCCAAUCCAAACAAUAAUCAAACUAAAGUACCUAUUUCUGACGUAGAAAAGGAGAUUUCAAAUAAUUAUAAAAUCCUAAAACAACAAGAUAAAAUAAUUUUUUUUGGCAUACUUAGAAAAUUAUUAAAAAUAUAUCAAAGCUGAAAUAAAAUUCACAAAAAUUAUUAAUAGCAUUAUCUUUAUUUUUUCCUCCACAGUUAAUUAUAUAUUUUAUUAACAAGAAUUACAUUGCUAAAGAAGUUGGCGAUUUUUAUCAUUGAAAGAGAUAAAAAAGAACCCUUACAACUUACAUUGAAAUAUACUUUAUAGAAAAUUUCUAAAUAAAUAGUUUCAAUAAACUGCAAUAUUUAAUCAUAUUUCACCAAAAAAAUUAUAAAUAAUCAUAUUAUUUUUAACAUAUUUCUUCUACAUUCAGUUAAUAGUUUGGUACUUUAAGUAUAAUUAUUUGAAAUCUCCUUUUCUACUUCAGAAAUAGGUACUUUAGUUUUUUACCCAAAAAAUAUAUAUUAUUUUUAACAUAUUUAAAAGAGGUGAAAAAGAGUGAAUGAGUGGUGACCUUCUUGACCAACCACAGAAGCAAAGUGUCUUCUCUUUCUCUUUGCAUUGAAUUAAAAAAUGCCGAGCAGGGGAUCGAACAUUCUACUCUAUCAAUCUCAAAACAAGCACAAAAUAUUUUAUGAGCCAUCAUAAAAUACCUAUCCCCUGUACCUUAUGAACUUAUUGAACUAAAUUUAGGUAAAAAGCUAACUUGUGACAAGUGAAAGCAUGCUAACCUGUGACAAGUAUGAUACUGUGACUUAUCAUUGAAGUCCUCUUAGAAUAAAGCUAACCUGUGACAAGUGAAAGCAUGCUGCCUCAAUUGCAUUGGCUGACCAUGACCUCCCAAUAUUGUUCUUUGCUGUGGACAAGUUAUUGAUGUGAAAAAAAUUCAGAAUAACAUUGAAAGUGCUCAUUGCAACUUUUCCAAUCAUGUUCUUUGCUGUUACAAGACAAUAUUCUGUUUUUCUUUAAUCUUUUUAAUAUCCAGAAACUUGAAACAAUGACCAGUCCUGUUACUGCAGUAAGAAAUUAAGAGAGAGACAAAGUAGACCUGAUGGUAAUGGAAUUAUCAUAUCCAUUAAAAAAAGUUUGUGCUUUUCUCUGCCUAAUUGUUCUGGUGAUGAAACUUUAGAAGAUUUAAAUCCAUACGGAACGGAUUUAGAUUUUAGAACCCAUGAAAACUAUGGAGCAGCUGAUACAAUGGUGGUUAUGGACAUUAUCAUAUUCAUUACCAAUAAUAUUAGUCAUUUAAAUAGUAAUAAUUUGUUGAUUUUUUCAGAGAAAAUGGUUACUAGAGAUUCAAAGCAUAUAGACAGUAACUGACGAAUCUCUCAUUCCCCACCUUGCUUUAUUGCACUAAUAAGAAAAGUACACACUACACAGUCAAUUAGAGUGUAUGAAGUAGUGAAGUUACUGCCGAAUGUCUACUCUACCUUACCUGGUCCUUUCUCACCACUACUUCCAUUUUAACUUUGGCAACAAAAUUGUCUUCUGGAAAUUCGGAGCCUGUGAGGAAUACACGAUUAGUUAAAGACAAGGGUGUAAGUGAAAGUGAGCAUGUGACAUUUCUAAAAGAUCUAUAUGCAUAAAAGCAAGUAUAGAACUCAAAGCCAAAGGAAAAAAAUGUAUCUCUUGCACUACAGGUGAUUAAAAUGAGUUACGAACUUAAAACACAGCUAAAGUUGGUUGGCCACACAGGUAUGGAUGAAAACUAAUUACUAACGAUUAGUUUCAGAAUGAAAAAAAAAUGGAAUGAAGACAAUAGAAGAAAAAAAAACUACUUUAAAGUGAGUUUGUUUGUGAGGUAAACAAGGGUGUAUUUAGUAUUUGCCCUUAAAUUUUAGUGGGUUAAGAUUGCAAUGCAUUUUAAAUUAAACUAAGGAUGAAUGCACACUAUCACUUACUUUACAGAAUAGCUCAAUUUAGGAGUCUUCUUUAUGGAAGGACAUAUAUUCAGUAUUCAAGUACUUGUAGUCAGCUAUGACUUACUUCCCUGCCUCUCUUUUGAACCACCCUGAGCACCAAAGCCCCUGACAUCAGAUACAGUGACACCACGAAUUCCCAUUUUCAACAAAACCUUCGAAUCAAGAAAACUAAAAUUUAGUAUCAGCAUAAACUUGGUAAAUCUAAUGGCACAAGACAAAAAGUCUACCAGCUACAUUAGCCAGCCAAGCCAAAAUUGUUCGAGAGUGGAGAAGGUAGUUGCUUUUCUCUAACACUGUCAAUUAGGACAAAAACAACUUACCAACUUAUAGCAUGUUUGGCUAACAGUUGCAACUUUUCUAAAUGCUCAAAAUAAAAUAUACAAAGAGUAUUCUUCUCCAGGAGUACAUUCAAUUCAUUAUCCAAAAUCAAAAAGUACCUUUAGAACAGUUAUCCGAACAAGCACUCAAUUAACAAAAAGCCACAUCUCUCUUUCCAAAGAAGAUGCCCCUUUCCAUAGACAGUCAGUGAGAAAUCAAUGCAGUAUUUUCACUUCUUUCAGAACAAAUUAUUAGUAGUAACAACAACUAACAAGCACCUCUUAAUUUGCACGGAUUACCAACUGCUAGAAAUCUACUGCUUAGCUCCACUUCAAGAAAACACAAGUAUCAAAGUGAAGGGAUGUUGUGGCAAUGCAUUCAAUACAGUGAAAAUAACAAUACUACAUUUUGCUGUAGAUACCCCACGGUAUAUAUAAAUUAAACCCUAAAAAACAUCAGUCAAAAGGUAAUGUCGUACCAACGAAAGUUGACGUUCACCGUUGGAACAGCGAAUUUUGAUAUUCACCAUUUGCGGCGUUCCGCUCUGUGGUGGCACUCUCAGUGGCAGCGGCAUCACCUCCCAUGUUGUCCUUCAUCCAAAGCACGGCGGGAGGAGAUUGAUGUUCACCACUCCUUAAUAAUUGAAAUUGAGGGAGAAAGGGAUUGAAACCCUAACCCUAGAAAGAUUGAGGAAGAAUUGGAAGAAUUUGGGAGAAAGUGAAAACGGAGAGAAAUUGAGAGAUGACACACAGAAAUCCGGACGGAAAUUAAUUAAGAAAAUAAAAAAAUAUUGUGUUGCAAGAACUGGGUGCGGAUGAAAAAAAAUACUUACACAUACAAACUAUUUAUUAAAAUUUAAACCACGCUGAAAGAAUUUGGUACAGAAAGAGAACUGGACAUCAAAUUGAUAACGGCAAGAUCUAAGGGAACCUUGAAAUUUCAAACAAAGAGAUUACCUUACCAACUGUAGGCACGAGAUGUACCAAGCGAACUUAGGCUCAAGAAAAACCCAGCCAGUCAAGGACGAUGACGACGGAGGGACGACAGAGGCACGGCAGACGGAGACACGCACGCCGGACGAAACCAGGGAUGACAGAGGGCCACAGGCACGACGGAGGGCAAGAGAAAAUUGAAGUUUUUCGAUGGGGAGGCGGACAGAGCAUGCGCAUGACCAAAUUUUAAAUUAGUUACUCAGUGAACCAAGACGGUCAUAGACAACGACCGUCAUUGUGUUUAUUCGAUUUAUUUACAAAAUUGUCAUUACGUGUCAUUCUAAGACAGUUCCUUAUGACUGUCUUAGAACCUACGACGUAAAUAAUAAUUAUGAUGAUAUUAAUUAUAAAAAUGCCACCACGUUGUUUUUUAAGAAGGCGGUUAGUAGUGUCUGUAUCCCAAUGACAACCAAUUAUUAGAAGGUUUUUUUGCCGGAAUCUUUGUCCAAUUGCAUUUAUCUGCAGGUUUUAGAUCUUGGAAACAAUCAAAUAAAGGAUGUGUUUCCCCAUCGGCUUCAAACUCUACCAGAAUUGUAAGUAUUGGUUUUGCGAGCCAACAACAAGUUGUACGGUCGCAUUCGGUUUAAAGACCAAGCAUGUGGAUUCCCCAGUUUAGUCAUCUUUGAUGUCUCUUCCAACAACUUUAGUGGCCCAAUACCAAAAGCCCUCAUAAAAUUUGAAGCCAUGAAGAACGUUGUUCAAGAUGCCUAUAGCCAAUACAUGGUGGAAUAUGCUUUUAUUGAUGAUGGAAACAUGCAUUCUUCUUUGACUUUAGGACUUGUGAACAUGUACAGUUCUGUGACUAUAACAACAAAGGCAAUUACUAUGACAAUGCACAUAAUUCGAAAUGACUUUGUAAGCAUUGAUUUAUCGCAAAACAGAAUUCCAAACACAGAUUUAUUCUAUUAAUAUAAAAAACCAACAAUUUACCAAUAUAUUUAUCUAUUAUCUUUAUAAUAUAUAAAAUUUGAUCAAUUGCAGAUUAUGUCAAUGCCAGGUGACUUUUUCUUAGGUUAUUCCAUGCCAUGUAAGAAAAAUUUUAGCUAUUUCGUUUCUAACUCCCUCAGGCACAUGUUGUCUUACAUGGCAAUUAAUUCUAUGACCGGAUGACCAUAUAAAAAACCUUGACACAGAUAUGGAAAGAUUUUCAAGAGCUGUCCUAAGGAGGUUCAUUGUCUUGAUGACUAGGAGAGUGUAAGAUAUUAAUAGCCAGCAAUUUCUGGGCCACACCAGCUUGCUGCAAACUACUUGGGAGGCACACAAAAGGCUAAGAAUGCUGUUUUCUGAACCUUAAUCAAUUGAUGGUCUGAAAAAAUAUUUUCCAUUUCAUAAAUACUCGGGCAAUGGAUACAGUAGAUCAAUGGCUAGGAAGGAAAGUCCUGGUUCUUGAAGAGGCUUCUAAUUUGAGUUCCAAUAAGUUUUCAGACAAUAAAAAUUUCCAUAUUUGGUUAUUCAUCUUAUUUGAUAAUAAUCAGUAUUUGAAAUAUUAAAUAUAACAGUUUACUCUAAAAGUGAUUGAACACAUGAUCAUGAGUUUAGAGCCUUCUUUGGAGGAACAAGAAAAGUUUGGUCAAAGUUUAAGAUUAUUUCUUCCACAUUUGCUUCAUUGCCUUUUAAACUUUCAGAGACAUAAUUUUCAUCGCAGUAUCAAGGUAACAAAGCAAUACACGACUAACCACACAUGACACACCACUAAACAGGCUGGGUUCACUGAUUUAAUUAUGAGGAUCACUGAAUUCUCCUUUCCUCGGAUACAUAUGUUAUGCAUGUAUGCAUGCUCCGGGAUAUUAUGCACUACAUGUUGGAUUCUAUAAUGUUUCAAAGAGAAAAUUGCCAAGACAUUAAACAAGAUUUCUUAGAACCCUUAGAAUUAGAUAUGAAAAAUAGAAGAGAAGACGGAGAAGAAGAUACAAAAUUGAAGGACAAUAUAUUAACUCUGCUGGUUGCAGGCCAUGAUACCACAAUUAUUCUCAUACAUAGCUCAUCAAAUAUCUUGAUGAAAAUCCAACUGUUCUGGAACAACUGAGAGUAAAUAUUAAGAACCUAUAAUGUUUAUCCUUUAUGAAUGCUGAUGUUUUUGUAGGAGGUGCACAAACAAAUUGUUGCAAACAGAAGGAGUCGAACAAUCUUACAAUGUUUGAAGUUAAUAGCAUUUCCCUUUAUCUGCGGCGACGCUUCCUCGCCAGGUUUGUAGCUCUGUUCCUAACUGAAUAUUUGGGUGCUUUGGUUUGUCUCUGAAAUGAGCUCUAUGUUUGUUUCUGAGCAACGGCUUUCCUUUGUCUAUGAGCUUUUAGGUUCGAAGCAUAUUUCACUUUCAACCUUACCCUCGAGGCAUAUUUUUGCAGCGUAGUUGAGGUCAUGAGUGCAUUCACAUUUUAAAGUCCCCACAAGCUAAUAAUAGAAGCAGGUCCUUUGCUCAUAAGAAUAGGGUUCAUGACUUCAUGUAUGUGCACUGGACCAUCCUGUGCAGUAGGGUUGCAAACAAUUGAGUAGGGACUAGGGAUUGCUAGUGGGAAAUGUAUUAGCAUGGAUAUUCUUUUACUUGUUUUGGAACUGAUAUAACAGGCUUUGGUUCUUAAACGUGUAUUGUUCAUAAACAUCUUAAGUUAAGGUCUGAUUUGAGCAUUUGAGCUUGUAACAUGGAUGCUUUAAUGGAACAAGAUGUAAAAAAGUCGAAUUGAACCUUGCUGGUAAAAUCACAAUCACACCCCUCCUCCACCUACAGGUACAUCACUUAGCGUGCUAGCACUUCAUGUCUAGCAAGAGGAGUGAUAGCUUUGUAACUAACAAACUGCCAUAACAUUUUUUAGUUAAUUACUAGAUAUAUUCUUGACAAUAUUAAUAGCAUCAACGUACAAUGAUGGACUAUUGUUGAACAAUGAGUUGUCUCCCGCAAGGCUGCAACUUAUAAUUAAAUACUCAUUUUAAACUAUUUUUAUGAGAAUUUUAAGAUUGUUACGAGCUUGUCUGAGUUUAUGGAUCAAUGGCUGUUAUGGAGUUCAAUAAUUUUACAGCUCAUCAACCUCAUCUUACUUGAAAAUAAUUAAAUUACACAAUUAAACGAGCCACCCUAAAAAUUUAAAUUAUCUAGAGGGCUAAAAUAACGAACAUUGUCAAUACUGGGUGAAGAUAAUACACCCAUUCUGAUCGACUCUUCUCAUCAACCCAACGGAGACUGAAUUUGCAGUCAAUGUCAAGAAAACCUUAUUAAUUGCAGAUUUGCAGUACUCUCUCUGCGCAAUGAAGUAAAAAGUUACUAUUAAUUAUUUUAUAAUAAAUCACAAUUAGAGUAUUACAGUAAUUGUAGACUUGCAGUCAACAUUAACAACAAAUAUAUAAAGGUUGUCUAUAUUUACAUUAACAUAUCUUCUUAAUUAUGUUUGCGUUUUCUUACUUUUUGUUUUGGUUUUUAAUUUCAACUUGGUUUUCUCGUUUAAGGUGUUGUAAUUUGCACACUUAAGAAAAGGCGAUGUAAUUGAAACUCUAUUUUCUAUGCCCAUUCUUUCUUAAGCUACAUCACUCCAAAAAACAUGCUAGUUUCUAUGCCCAUUCUUUCUUAAGUCCUACCCUUUUGGCGUGUAAGCUACAACCUAGCAUGGCUUCAGCUCCGAGCCUCUUAGUCCCUGUCGCUUAAGCAAUAUUCCCCACUAUAACACCGUGAAACUCUAUUUUCUUGCAAACUGAACAACUCCUCAAGCCUCUCAGCCUUACCCCCAAGGAUUCCAAAUCAAAUAGUACUCUUUCCAAACAUAAACACCAACAUCAAAUACAAACUAAUUGCAGAUAAACACUCAUAAUUCAUAGAUUAAAUUUCCUUUGACACAUUCACAACCCGUCCAAGAUCAACAAACAUAAAACAUAUGAACAUUCAAGCUUACACAUGGACAUUGAAUCAUACAAAAGAAUGAGAGCUCACUCCCCCUACCUCACAAUAAGAGAAACGUAGAGAAGAGGCAUUCAGGCUUUUAAUAGUAAUAUAAUAUUAUUCUCUAUUUUUCUCUGUAUCGUGUUAUUCAUUAACUUGAUUAUUAUUUUUUCUUUUCUUUUUGCAUUGCUCAUACUUUUUAUUUUUUUCCACUUCAAGAGUUAAUAUAUGUAUUUUUUAUUUGUUGGUUCUUAUAAUUAAUGAACUCAAUGUAGCAAUAUAUUAUUUUUUUAUUCUUUAAUGUAAAGAGCGCAUAUAUAAAAUUAUUGCUUACUAAAAGAAAUAAAGGAUAAAUGUUUUAGCUAGUAAACAAAAAUCUAAUCAUAUUUAUAUAAAAUUUAUCAUUGUAAUAAUUCUGUCAUAUUGUCAAGUAUGAUUGAUUGUUACCGAUUGUAUAAAGUCACAAUUAGUAUUGAAUCACUAAUAAUUUGAAAUUCCUUUAGAAAGACUAGUAAUUUGAAAUUAUAUUUAACUAGCUAGUAGAUAUGUAUAUCAGUAUAUUAAUAAUAAAAUGUUGACAAAAAAAACCCCGUUAAUUCUCUUUCUUUUUUUCUUGCAGUGCAUGAUGAUAAUAAAAAUAACAUAUAAUAAUAAUUCAAGAGUUAGCUCGUGUAGUCAUGUAGUUAAACGUAAAAGUAGGGGUUGACUCAUAUUCACAAAUUAAAACAUGUAAACUGAUGAAAAAUAUUUACUCAAGAUUAGUUCAUCCAAUUAAGUAAGGGUGCAUUUAUUUUUAAAUAAUUUCAUGAGUUAUGAUUUUUGUAAACUUCAUUAAAUAGAAAAAAUAAUAUAAUUUCCAAACUAAUUUACUCAGAAAUUAAAAAGAAUAAUAAUUCUACUAUUUAAUCACUACACAUUAAAUAACUAAUUUAUUUUCCGCACAUCACGCAGCUGGUCCAUUUUUUUAUUAAAUGUAAUUUUUAUCUUUUUAUUUUCUAAAAUACGCACGUCACACAGCUGGUAAAGACUACUAAACCCAUCAUCUCCAAUAAACGAUGCUUGAUGAGUUUCUUAGGAUAAUAAAUGAAUUAUUAUUUUUUUGUUGUUUUUCUGUUGAUAUUGUAGGUUUCUUAAAUUUUAGCUUGAGUAUUUUAUAUAAGCAAUCAAUCUUCAAAGUUUUUUUUUUAAAAAAAAUUUAAUAUGCUCUAAAAGACUCAAAGUGAUUAUAUUAUAUUUUUAUCAUUAAAGAUGCAUGCCCUUAAAUAACUUAGUUAAUGCAUAGAAUAAAUAGAAGCAAUAAUUGUUUUUGUUAAAAAAAAUCAUUACUACUGUGGACUUGUUGUGUGCUACUGGGUCUCCUAAAGCGAUGGAAGGCAUCCCUGGCAGCCUUGGUUGGCCUAUUGUGGGAGAGAGUUUCUCAUUCCUCUCUGAUUUUUCAAGUCCCUCUGGAAUCUUUAGCUUCAUGAACAACAGGCAAUAUAUAUAUAAUAUCAAAACUUAGAAAUGAGUUACUUUUGAUACACAGUUUAAAAAUUUACACGGUUAUUAUCAACUAAUUAGAAAUCACUUUAAGUAUGUCUUAUGAUUUUAAUCUCUCAAAUUUAUACGGCUGUUGUUUUAGUCCCUCAAAUAAAAAUAUGUAUUUUUUAUUCUUAAAAUUCAAAAAAUAUUAGUCACUCUUCUCAAAUAAAAUUUGUAUCUUUUAGUCUCACAAACUUUGAGAGGGACUAAACGAGUAUUUUAUAAAUUUGAAAAACUAAAAAAUAAUUUUCUUUAGAGAAUUAGAAAAGAUAGGCACAUAGUUUGAUAAAAACAUAAUUAAACCUUUAAAGUAAUUAUUCACAAGAGAACAGAUUCCAAGUACAUGACUCCCCAUUAGAUGACAUGAUACUGCAAAAAAAACCCUUUAUACUUUUCUUUUUACAAUUACAUGCUAGGAGCAAAAGAAUUCCUAGGAUUUUCUUUUUCUUGGAUAACUUUUAUUUUCUCAUAGAUAUGGAAAGGUUUUCAAGAGCUUCGUCCGGGGGAGGUUCACUGUAUUCAUGACUGGGAGAGAAGCAAGUAAGAUUUUGUUAACCGGAAAAGAUGGGAUUGUGAGUUUGAAUCUGUUUUACACUGGCCAGCAAGUUCUGGGCCCCACCACUUUGCUGCAAACCACUGGAGAGGCACACAAAAGGCUAAGAAGGCUGAUCGGUGAACCUUUAUCAAUUGAUGGACUGAAAAAAUAUUUCCAUUUUAUCAAUACUCAGGCAAUGGAAACAUUAGGUCAAUGGCAAGGAAGGAAAGUCCUGGUUCUUGAGGAGGCUUCUACAGUUGAGUUUCAAUAAGUUGUCAAAGAAAAUUUCUUAUUUGGUUAUACAUUUCAUUCUAUACUAAGUAAUUGAAAUUUUGAAUAUUACAGUUUACUCUAAAAGUGAUUGGACAUAUGAUCAUGAGUUUAGAGCCUUCUGGGGAGGAACAGGAAAAGUUUAGGUCAAAUUUUAAGAUUAUCUCUUCCUCAUUUGCCUCUUUGCCAUUUAAACUUCCAGGGACAGCAUUCCAUCAUGGUAUCAAGGUAACAGAAUAUUGCAUAACUAACCUCACACUAAAUAUGUGCACUGAUUAAAUUUUGAAGAUCACUGAACUCUCAUUUCCUCUGAUGCAAUGCUAUAAAUCUGUGCAGGCUCGGGAUAGGAUGUAUGAGAUGUUGGAUUCUACAAUUUCGCGGAGGAGAAGUGGCCAAGAAUUUCAACAGGAUUUCUUAGGAUCCUUAGUUAUGAAACAUAGCAAAGAAGAUGGGGAAGAAGAUGAAAAUAAACUCAGAUAAACAAUUGAAGGAUAAUAUAUUAACUCUGCUGGUUGCGGGCCAUGAUACCACAACAGCUGCUCUUACAUGGCUCAUCAAAUUUCUUGGUGAAAAUCCAAUUGUUUUGGAACAAUUGAGAGUAAGUAUUGAAUCCCCUAUAGUCUUCUGCUUUAGAUGUUUGAAGAUUUUCAAAUGUAGCUUCAUGAAUGCGAUGUUUUGCAGGAGGAACACAGACAAAUUGUCAUCAACAGAAAGAGUGGAACAGAUCUUACUUGGGCUGAAGUUAAUAACAUGCCUUACACGGCUAAAGUGAGCAACAAUAACUUUAGCUUGCAAGUAACUUCAAGUUUUUAUGUCUCACCAAGAUUAUCGGUCAUUUAAAUUUCAGGUGAUCAGUGAAACACUUCGAAGAGCCACAAUACUACCUUGGUUUUCAAGAAAGGCAUCCCAGGAUUUUGAAAUUGAUGGUAUGGCAAUACAGAAUGGCCAAAUAUGACUAUAUAAUGUGUGUUUGUGUGUGUAUGUUGUAACCGUUGUUCUUUGAAUGAGACUCGAAGUUGAUGUUAAAUUUGGCAGGUUAUAAAAUUAAGAAAGGUUGGUCUGUCAACCUAAAUGUUGUUUCUAUACACCAUGACCCCGAAGUUUUCCCAGAUCCUGAAAAGUUUGAUCCCUCUAGAUUUGAUGUAAGUUGCUUCCUGAAAAGAGACUUUAAUAGCCAUUUCUAUUCUAAGGACCCCAAAAUUGAUAUUUUCAUUUAAUUGCAGGAAACCCUGAGGCCUUUCAGUUUUCUUGGAUUUGGUAGUGGACCACGCAUGUGUCCUGGAAUGAACCUUGCCAAGCUAGAAAUUUGUGUUUUCAUCCAUCAUCUUGUCAACAGAUACAAGUAAGAUUAGAACAGAUUUUGAAUAGUGAAGAUAAUCACAUUGCACCUAGAAAAUGGACAAUCACACUAGAUUUUCCAAAACAACAUCUAUUCCAUUCUUUUCUGUUUAUUUCAGCCUUGUCUCUUCCAUAUUCAUUUUCCUUGUUUAAACUAAAUAUUCCAUGAGUUUAAUUUCUGUGUUAGGAAACAUGAUUUCAGAGGAGAGGAAGAGAGAAAAACUGGGAGAAACUGAAAAUUUUCUGUUAGCUUAAUGAAGUGGUAUAAUUACAAGAUGAUUAUAUUAGUCUUUAUAUAGGCUCACUACCAAUCACAAACUACAUCUCUAAUACUAUGCACUUGUCAACCAAUUGGAAAUCAUAAUAAGUAUGACUUAAUUAUUGUAAAAGUCAACAAUUGCAUACAAUAAAAUUUGUGAUUGAAUAACAUUAUAAAACCCUUUCCACUAUCAGUACAUUAACUAUUUAUUAAAAAAAAAUUGCUACAGUUGGAGACCUCUGGAGAAAGACAAUUCUGUGCAACCAACGCUUGUAAGGAUGCCAAAGAACAAGUAUCCUAUUAUAGUUGAAGCACUAGGACACGAUUCCUCCAGAAACUACAAACAAACAACAGAAGAAAAGAUAGCACAGAAAAAUGUUGUAUAUGAACAGAAUCAUUGUAUCUUUAUUGUUGCUGCAUGGAGAGAAAUUAUGAACCAAAUCAUGCUUUAUUACUUGUGAGGAAAGAUACUAAUCCUCAAUGAAUAAUACACAUUUCCUUUUUCAGUAUGUAAGUGGUACGGUACUCGUGCUCGGGUUGCUGGCUUCGAGGGCCAGGGGCCUCCUAAGAAGAAGAAAAGGGAUAAAGGGAGUCACGAAGGUAAUGAAGAAGGAGCGUAAUUGUUCUUAUUCAUUUGCUAGUUAUUUACAUAUAUUUAUAAUGCCCAAUUGCUACAUGUAAUUAUCCAUAUUUGCAGGAAUAUCUGCAUAACAGAAUUUGAUUCUCGAUGCUUCCUAGCAAGAGACAUUUUGAUCUAGCAAAUCCUGUGCUGCCAGCUCAGCUCCUCAUCAUUUGCAAUUCCUUCUUCAAGCAUAAUCUCUGAGGUAUGCGGGCCUGGUAAUCUUCCUUUUCGGUUUUGCUGUUGGUACCCCUGUGUUUAUGUCUGUUGCUUCCUCUGUGUCUUCUUCUGGUGUUGCUCUGUUGCUAUCAUCUUCCCGUGGCCCUUGGAGAAUCACCUUGUCCUCAAGGUGAUAGGUCCGCUUCAGUUGAUCCCAAUCUUCCCAAGAGGUGUCAUCAGGAAGUAACCCCUUCCAUUGAACUAAAACCUCCCAUGGUCCCUCAGUGGUUGCAGCACGACGAGUAUCCAAAAUUGCCAAGGGAGAAAUAAUUGGCUGAUUAUUGAAGAAUUGGUCUGGAAGUGAGGGGGUCUGACUGAUGGCGGGAUCCCCAUGGAAAGGUUUUAAAAGUGAACAGUGGAAUAUGGGAUGAAUUCGCGUGCCCUCUGGUAAUUCCAAACAAUAAGCAACCUUACCAAUUCUCUCGAGAAUCUUGAAGGGACCGUAGAAGCGCUUAGCUAACUUGCCGGAGCUGUGCUGAGCAUCCUUGGCCGAACGCUGUCGGUAGGGCCGAAGCUUUAAAAGUACCCAAUUACCAACCUCAUAGUCAACUUCACGCCGUUUAGUAUCAGCAGUGCGUUUCAUCGUAGCUUGGGCUUUUAAUAGCUUCUGACGAAUGCAAAGAAAAACUUCCUCACGGUGCUUCAGAGUAUCAUCCACCGCAUCUAGUUUGGAGGAGCCAGUGAUAUAGUCUGGAAAAGAGAAAGGUUUCCGCCCAAACGUUAUCUCAUACGGCGUAGAGCCCGUGCCUGCAUUUCAGGAAGUGUUAUGCGAUAAUUCAACCCAGGGAAGGAAUCUGCCCCAAGUCCCCGGCCGGCGGUGCACGAAAGCCCGCAAAUAUUGCUCUAUUACUCUGUUCAUGACUUCAGUCUGACCAUCACUCUGUGGAUGGUAGGCUGAACUCAUUCGAAGCCUUGUACCACUCAAUUUAAAAAGCUCCUGCCAAAAGGUACUCAGGAAAAGUGGAUCGCGAUCUGAAACUAAACUCCGAGGUUGACCAUGGAGUUUGACCACGAUGUCAAUGAACAAAGAGGCGACCAUGUGUGCCGUAUGCGCGGUGGGUAAGGUGCCCAAGUGAAUACCCUUAGAAAAUCGGUCCACAACAACAAGUAACACCGUUUUGCCCUGAUAUGAAGGGAGCCCAGUGAUGAAAUCAAGGGAGAGGUCCUCCCAUGGCCGAAAGGGAACAGGUAAGGGACAAAGCAACCCGGCUGUGCGUUUCGUCUCAUAUUUGGUGAAUUGGCAGUCAGAGCAAUUGGCCACGAAGGUCGCAACAUCAGAACGGAGUCCCGGCCAUGUGAAAUUUUCCGAUAGCCUAGCUAUCGUCUUUGCGACGCCCAUAUGGCCCCCCAUCGGCGUCGCGUGGUACUCUAGCAUGAGUGUCUGAAUGAGAGGAAGCUCGCGGGGUAACCAAAUUUUGCCCUUGUAAAGGAUGAAAUUCUGACUAAGAGUGUAAUCGGGGUAGGUGGUGGGAGAAUUGAUGAUGUCCUGUCGGUGCUGACAAUACUGAGAAUUAUUGGUGAGCUGCUGACGUAAUUCAUCAAGAAAGCUCAAACAAGGAAUAGAUAAGAGCAACGAAAGUGAAGGAGUGAAUUCCGGUGACCGUGAGAGGGCAUCAGCUGCUUGGUUGUGCUUCCCGGAGCGGUACUGGAUUUGAUAAUCAAAUCCCAUUAAUCGGGCCAGGUACAUAUGUUGUUCGGGUGUUUGAAUAACUUGGGUGAGCAACUCUUUCAAGCUCCUAUGAUCGGUGACAAUGGUGAAUGAGUGGCCCAAGAGAUAUUGGCGCCACUUUUUCACUGCAGAGGUAAUAGCAAAUAAUUCACGAACAUAGGUGGAGGCCCUGAGGAGCUUCUUAGGGAAUGGCUUGCUGAAAUAAGCAAUGGGGUGUCCUCUCUGAGAUAGGACAGCGCCCAUGCCAUUGCCGGAAGCGUCAGUCUCCACUGUGAAAGGCUCCUGAAAGUCUGGAAGUGCAAGAACAGGAGUAGUUGACAAAGCCGAUUUGAGGUCUUCAAAGGCCUGUUGAGCUUGUGGGGUCCAACGAAAGGGGUCCGAGGUGGCCUUAACCAAAGGGUCAGCAAUCAUGGCAUAUCCCCGAAUAAAUCUACGAUAAAACCCGGCGAGCCCCAAAAAACUUCGAACAGCUCUGGUGGAGUGAGGUUGAGGCCAAUUAACAAUGGCAACAAUCUUAUCAGGCAUGGGCUCAACUCCGCGUUGGGAAACUAAAUGUCCCAAAUAUUCAACCUGUGAUUAACCAAAGGAACAUUUAGAUUUCUUAAGAACGAAGUGGUUGUCAAGCAGAACCUGGAAAGUUAAGUCCAGAUGGUGCAAGUGAUCAUCAAAAGAGCUGCUGUAGAUAAGUAUGUCAUCGAAGAAGACGAUGACGAAGCGACGAAGGAAGGGCCUGAAAAUGAGGUUCAUUGUAGCUUGAAAGGAAGAUGGAGCAUUACAGAGGCCAAAGGGCAUCACUCUGAACUCAUAAUGUCCAUGAUGAGUUCGAAAUGCAGUUUUAGGGAUAUCCUCUGAAUGCAUGCGUAUUUGAUGAUAACCUUGGAGAAGAUCGAGCUUGGAGAAGCAUUGAGCGCCCCCCAAUUCAUCAAGUAAUUCGUCUAUGGUGGGUAUCGGAAAUCUGUCCUUGACGGUGAGGGAAUUCAGUGCCCGGUAGUCGACACAAAAUCUCCAUGAUCCAUCAUGCUUCUUCACCAAUAAGACUGGGGAGGAAAAAGGGCUUGUACUGGGUUGGAUCAAACCCUUCUGAAGCAUUGAGUCGACUUGCAAUUCGAUUUCCUGUUUUUGGAAAUGGGGGUAACGAUAAGGUCUAACGUUGACCGGCGUUGAUAGGGGUAGUAAAUGAAUGUGGUGGUCAGUGGGACGUGGUGGUGGAAGUGUCGGAGAUGGUUGAAAGAGGACAUCGUACUUGGUGAGCAGAGCUUGAAGGGAAGGGGGUAAGGUGUCUGGGGAAGAAGGUGGGGUGUCAUCAGAAAGGACCGUGAUCUGAAAAUAAAGGCCCUGGGGCUGUGUCCGACAAAGACGGCAAAACUGGGAUGAAGUCAUGGAGCUCAGGCUAGCUUCGGGGUCUCCCUGUAAAGUAAUCAAUUGAUCAUUGUGAAUGAAUUGCAUGCUUAAGGUUGAGUAAUCAGUCAACACAGGGCCGAGGGAUUUGAGCCACUAGACCCCGAGGACCACGUUGGCACCCGAGAUUGGGAGGACAUGGAGGUCGACCGUGAAGCUGUGAUUCUGAAUCUGAACGGAAAUGGCGUCACAUAUGGAAUGACACUCCAAAUAUUGGCCAUUACCCACCAUUACACGCAAAGGAGAAGUGGUCCGGCAAGAGAGGCCCAAUUGGGUCACCAAUUGUUGCUGAACAAAGUUGUGGGUACUGCCCCCAUCAACCAGUAGCAACAAAGGGUGGCCGGAGAUGGCACCGAUGAAGCGUAUUGUCUCCGGAGCGACAUGGCCAGCAAGGGAAUUAAGUGAAAUUUGGGCUGAGUAUGAAAGUGGGCUUUCGGGUGGGUCUGUGGGUUGGAUAGGUACCGGGUCAUGAGUUAAAGUAAUGGGCGGGUCAAAAUUGGGUAUAUGAGAAAGGGGCGGGUCUUCCUCAUCAGUUAUGAGGAGAAAAAACCUAGAGGAGCAGCGGUGCCCUCGAUGGAAUUUCUCCUCACAAUUGAAACAGAGGCCACGUUCCCUUCGAGAGGCAAUUUCCUCUGGGGACAACCGUUUCCAGGUUUGGGGCGGUGGUCGCGGGGGCGGGGGUGGUAAGAGAGGUGGUAAGGUCGAAGAAAGUGGCGGUGAGGGUGUCUUGAGGAUAGGGGAAAGGGGUGGAGAGGAUACGGGGGCAGUAGGGUUGACUUGGGGAAAGGAGGGAAACACUGAGGGUGAUCUCUGGAAUUGGGGCAAAGGGGAAGGACGAGGACGAGGGUGUUGACGCAUCUCGGAGAACUUCUCCUCCUGCAAGCGCGCGAGACCCGCGGCUUGAACCAGGGUGGCCGGCUGGUGGGCUUGAACUUCUCUCCGUAUCUCCGGGAUGAGGCCGGAGAUAAAGCAACUAAGAAGGAAGGUGGAGGGCAACCCCGUCGUGCGAUUAGCAAGGUCCUCAAAGUCAGAGAGGUACUGGGUUACCGUCCCGGUCUGGGUAAGCUUGCUCAAAGCUCCGGAAGGGUCCUCGAAUUGUGAAGGGGCAAAGCGAGUGCGCAGUGCAUGCAAGAAGGCAGGCCAUGACGGAAAUUGCUCAGAGGUGUUCAUCCAUUGAAACCAGGCAAGCGCGCGACCUUCCAUAUAAAAGGAAGCAAUGGUGAGUUUGUCUGAGUCUGGGGUACCAUGGUACUCAAAGAAUUGAGUUAUUUUGUAAAUCCAGCCAAGUGGGUCUGACCCAUCAAAUCUUGGCACAUCUAAUUUCAAUCUGUGUAUGGGUGUAGGUGCCGGCGGUGGUAACGGCGGUGGAGUGGGUGGCGUGGUGGAGAACACUGGAGAAACUCGUUGAAUGAGUUCGUCAAUCUUGAGAGUCAUGGCAUUGACAGACUCUCCAAGAUAUAGCUGCUGUUUAGUGAGUCGGCUGAGGACAUCCUCCAGCUUGUCCGACGAAAAUGAGGCGGGUUCAGGGUCUACCAUGGUGAAGAGCAACGAGAGCACCAAAUUGGUACGGUACUCGUGCUCGGGUUGCUGGCUUCGAGGGCCAGGGGCCUCCUAAGAAGAAGAAAAGGGAUAAAGGGAGUCACGAAGGUAAUGAAGAAGGAGCGUAAUUGUUCUUAUUCAUUUGCUAGUUAUUUACAUAUAUUUAUAAUGCCCAACUGCUACAUGUAAUUAUCCAUAUUUGCAGGAAUAUCUGCAUAACAGAAUUUGAUUCUCGAUGCUUCCUAGCAAGAGACAUUUUGAUCUAGCAAAUCCUGUGCUGCCAGCUCAGCUCCUCAUCAUUUGCAAUUCCUUCUUCAAGCAUAAUCUCUGAGGUAUGCGGGCCUGGUAAUCUUCCUUUUCGGUUUUGCUGUUGGUACCCCUGUGUUUAUGUCUGUUGCUUCCUCUGUGUCUUCUUCUGGUGUUGCUCUGUUGCUAUCAGUAGGUAUAGUGCUAGUACGGAAAGCAACUACAAAUAAUUAAUAUCCUAUUGAUUCUGUUUCACCCCGUCGUUAUCCACUCAUCAGUAUUAGUCAUUGCAUUGCUUAACAGACUGUAAAAGCAUAAGAAUUCUUAAAAAAAUUGGUAUAUGAAACUGAAAAUUUUAUAGACAAUCUUCAUUUAGACAUAAAAUACACUUUUUCUUGCGACUGCAACGUCAAGGAUUCUGUUGUCUUGUUGAAUAUUGUUUAGCUAUUUGAAAAGUUAAAUCCUACAUUGUUUGACAAUUGAUAUUGAAACUUUUAAUGUCUGUAGUUUGUUAUUGAAGCUCAUAAAAAAGUAAGAAGAUUAGAUUCAUGCACACAAAAUUUGAUUAACUUGACACUAUUGAAGUUCAAAAUUUACAGAUUUGUUUAGAGGUGUUCAUCAUAUUAGAUUAACCAUAAAUGGAAUUAAGCCAAAAUAAAACCUAAGUCUCAUUUUUUAGAGUAUUGACCUAAAGUCAAUUCCAAUAGCAGUGUUGGGAAACACCUCAAUAACGUUAUGGUACAAAAUGAAUGCUUAUUUUGACUUAAUAAUUAAAAGAGCGAAUUGCAAUACCUCCUUAGGUUUCAUGAAAUUAUAUAAGUAUUUCUCUUUUUUUAACCAUUACAUUCACCUCUGUAUGUCUUAUCUUUGCAUAGAGUACUGACUUCCAAUUGAAUUAUAAGUAGCAUUAUGACAACGUUUUGGAUGGGAUAGAAAAUGAAAAAGGUGACUUUUAGUUGUCGAUAUUGACGAUGACAAAUCCAAAAUUUUUACUUGUGAAUAUUUUACGUUAAUAAAUAAAUAAAUGAUUUUAAACAUAUAAGUUAUCUGAAAUUUAUAGUGAAUAAUGUAAAUAUAUAAUUUCGUUAAAUUUAUAAUGAACAAUUUAAAUUGAAGGGGUUAGUUACUGAAAAAAAUUAUUCUGAAAUGUAAUAUUCUUUAAAUACUUGUAUUGAAUUUCGAUUCUUUUAUAUCCAUAAUUCAUCAAGUAUUUAUUAUUAUAUUAUUGCCCAGAAAAGAAAGUCCUUAAAAUUAAUAAUGCAUGUAUUUGUUAUGCACGCAUGAAUUGUACUCUAUCUUCUCCGUUGUUUACAAAAGAAUCCAACAAAUUAAAAUGGAAUAUCCUUUUCUCUAGGACCACAACACCAAUGCAAUUGAGAAAUUGGUUUUUCAGAGUUCGAGUAUUUCAACUAUAUAAAAUAUUUUUAUAACACAGCAUGAAUAUCUAAUAUUAUUGGAAACGAUAUUAAUGAAUGAAAAGAUAAACAUUUCUUUUUAAACUUUAUACAUCAUUCAAAUAAUUAUUUCAUGUAUCAUGUUUAACAUUUCCUAAUUUUUAAUUAUAUUCUCUUCUUCUAAAAUAUAAUGACAUGUACACCAAUUAACAAAGUUUAUGUUGUUUACAACUUUCUUUCGAAAAGAAAUGUUGUUUACAACUUAUUUAUCACGUUAAUUAUUAUCAUACUCUUUCUUUUUCAAACAAAAUUUAUAAUCAUAUUUUCUUAUAAAAUUUAAUUCUAACAUUUAAUUUUAUUCUCAUGUUCAACAACCACUACUAAAAACACUAUUAUUUACGCGUUGAUUUUAAAUUGGCGAUGACAUUUUUGUAAUAAACUCAAACGUAAGGCCGACUUUUGUAAAACCGCUUUGAAGAGUUACGGGGUGAACCACAUUAAUUACACUUACAGCUCAUCCACAAUAUCCUAACAAUGUGCAACUCCUAAAUUGUGACAAAUAUAAGAUUUCUAAUUUAUAAAUAUUUUAAUUUGUAAAUUAAAUUUAAAAUAAUUUUUUAAAUAAUAUAAUUUUGAAAAAAUAUGUUAAUUUUAUGCAUGAAAAAAGAAAGAUAUCCCGUGAAGUUGAAGACAAUACAAUUGAAAUGGCAAUACUGAAUAGUGAGCAGAAUCACGGUAGCGUUAUGAGAGGGUUAGUAAUUGAAUGAAAUGACAGUACUGAGGAUAACCUUGCUGCAGCGUUAUGAAAGGGUUUAGAAAAUGGAUGUUAUGAAACGUGUGUGCAGCAAGUCACUCUUGUAGCUUAUAAUUUUAUUUUCUUUGAUUAGCAUAUAAGUUUAUUUAAUCAUCAAAAUAAACUUAUUUUAAUACCUUCUAAUUUUAACUUAGAUUCUCUAUGCCCCAAUAACCCUGUACAGCACACAAUUUAUUCUCAGACGCUUUUUCAACUAGUAUUUUAGCUUAAUAUAAGUUACUAAUUUAUUUAUUUUAUUUUUAUCCUUAUUAUUUUACUUGAAAUUUUUUUAUCACUGCUUUUAAAAUAAAUUUAUUUAAUUAAAUUAUUUUUUUGGGAAAAGAAGGAGGCACGUCAUAAAAAAACAAAAUAAAAUAAAACUACAACACUCCAUUGUUUUCAAAAGUCAUAAAUUCAUUUACAUCAGGGUUAAACAAAUUCAUCAAACCUCUAUCAUUCUUUUAUUAUAUAAAAUUUAAAUUAUUACCUUAUUUUUAACAUAAUAAAUUAUAUAUACAUAUAUAUAACCAAAUAACUAAAAAUAUUUUUUAUUAAAAAAUCUUAUGAAAAAAAUUAAUUCAAUGAGCUAGUUUACAAGCUAGUUCCAUCAAGCACAUCCAAUUUCUUCCUUUGAAACAUUUUUUGUUUAAAUUAUUUAUAUUAAAAUAUGUUUUUAAUUUUAUGGUAAAUUUUUUAAUUUUAUUUUUCGUCCCAUUUAAAUUCUUGUUAACUUGUUGGUCUCUAAUAAUUUUAUUUUCUCAGACCUCAACAGCAAGCUCAGAAACAUCAAUCUCAUAACUAAUUCAAGUCAAACAUAUUUACUUAAUUAUGAAAUUCUUAAAUAAUAAAAAUACUAAAAAGUAGAUAUAUUUUAUUAGUAGAGAUAAUAUCGAUUAAUUUAUUUAAGUCAGUAUAGUUUCAUACUCUUGUAGUCUUUGGAUUCCUUGUUAGCUCGUUGGCAAGUGUACCAAAUCGUCACAAGUAGUAAAGUACUCGGAAGUCCGAGUGUCGAAUCCACAGGGACUUUGUUUGUACUUAGAUUAAUGCAAACCCAAUUUAAAAGCAAGAGAUAAGAAUUUAAAAUAAAAGAUAAAAAAAGAUAGAAGAUAAGGUAAAGAAAAGAUAAAAGAUUUAAAGAUAAAAUUAGAAGAUGAAAGAAUUAAAGAUAAAAUUAAAAGAUAAAGAAAAAGAUAAAAGAUAAAAAAGAUAAAAGAUUUAGAUAAAAGAUAAAUUCAAGAUAAAAUAAUAUUAGGAACUGACUUGCCUUGUCUGCCUAGAAUGUAUGAGUUUAUGAUUUUUUCUUUACCAAUUCAAGUGAUUCUAUCCUACCCACGUCUAUUCAUUUACGUGCCCCUGAUGCCUCACGAUGACAAACCUAUUUUACCUAUCUAUCUCCCAAAUGCCUUUGCAAAGACUCAAUAGAUAAAAUGCAUGAAGUUCUAAUUCUAGAUGUUUGCUUUGACGCAUGGGCAUAAUGCAAUCGCUCUAUGCCUAGCAACGAUUUUAUUAUGAUGUCUUUUCUUCUCGUUCUAUUAGACGUUAUCCUCUCCCGAGCGUCUAACCCCUAAAACUAAUGCAUGCAUAUCUUCUUUAAAUCUUAUUUAGAAGUUACCCUCUCCCGAGUGGACUAACCCCUAACGGAAUAUAAAGAUGAGUAUGCAAGAUAAAAAUAGAAAAGAAAAUAGGAAAGAAAAACCUGUAUUGCAUUGAUAAAUAAAUAGUGAAGAGUACAUCAUACAUCGCGUUGGCUUUUUAGGCCUGCCAGGUCCUAACUAAGGGAUUAGCCACUCAUGGUCAUUGAGGCUUUACAAUGAGAAGGGGUGAAAGAAAGUAAGGGAGUAAAUGAAACCCCUAGGAGAGGGGUUUUGUCGUGGUGUGUUGUUUCCCUUGGACUGACUCUCUAUUUAUAGCUGCUGAAGUGGGCUUUGGGCCUUCGUAGGCGCGCUCAGCACGACACCCCCUCGCUCAGCGCGUUCUUCUGUUGGAUCGCAAACUUAGCGCGCGUGUUGCAGGCUUAGCGCGCGCUUCUGUUGGAUCACGGGCUUAGCGCGUGACGCGCGCUCAGCGCGCGUAUUGGGCUGGGCCUGCUUCAGAUUUUAUUCUUUUCUGCAAUUUUUCUAGCCUUUUUGCUCGUUACACCUCCAGUUUUUAUAUUUGCAGCCAAAAUUCAACAAAACAUCAAUUCUUUAAUAUUUAAGCGUAAAUAACUGCUAAAUAAUUAUUUUUAAAGACAAUUUUGCCUUAUUUUCUAUCAUCAAAAUACUAUUAUUUAGCAGUUAUCAAAAUCCCCCAAAUUAAAACUUUGCUUGUCCCCAAGCAAAUCAAAUUAAAAGCAGGCUCUGAAUGCUUCAACACUUUCAAUGGCUGCAAUUUCUCAUAUUCCUCCAAUUGGUCCUUUCCGCAUUUGUCAUAAUCUCACAAUGGAAGCAUAAAUUACAUCAAGAUGAAAUUGGUUAGUAUCGGAAAUCAAUCAAGUUGGUUUGCCUCACUUUCCUCACAAGGUUAGUGUUUAUCUCUACGCACAAGUGUCUGAGGUGAGUAUUUAAAAUUUAUACGACCUGCAAUUAAGAUUCCCAAAUUUUGCACUUCAUCUCAAUUAAAGUUAUUCUUACUUACAUUUGGUGGAUCACUAAGGACUUUUAUUGGCUUGUAAUGGGGCCUGGCUAAACAAGAAAUCAUGGUUUUUCUGGGAUUUCAAACUUAAGGUUAUAAGAGAGCAUUCAUCCUAGAAAAACUUAUACUUAGCCUAGGCUUUAUUUGUUUUUCAGCCUUAACACAUAUGCAAUCUAUUUUUCUUAUUUCCAACCUUAGCACUUAUGGCACCUCUUUUUUUUUUUUUUUUUGCCCUUAUUUUCUUUUUCUUUUUUUUUUUUGGAAAGAGACUUUGGGCUUACAAGUUUUUUUUUUUUGGUGCCUUAUUAUGUGCUACUUUUACAUUCCCUAGACCAUCUUCAUUCUACCCAUCCCCCAAAUUAGGGGUUUAUUAUGACUAAAACCUUUAUGCUCUCUUAGAAUCCUAAAAUAAGGUUAGAGAUAUCAUAAUUAGGCUCAGGGGUUUUAUUAAAAAAAAAUAAUUACUAAUUUUGGCUCAACAAGGGUGCAAGGGAUAAAUUUCAUCACAGGUUGGCUUUUUGGCUAUGUGGCUAAAAUAAAGAAACAUGGCCUUGAUCAUAUCCACCUUAUGCAAAUAAUCUAACAGUCUAAGAAUGAUGCAAAAUUAGGAAUUUAAAAACAGACGUUCUCUCAUAAUUAAGUUCACACAGCUCACCGGGACAAGAUAAAGUUAUUGGCUUACCGGACCAUGAUCUCUUUCCAUCAAGCUAACCUUUUCUCUCUUUGUGAUUCAUGUCCCACUGUCUGACUGACUCUUGCUUCCAGGAACCUAGUAUUUUCACAAUUGUCAUGCAGCAUUUCAAGUGUUGAAUCCUUCAGAAAAAGCCUAAAUAAUGACUUCACAAAUAUCAUGUAAUUUUUAUUCAAUAACUGAAUUUAAACUACUAAAAAUUAAAUUGCUGAAAUUAAAAUGUGCAAAAUCAAAACAAAGAAAAGAAAUAACACAACUAUCCUAAAAAAAACAAAUUGCAAUUAACUGAAAGAGAUAAAGUUAGAAAUCCUGAGUUGCCUCCCAGUAAGCGCUUCUUUAACGUCAUUAGCUUGACUGGUCAAAUGCCUUCAAGGUGGCGUGAUGGAUGGGCUGUUGAAGUCUAGAAGCUGUGACCAUAAUCAGAGCUUAAUUUAGCCACAAAACAUUAAUAUCUAAUCUUAUUGGAAAUGAUAUUAAUGGAUUAAAAGAUAAGCAUUUCUUUUUAAACUUUAUACAUCAUUCACAUAAUUAUUUCAUCUAUCAUGUUUACCAUUUUCUAAUUUUAAUUUAUAUUUCCUUCUUCGUAAAUAUAAAGACAUGUACACCAAUUAACAAACUUGAUGUUGUUUACAACUUCUUUUAAAAAAAUGUUGUUUACAACUUAUAUUCCACAUUAAUUAAUUAUUAUCUUAAUCUUUCUUUUUCAAACGUAACUUAUAAUAAAUUUUUCAUAUAAAAAUUAAUUCUAACAUUAAAUUUUAUUCUGAAUGUUAAACAGCCACAUUAAUAACACUUACAAUGUCCAACUCCUAAAUUGUGACAAAUAUAAGUUUUCUGACUUAUAAAUAUUUUAAUUUGUAAAUUAAAUUUUUUACAAAUAUUAAUUUAAAAAUAUUUUGUUUAAAUAAUAUAAUUUUGAAAAGUAUGUUUAUUAUAUAUAUAUAUAUUUUUUUUAACAAAUAUUUUAUAAUUAUGUAUUCUUUUUAAUUUAAUAUAAUAUUUAUUUUUAAAUAUUUCUAACAUCUUGAAAUUAUAUCAUAUACAAUUACUAAUUUACAAAUAAUUCUAUAAAUGAUAUAAUUUUGACAAAUAUAUUUUUUACGUAUAAUUUCAAUAAAUAUUUUAUAAUUAAAAUUUUUAUAGUUUAAAGAAAUAUUUAUAUUUUAAAAGGAUGUCUCCACAUUAUAUGUUUCAUAAAAAUUAUUUCUAGCGUUAUUUCAAAAAAAAAUUUGGGGAGAAAUUGCAUAAAGUAAGGCAAAGGUUUUAGCUUGACAAUUAAAAAAAAAUGCAUAACAAAGGAUAACCAUUUUUGAAAUAAAAUAAAUUUAUUUAAUUAAAUUAAAAUAUAUUUUAUUUUGGAGAGUGAAGGAAACAUGUCAUAAAAAAAAAAACUACAAACCUCCAUUGUUUUUAAAAAUCAUAAAUCCAUAUACCUGAAUAGGGGUAAACAAAUUUUUCAAAAUCUCUAUCAUUCUUUUCCAGUAUCAAAUUUAAAUUAUUUUCCUAUUUUUAAGAUGACAAAUUGUUUCUGUAAAAAAGAUAAUAAAUUAUUAAGAACAAAUUCAAAUAUAUAUAUAUAUAUAUAUAUAUAUAUAUAUAUAUAUAUAUAUAUAUAAAAUUAUAACCAAAACUAAAAAUAUUUUUUAUAAACAAAUAAUAUGAAAAAAAAUUAAAUUCAAUGAGCUAGUUCACAAGCUAGUUCUGUCAAGCACACCAUAUCUCUUCCUUAAAACAUUUUUUUUGUUUAAAUCGUUAAGAUUUAAAUAGGUAAAUUUUUUAAUUUUGGUUUUUUCCCUUUCAAAUAAUUGUUAUAUUUUUGCUACCAAAUAAAUAAUUUUUGUAUUUUAUUUUUUUACUUUGGAUUUAUUUAGAUAGGGCUUUAGAAAAUGGAAUAAAAUUAUUUUGAUAGUUAUUUAGGAAAAAAAAAGAAAAAAUUAUUACAAACCAAAAAGUUAACAAAAAUUUAUUAGGAAUAAAAAAAUUAAUGAUUUAUCAAGAACUAAAAACAUAUUUAAAUCGUUUAUAACAUAAAAGAACAUGAAAAAUCAACCAUUAUGCAAUUCUCUUUGAACAAGACUUAUAAUUUCCGUCUAGUACUUCUUUACUUGUGGAUAUUAAAAUUAUAAGAUGUAACAUUUUUAAAUUAAAUUUCAGAGAGCAACUCAGUCCAUACACUAAGAUAGUGUUUUACCUUGACAGUUGAAAAAAUGCAUUAAAAAGAAGGAUUUGGCGUGAAGGUUUCAAGACAAUACAUGCAUGUCUAAUGUUAUUUCAUUUCUAGUUGGUAUAAGAGCACAAACAAUGCAUACUAAAGGAAAGGCUAUGGGUAUAGCCUAGGUCUCAUGGUCCGUAGGAUAUCACAUUCAUUUUUUAUUAAGUAAUUUUUCCCAAAUUAGAAUAAUUUGAAAUAAAAGUAGCAUUACUAAAAUCAGUUAUAAUUAAAUCUAAACUUUUUUCUUUUUCAAUUACUAUUACGAUAAAUUGGCAGUGGUACGUGCUGUAAAUAUUACAUCUACUUAUAAUGUCAGCACCCAAAAAUUAUUUUUAUAAUGUAAAAUUUACAUUGUCAUUAAUUUGCUUUAUUAAUUUUUAUUAUAACUAUUUAAAAUUUAUAUUAUUAUCAUAAAAUCCGUAUCUAUAAUUUUUAAUUAAGCACAAAUUUUUUUAAUUUUAGUAAAUAUUAAAAAAUAUAUAAUAUAAUGUUAGUAUUUUUCAAAAAAAAAAUCAACAUUAUCAUUAAAUAAAUCAGUGUGCGCGCUGUACAAUAAUUCACUUUUAUCAUUGAAAAUAAAAAUAAAAACUGUUAUUCAAAAUAAAAUUUGCAUUAGUGACUAUUAUAAUAAUUAUCUUAAUGAUUAAAUAUAUUUUUAUCUUUAAUAAAUAUUUUUUUCCCUAAUAAAUAUUUGUUUUUUUAGUAUCUUAUUAAAUAAUAAUUUUGUUUUUUGUCCUAGAUAUUUUGUUGUAAUCCCUAAUGAAUUAACAAUUUUUUUUUACUUCCUUUUAAAUUAACGAAUUUUUCUUUGUCCGACUAAUAAUAAAUAAAAAAUUAUCAAAAAAUAAGCACACAAUUUAUGAAUUUAUCAUGAACUAAAAAAAAGUAUCAAUGACUAAAAUAAAAUAAUUUUUUUAUUUGAAAUUCAACACAGAAUAAAAAUUUAUAAAAAAUUAAAUAUGGGGUACCAAAUUUCAAAUUUGGCAAUAACACAUUAUCUAAUAAUGACCUCCAAAUCAAUUUUGAUGGCAAUGUUGUAACAACCUUAAUAAUUUCUUUGACAUAUCUGCGUUCCUUCUCUUGCAUAAAUUGACUUCCAAGUCAAUGCAAAACAAAAGACACUAUAGCAACGUUUUGCAUGGGGUAGAAAAUUGGAAACCGUGUCAACUUUUUUGCUAAAGAAACCUCUACUCACCCUUAACACACUUUCUAUCCCUCUCAUUCUCUCCAUAAAUUAUAUUUGCUUUGUCUUUUACUAAUAAAUAAGCAAAUUAUAAUCACCCCAUUAACAAACUAAUUUUUUUAGUAAUCCAUUAACAGCCUCAUUUGCAGGAUUUCUUUGGCUAAUUUAUGCGAUGAUUUCUAAACAUUUUGGAAUACAAAUACCAAUUAUAUAUAUAAGUUCUAAAAGAUAGAAACUAUAUAACUCUAUUACUAUAAUAAAGAUGCAUUCUUUUUUAAUUGAUAAAUUGUUUAGUUUAUUAAUUUUAUUUAUUCAAAUUAAUUGUAUCCAGUGCUAUUUAAUUGAAAAAAAAUGUUGUUUACAACUUAUUUAUCACGUUAAUUAUUAUCAUACUCUUUUUUUUCAAACAAAAUUUAUAAUCAUAUUUUCUUAUAAAAUUUAAUUCUAAAACAUUUAAUUUUAUUCUCAUGUUAUGAAACGUGUGUGCAGCAAGUCACUCUUGUUUGCCUAAAAAGAGACUUCCAGGUCAAUUAAUUUCGUUUUGCGUGAUGGAUGGGCUGUUGAAGUCUAGAAGCUGGGACCAUAAUCAGAGCUUAAUUUAGCCUCAAAACAUGAAUAUCUAAUCCUAUUGGAAACGAUAUUAACGGAUGAAAAGAUAAGCAUUUCUUUUUUAAACUUUAUACAUCAUUCACAUAAUUAUUUCAUCUAUCAUGUUUACCAUUUUCUAAUUUUAAUUUAUAUUUCCUUCUUCGUAAAUAUAAAGACAUCUACACCAAUUAACAAACUUCAUGUUGUUUACAACUUCCUUUAAAAAAAUGUUGUUUACAACUUAUAUUCCACAUUAAUUAAUUAUUAUCUUACCCUUUUUUUCCAAACAUAACUUAUAAUCAAUUUUUCAUAUAAAAAUUAAUUCUAACAUUUAAUUUUAUUCUAAAUGUUAAACAGCCACAUUAAUAACACUUACAAUGUCCAACUCCUAAAUUGUGACAAAUAUAAGUUUUCUGACUUAUAAAUAUUUUAAUUUGUAAAUUAAAUUUUUUACAAAUAUUAAUUUAAAAAUAUUUUGUUUAAAUAAUAUAAUUUUGAAAAGUAUGUUAAUUUUAUACAUAUGCUUUCAACAAAUAUUUUAUAAUUAUGUAUUCUUUUUAAUUUAAUAUAAUAUUUAUUUUUAAAUAUUUCUAACACCUUGAAAUUAUAUCAUAUACAAUUACUAAUUUACAAAUAAUUCUAUAAAUGAUACAAUUUUGACAAAUAUAUUUCUUAUGUAUAAUUUCAAUAAAUAUUUUAUAAUUUAAAUUUUUAUAGUUUAAGGUAAUAUUUAUAUUUUAAAUAUUUUUCUCCAAAUUAUAUAUUUCAUAAAAAUUAUUUCUAGCGUUAUUUCAAAAUAAAUUUUGGGGAGAAAUUGCAUAAAGUAAGGCAAAGGUUUUAGCUUGACAAUUAAAAAAAAUGCAUAACAAAGGAUAACCAUUUUUGAAAUAAAAUAAAUUUAUUUAAUUAAAUUAAAAUAUAUUUUAUUUUGGAGAGUGAAGGAAACAAGUCAUAAAAAACUAAACAAAAUAAAAAUAAAACUACAAACCUCCAUUGUUUUGAAAAAUCAUAAAUCCAUAUACCUGAAUAGGGUUAAACAAAUUUUUCAAAAUCUCUAUCAUUCUUUUAUAGUAUCAAAUUUAAAUUAUUUUCCUAUUUUUAAGAUGACAAAUUGUUUCUGUAAAAAAGAUAAUAAAUUAUUAAGAACAAAUUCAAAUAUAUAUAUAUACAUAUAUAUAUAUAUAUAUAUAUAUAUAUAUAUAUAUAUAUAAUUAUAACCAAAACUAAAAAUAUUUUUUAUAAACAAAUAAUAUGAAAAAAAAUUCAAUUCAAUGAGCUAGUUCUGUCAAGCACACCCUAUUUAUUCCUUAAAACAUUUUUUUUUGUUUAAAUCGUUUAGAUUUAAAUAGGUAAAUUUUUUUAAUUUUGGUUUUUUCCCUUUUAAAUUAUUGUUAAAUUUUUGCUCCCAAAUAAAUAAUUUUUGUAUUUUAUUUUUUGACUUUGGAUUUAUUUAGAUAGGGCUUUAGAAAAUGGAAUAAAAUUAUUUUGAUAGUUAUUUAGGAAAAAAACAAAAGAAAAAAUUAUUACAAACCAAAAAGUUAACAAAAAUUUAUUAGGAAUAAAAAAAAUUAAUGAUUUAUGAUGAACUAAAAACAUAUUUAAAUCGUUUAUAACAUAAAAGAACAUGAAAAAUCAACCAUUAUGCAAUUCUCUUUGAACAAGACUUAUAAUUUCCGUCUAGUACUUCUUGACUUGUGGAUAUUAAAAUUAUAAGAUGUAACAUUUUUAAAUUAAAUUUCAGAGAGCAACUCAGUCCAUACACUAAGAUAGUGUUUUACCUUGACAGUUGAAAAAAUGCAUUAAAAAGAAGGAUUUGCCGUGAAGGUUUCAAGACAAUACAUGCAUGUGUAAUGUUAUUUCAUUUCUAUGUGUAAUUUAAACAAAGAUAUGAAGUAGAAAAAUAAAAUAAAUCAUGUUUGCAGAAAAAAUGAGUUCCAAGUCAAGUCAAUUUAAAUUGCAAUUGCUGGGACAACUUUGAUAGCGUGUAAAAGGAUCAUAAGAUUUAUGGUCAAUUUGCGUGAGGUUUGGGCUGUUGAAGUCUUGAAGCUUAAUUUAGCCACAAAUUUUGCAUAUCAUCUUUUUAAUUUGACUAUAAAUAUUAAUGUUUGGUUGCUCAGUAUUAAUUUCAUGUAUAUUUUCCAUCCCUUAUAGUAAAGAGUAUUUGAGUAGAAAAUGGAAUCAUGGAUGUGGUGUUUCCUUCUCUGUUCCCAUUUGCUCAUCCUUUAUUUUUCACCCUCUCAUUCCUUAUGCCACCCCCAUGACACCUCUGCCUUGCUCCACUUCAAAAACUCCUUCAUUAUUUAUGAAGAUCCUUAUUAUGAUGCAUGUGAUACUGCUGGUUAUUUUUCAAAGACGAGAACAUGGGAAAAUGGGACAGAUUGUUGCUCUUGGGCUGGAGUCACCUGCCACCCCAUCUCUGGUCACGUCACUGACCUCGACCUCAGCUGCAGUGGUCUUGUCGGCAAUAUCCAUCCGAACAGUACGCUUUUCCAUCUUUCUCAUCUUCACUCACUCAACCUUGCUUUAAAUGAUUUUGAUGAAUCUCAUUUGUCAUCUCUCUUUGGUGGGUUUGUGAGCCUCACUCAUCUCAACUUGUCUGGUACGUACUCUGAAGGGGAUAUUCCUUCCCAAAUUUCUCACCUUUCCAAAUUAGUCUCACUUGAUCUCUCAUAUAAUGGGUUAAAGUGGAAGGAACACACUUGGAAGAGAUUGCUCCAAAAUGCAACAGUUUUAAGGGUGCUUCUUUUGGAUGAAAAUGAUAUGUCUUCCAUUUCAAUCAGGACACUCAAUAUGUCUUCCUCUUUGGUUACUCUUAGUCUUCGAGAGAAUGGGCUAAGAGGAAACUUGACAGAUGGCAGUCUCUGUUUACCAAAUCUUCAGCACUUGGAUCUUUCAUAUAAUCGGGCCCUUAAAGGUCAGCUUCCAGAAGUGAGUUGCAGAACAACUUCUCUUGAUUUCUUAGAUAUUUCAAAUUGUGGUUUCCAAGGGUCAAUCCCUCCCUCUUUCUCCAACCUCAUACAUCUCACUUCCCUGGACCUUUCAGAUAACAACCUCAACGGUUCAAUCCCUCCCUCUUUCUUUAACCUCACACAUCUUACUUCCUUGGAUCUCUCAGAUAACAACCUCAACCUCAACGGUUCAAUCCCUCCCUCUUUCUCCAACCUCAUACAUCUCACUUCCCUGGACCUUUCAGGUAACAAUCUCGGUUCAAUCCCUCCCUCUUUCUUUAACCUCACACAUCUCACUUCCCUGGAUCUCUCAUUUAACAACCUCAACGGUUCAAUCCCUCCCUCUUUCUCCAACCUCAUACAUCUCACUUCCCUGGACCUCUCAGGUAACCACCUCAACGGUUCAAUCCCUCCCUCUUUCUCCAACCUCAUACAUCUUACUUCCUUGGAUCUCUCAUAUAACAACCUCAACGGUUCAAUCCCAUCCUCACUCUUGACCCUUCCACGGCUAAACUUUCUGUAUCUAUACGAUAAUCAACUCAGUGGUCAAAUCCCAGAUGCGUUUCCUCAGUCAAACAGCUUUCACGAAUUGCAUUUGAGUGAUAACAAAAUAGAGGGUGAGCUGCCUUCAACACUUUCAAAUCUUCAACAUCUCAUUCACUUGGAUCUUUCAUAUAAUAAAUUGGAGGGCCCUCUGCCUAACAAUAUAACAGGGUUUUCAAACCUAACAUCGUUAUGGUUAAAUGGAAACUUACUGAAUGGGACAAUUCCUUCUUGGUGUUUAUCUUUGCCAUCUUUGAAGCAGUUAGAUCUAUCAGGAAACCAACUCUCUGGGCAUAUUAGUGCAAUCUCAUCAUAUUCCUUGGAGACAUUGUUUUUAUCCCACAACAAGUUACAAGGCAAUAUUCCAGAAUCAAUUUUUAGCCUUGUAAACCUUAUUUUCUUAGGUCUAUCAUCAAACAAUUUAAGUGGAUCUGUCAAAUUUCAUCGUUUCUCCAAGCUUCAAUAUUUGGAAGAACUUCACCUUUCAUGGAAUGAUCAGUUAUCACUAAAUUUCGAAUCCAAUGUCAAUUAUAAUUUCUCUAAUUUAAUGUUGUUGAACUUAUCUUCUAUGGUUUUAACUGAAUUUCCAAAAUUAUCGGGAAAAGUCCCAAUUUUAGAAUCACUCUAUUUGUCCAAUAACAAACUUAAAGGUAGAGUGCCACAUUGGUUGCAUGAAAUAUCGUUAUCUGAAUUGGACCUCUCUCAUAACCUAUUGACACAAUCAUUGCACCAAUUCUCGUGGAACCAACAACUCGGUUACCUUGAUCUUAGUUUUAACUCAAUCACUGGUGACUUCUCUUCCUCAAUUUGCAAUGCAAGUGCAAUUCAAAUUCUCAACUUGUCUCACAACAAGUUGACAGGAACCAUUCCACAAUGCCUUGCAAACUCAUUAUCCCUUCAAGUUUUGGAUCUACAACUGAACAAGCUUCAUGGCACUUUGCCAAGUAUCUUUUCAAAGGACUGUCGGCUCAGAACUCUGGAUCUCAAUGGCAACCAACUAUUAGAAGGUCUUUUGCCAGAAUCUUUGUCCAAUUGCAUUCAUCUGGAGGUUUUAGAUCUUGGAAACAAUCAAAUAAAGGAUGUGUUUCCCCAUUGGCUUCAAACUCUACCAGAAUUGAAAGUAUUGGUUUUGCGAGCCAACAAGUUGUACGGUCCCAUUGUCGGUUUAAAGAUCAAGCAUGGAUUCCCCCGUUUAGUCAUCUUUGAUGUCUCUUUCAACAACUUCAGCGGCCCAAUACCAAAAGCCUACAUACAAAAAUUUGAAGCGAUGAAGAACGUUGUUAUAGAUACCGAUCUGCAGUACAUGGAAAUUUCUAUUGGAGCUAAGAUGUACAGUGAUUCUGUGACUAUAACAACAAAAGCAAUUACUAUGACAAUGGACAAAAUUCCAAAAGGCUUUGUCAGCAUUGAUUUAUCAAAAAACGGAUUUGAAGGAGAGAUUCCAAAUGCCAUUGGAGAGCUUCAUGCCCUCAGAGGGCUCAACCUUUCCCAUAACAGAAUUAUUGGUCCUAUUCCCCAAUCCAUGGGAAAUUUGACAAACUUAGAAUCAUUGGAUCUCUCCUCAAAUAUGCUCACUGGUGGGAUACCUACGGAAUUAAGCAACUUGAACUUCCUUGAAGUCCUAAAUCUUUCCAAUAACCAUCUUGCUGGAGAAAUACCUCGAGGACAACAGUUCAGUACUUUUACCAAUGAUUCCUAUGAGGGAAACUCUGGGUUAUGUGGACUCCCACUGACAAUCAAAUGCAGCAAGGACCCUGAACAACAUUCUCCACCUUCAACUACCUUGAGGAGAGAAGGAGGAUUUGGAUUUGGUUGGAAACCAGUGGCUAUAGGAUAUGGAUGUGGAAUGGUCUUUGGAGUGGGAAUGGGAUGUUGUGUAUUGUUAAUAGGAAAGCCUCAAUGGCUUGUGAGAAUGGUCGGAGGUAAACCCAAUAAAAAGGUGAAAAGGAAGACAAGGAUGAGAUCUAAUGAAAAUGGUAGCAGAAUGAAUUAGUUGAUAUAUGGCAUGACUGGAGAAUGUCUUGUUACAUACCUGCCAUCUUUGAAAACAAAACUUAAGGGCAAGAACUUUAUCACACUGCAUUGCAUGGGAGAUCUGGUUCAAAGUUUUGCUGUAAUAUGAAUGUGUUAUACUCUUGCUUUUGUCGUAUAACUGUGGCAUUAAUUGGUUGUAUAAUAAUAGAUGUUGUAUAUUUUUAAAAAUGGUAUGUAUUGGCCAAUGCUAAAAUAUUUUGUAUCUUAAUUCAAGGAGCUGAAUUCACGGUUUUAGCUUCCAUUGUAGUCUAUUUAAUUAAUUUUCUAACUAUUUAACCACCGUGACAUGGCUUUAGAAGCUGAGGGGUCCAGGGACUUAACUAUAAGAGCACAAACAAUGCAUACUAAAAAGUUGCAUAUUUAUUUUUAUAGCCUAGGCCUCAUGGUCCGUAGGAUAUCACAUAUUUAUUUUUUAUUAAGUAAUUUUUCCCAAAUUAGAACAAUUGUCUGGUGAAAAUUUUCAAACUUUGAAAUAAAAGUUGCAGUACUAAAAUCAGUUAUAAUUAAACCUAAACUUUUUCUUUUUCAAUUACUAUUACGAUAAAUUGGUAGUGGUACGUGCUGUAAAUAUUACAUCUACUUAUAAUGUCAGCACCCAAAAAUUAUUUUUAUAAUGUAAAAUUUACAUUGUCAUUAAUUUGCUUUAUUAAUUUUUAUUAUAACUAUUUUAAAUUUAUAUUAUUAUCAUAAAAUCUGAAAAAUCGUAUCUAUAAUUUUUAAUUAAGCGUAAAAUUUUGUAACUUUUAUAAAUUUUAGUAAAUAUUAAAAAAAUAUAUAAUAUAAUGCUAGUAUUUUUCAAAAAAAUCAACAUUAUCAUUAAAUAAACCUGUGUGUUGUACAAUAAUUCCCUUUUAUCAUUCAAAAGAAAAAUUGAAACUGUUAUUCAAAAUAAAAUAACCAUUAGUGAAUUUUAUGAUAAUUACCUUAAUGAUUAAAUAUAUUUAGUUAAUUUUUUUUGCUCCCUAAUAAAUUUUUGUUUUGUUUUGAGUACUAUAUAAAACAAUAAUUUUAUUUUUGGUCCUAGAUAUUUUGUUGUAUAUAAUCCCUAAUAAGUUAGCAAAUUUUUGUUUACUUCCUUUUAAAUUAACAAAUUUUGUUUUAGUCCCAACUAAUAACAAAUGAAAAAAAUUAUCAAGAAAUAAACACACAAUUUGUGAAUCUAUCAGGGACUAAGAAAAGUAUCAAGAACCAAAAUAAAAUGAUUUUUUUAUUAGAAACUCAACGAAAAGUAAAAAUUUAUUAAAAAUUAAAUACAAAAAAUAAAUAUUUAUUAGGGAUUAAAAUUAUAAUUAAAACUUGUCUUAAAUAUUAAAUCUAUUAUAAUUAUUAAUUGGUUCACAACAUAUAAAUAUUUACACUUGUUAAAAUAUACUAUAAUUUCUCUUAAAUUAUUAGGUAAAAUUGGUAAGAGUGUGAGAAACUUAAUUAUUUAUCAAUACCAGCUAUGUGAAUGAACUAAUGUGGGUUUUUGAGCUAGAGACUCUUGGGAAAAAAAUAUUGUCUCAUAAUGAGAAGAAUACAUCAUAAAAAAAUAGAAAAUAUAAAAAUUUGUUUAAUAUGUUUCAACCCUCAUCCUUGCAUUGACAAUAUUAUACAUUUUAAGGAUAACAUAGAAAAAUUUACAAACAUUUUCUCCUUACGAUUUCCCCUCUGUUUGUUAGGGUAGUGACAGUUUCUUCGCACUAGAUGUGGUGAUUCUUCUCAUCUCAAAAAAUCUCUAUUUAUAAACCUAACAUUCUAAUAUUAACUGAAUUCAAAUCCUUAAUUUAUAAAUAAUAUAUUUAAUUCUAAAUGAUAUCCUAAAAAUAAGAUAAUAUCUUUUUUAAAAGCUAAACAAUAUCCUAUAGAUUUGUUAUUCAUUGAUUGAACCAUCAUUAAUUCCUACAUCCACAACUUUUAUAUAAGAUUUUAUGACAAGCAAGACAAACUUGCAAACCUUCCCUUGAUAUGACUCAUCUCUCUUAGGGUAUUGACCUAGGUUGAGUGAUUAUUCUUAUCUCAUAAAUCUUAUUUUAUAGACAUAACAUUCUAAUCUUAAAUGAGGAAACAAAUACCUAAUUUAUUAAUAAUAUAUUUAAUUUUAUCAACAUUCUAAAAAUAAGAUAAUAUCUUUUUUUAAGAAAAUAAAUAUCUUAUAGAUUUGAGAAUACAAAUAAGAUAUAUCUAACAAGAAGCAAAGUUGGACUUAUGUAGAUCAACCAACUAAUCCCUAUACCCACUCAUCACCUAAGCUCAGCCAAAACUCGCUUAGGCCUCAACCCUGCAUCGCUUAAGCUCUUAGCCAACACCACUUAAGCUACAUAAAAAAACAUGCUAAUUUUUGUGCCCAUUCUAGCUUAAGCGCUACCCAACACCAUUUAAGCUACUUCAAACUAAUUUACUCAAAUUAAAAAGAAUAAUGAUUCAACUAUUUAAUCACUACACAUUAAAUACCUAAUUUAUUUUCCGCACAUCACGCAACUGGUCCAUUUAUCUUUUUUAUUUAUUUCUUACAUGUAAUUUUCUUUUUAUUUUUUAAAAUCCAAAAUUUUCAUCUCUAUUUUAAAAUAAAGAUAUUUAAUCGAUUGUUUUUUACGAUCUAUAAUUUUAAUUUUCUAUUUUAAAAUAGAAAUAUUAGUCAUUUAUAUUUAUAAAAUAUGGAAUUUUAGUUAUCCCCAACUAAAAGCUUUGAUUGUUAAGAGCUUAAUCUUUAUUAUGAUAUAGAUUAACUAAAUUAUCUUGUGUCACAUUAUUAGAUUUGAAUCACAUCAAGUUAGCUUCUUACUAAUCAACGCUAAAUGAUUAUGUGGAUAUAAUCACAAAUGAUCAAAAUUAUAAAUUUUAUAACCUUAAGUAAUUAAUUGUUUUUAUUUUAAAAUAGAAGUAUUAAAAUUGUAAAAUAUAAAAAUUAAGACGGUCAAAUAUUUUUUAAAAUAUAGAAAUCAAAAUUAGAUAUUUUGAAAAUAGGAAAAAAUUACAUUUAAGUUUUUAUUUUUAUUUUUUACCGGAGGUCCAUAUGUCUAGUACUUAGAAAUCACGUCAUUAUAAAAAUGCGCCACUAGAGCAUAAUAUAAUAGCAUGAAGGACGUCAUUAUAAUUACAUUUAAGCCAUGAAGAACGUUGUUAUAUAUGCCAAUCCGCAAUACAUGGAAACUUCUGUUAUGGUUAGUGACACCAACAACACUGAUCAUGAAACCAACUACGCUGAUUCUGUGACUGUAACAAAAAAAAACAAUUACUAUGAAAAUGGACAAAAUUCGAAAUGACUUUGUAAGCAUUGCACAACAGAUUUGUAGGAGAGAUAUUCCAAAUGCCAUUGGAGAGCUUCACUCACUCAGAGGGCUAAACCUUUCCCAUAACAGAUUUAUUGGUCCUAUUCUACAAUCCAUUGGAAAUUUGACAAAGUUAGAAUCAUUGGAUCUCUCCUCAAAUAUGCUCACUGGCGGGAUACCUAGAGAAUUAAGCAAUUUGAACUUUCUUGAAGUCCAAAAUCUUUCCAAUAACCAUCUUGCAUUUGUGGGAGAAAUACCUCAAGGAAAACAGUUCAGUACUUUUUCCAAUGACUCCUAUGGUAGAAACUUGGGGUUGUGUGGACUCCCAUUGACAGCAGAAUGCAGCAAGGACCUUGAACAACAUUCUCCACCUUCACUAACCGUUGGGGGAGAACAGGGAGUUGGAUUUGGUUGGAAACCAGUGGCUAUGUGAUAUGGAUGCGGAAUGGUCUUUGGAGUGGGAAUGGGAUGUUGUGUAUUGUUAAUAGGAAAGCCUCAAUGGCUAGUGAGAAUGGUUGGAGGUCAACUCAAUAAAAAGGUGAAAUGGAAGACAAGGAUGAGAGCUAAUGAGAAUGGUAGCAGACUGAAUUAGUUGAUAUGUGGCAUGACUGUAGAAUGUCUUCUUGCACACCUUCCUGUUGAAAUUCAAUUCUGCCUUGUUGGAAAACAAAACUUAAGGGCAAGAACCUUAUCACACUGCAUUGCAUAUGCAUGCGAGAUCUGAUUCAAAGUUUAGUUGUAAUUGUAAUAUGGUGUUGUACUUUUUUUUCUUUGUGUUCAAUAAAUGAGUGUGAUAUACUUUUUUUUUUCUUCCAUUGCCCCAGAAACUCGGGUCUGAAUCAUCCAAAAGUUUGAUAAUUUUUCUGUUCAUUAAUACGCUUAGAUUGUUUUAUUUUUUUAAACUUUUUUAUAUUGGUGAAUAGUAUCAAGUUAAGUAGUGAAUAAUGUGUUGACAAUCAACAAUCAUUUCGCUAAUAUGCUGCAUAUUAGAAAAUUGUAGCAGUCAUUAAUACCAAUUUGCAUUAUGCACGCUAUUUUGAUCCCAUUGCUGUUGUGGAAGUAGUUUUGCUCCAGACAAGGAAUGGAAAUUGACCAGGAAUUUUGUUUUUUUGUGCCAUCGAUUGAGUUUGUAUAAGUGAAGAUAUGUUGAUCUUCUGACAACCUUUUUUUUUUCGAAAUUAUAAUAAUUACUAGUUCGCUAUCUAAAUUCAUGGGAAAUUGAAAAUUGAUUCCCACGAAACUGUAUUCUUCUUCUACAUUACACUUCUCAGGUGUUCAUAGAAGUCCUCUUCCUACUGGUAAGCCGUAUCAUAUUCACUCUCCCUUGCAUUCUGAUUUUUACUUAUAAAUAAGUUAAUGUCUAAGAGCAGGGUUGAAUGAGCGUAAAAAAAGAGAUAUUUUCUAUGAAGUUUUAAAACAAAUUUUACCGAAUUACAUUGUAAUUGAUCAAAUUCCAGAACCAGCCAUUUUGUAUUCUGUUCUGUUAGGCUCUAGCGUAGCUAACCCUAUACGAACUGGCUUAGCACACUUUACAUUAGUGGUUGGGUCUUGAACAUAUAUAGUUUCUUAUGCUUUAAAUUAAUAUUAAGCAUUGUGUUACUUCUAUGAUUGAGACAGCUAAUAGAGGAUGGGGUUGGAUUUUGGAAAUAAGGGGCUCAGAUACAAGUCUAGAUCCUCUUUAGUUUGUGAACUAAAAUUUUUGUUUUGGUUUUGCCUAUCUCUUAAUCUCUUAAGCUAUUAAAAUUAUUCUAGAAUCCACCUAAAGUUUUUUAUUCAAAAAUAAGUGUUGGAGUCUUAAGAUAAUGGUAUCAAGUUUAUUUAUGUAAUUUGUUUUUGGUGACCUAUUGCGGAAAAUCUUUUUAGUAUUUACUUUCUUGGAUUUUUCAAAAAAUUGAUAUUAGAGUCAAUCUUCGAUUUAGUGACCGGUUUAGACGAGGAAGAUGACGUUGAUGAAUUUAUGGAUAUAGAAUUUAUUGUAUCAAAAGUCUUUCUAUCAGCUGAAUUCAUGCAUAAAUGUCACGUAGCAAAGUUGUAGGUGUUACAAUAGUGCAAGCUACUAGAACAUGUUAUGACAAUGGCUAGACAAGCUAGAGACAAUAAAAAUUAAGUUUUAUGGGUCACCAUUAAAUAUUCUUAGAUUGAAAAUGACUUUCGGUCUUGACUUGAGAGCCUUUUUCUUAGUUUACACCUCGGCUGUGCCAUUAACAAUUGAUAAUGCUGUCUAGCAAGCUAUAUUGUGAAGAUAAAUACUUCUCUCCAUAUUUGUCCAUUUUACAUAUUUCCUGGUGUCAAAAUAUUAUUUUUAUUGUAUUUUUAUAUUUCCUGGUGUCAAGUAUCAAUGAUAAGUUUUACCAAAAAAUAAUAAUCAAUAACUAUAGUUAUGUAUAUAAGGAUAAUAAUUAUUUGACCUCUACAACAGGAUCCUAGUAUGAAGUAGUUCUGUAUGUAAAUCUUGCACAGACAAGCCAAAAUAAUAUAGCAUUGAUCAACCUGUUAAUUAGAAGAAUCAAGUUAAAAGCAGCUUGAAAAAGAGCAGGUAUAUGUAAAUAAUAGAAUACGGGGCCAUCUUGCAGUUGAGAGCGUCAUCUUUCUCCUCAUUUUGGAAUCACUCAAAUCCAAAUUUUGUAGAUUGAGAUAAUAUCAAAAUUUAAAACUUGUUCUAGGUCGUGUUUGGUGUGCAAAUUCUAUCUUAGAAGAUCCAAUUUGAACCAAGCACGUGGUUUCCCAUCACUUCUAUACUUGAAAAUAUAAAUAUGCUACAUUAAAGAGUUUUAUUCCAUUGAAUAUUCUUUCAGAAAAUGAUUUCGCAUUGGAUGUUCCUUCUUUCUAAAUGUGAUCUUUAAAACAAUGUAGAAUUUAUAAAAAAAAAUUGCGUGUAAUGUUCCUUCUUUAACAAAGGGGUCUUUGAACAAUUUUAAAUUUUAUAAACAUUUACUAAUUCUUUUUCUGUCGAUCACCAGAGGCUUAGUAUUAGAAUUUCAAAAUUUAGAUGUGAAAGGACGAAAACUGCAAUGUGAAAAGUGAAAGUUGUUACGUGGAAGUAUAUAUGGCAAAACGAAAAGAAAAAUUGGAAAGAACAAACUCCGUGUGAGCAUCACUAAUUAAAGUUAAAGUUGGACUAAAUUAAAAGAACCAAUAAAAACAAAAGUAAGAUCACUAAUUAAAGUUAAAGUUAGACUAAAAAAAAGAACCAAUACAAACAAAAGUAAGAGAAAUAAAAGGCAACAACUUACAGGUACCUCUCCAAAUACUUGCAAGCUUAAUAAAAUAAUUAAUGAAAAUCUAAUAAUAAAAAAUGGAGGAAAUAGCCAACAUACCUGCAAUAUAUUACCAUGCAUUGUUACAUCUCUACCACAAAACAUGAAUAUCUAAUCUUAUUGGAAACGAUAUUAAUGGAUGAAAUGAUAAACAUCUCUUUUUAAACCUUAUACAUCAUUCACAUAAUUAUUUCAUGUAUCUUGUUUAACAUUUUCUAAUUUUAAUUUAUAUUUUCUUCUUCGUAAAUAUAAAGAUAUGUACACCAAUUAACAAAGUUCAUGUUGUUUACAACUUCCUUUAAAAACAAUGUUGUUUACAACUUAUUUUCUACAUUAAUUAUUAUCUUAAUCUUUUUUUUUCAAACAAAACUCAUACUCAAUUUUUCAUAUAAAAAUUAGUUCUAACAUUUAAUUUUAUUCUCAAUGUUAAGCAACCACAUUAAUAACACUUUCAAAUCAUCCACCGUAUUCUAACAAUGUCCAACUCCUAAAUUGUGACAGAUAUAAGUUUUCUAACUUAUAAAUAUUUUAAUUACUAAAUUAAAUUUUUGACAAAUAUUAAUUUUAAAAAUAUGUUAAUUUUAUACAUAUGCUUUCAACGAAUAUUUUAGAAUUAUGUAUUUUUUAAUUUAAUAUAAUAUUUUUUUAAAUAUUUCUAACAUCUUGAAAUUAUAUCAUAUACAAUUAUUAAUUUACAAAUAACUUUAUAAAUGAUAUAAUUUUGACAAAUAAAUUUUUUAUGUAUAAUUUCAAAAAAUAUUUUAUAAUUUAAUUUUUUUAUAGUUUAAGGUAAUAUUUAUAUUUUAAAUAUUUUUUCUCCGAAUUAUAGUUUAAGGUAAUUUAUUUUUCAAGGGUUAAUAUUAUUGUUAGAGUCUGUUUAGCAAGCACUAUGAGUCUGUUUCACAAGUCACUCCAGUAGCUUAUAAUUUUGUUUGACUAGCAUAUAAGUUGAUUUUAUCAAAAUAAGUUUGGGUAUCAAAACAAACUUAAUUUAAUAACUUUUAGCUUAUUUUCAGACGCUAUUUCAACUAGUAUUUUAGCUUAUAAGUUAUUAAUUUAUUUUUAUAUUUAUAUUUUAUUAUUUUACUUUGAAUUAUUUUUUAUCCUUUUUUAAAUAAAACAAAUUUAUUUAAUUAAAAUAUAAUUUUUUAGAAAAAGAAGGACACAAGUCAUAAAAAAUAAAAAAAACUACAACACUCCAUUGUUUUCAAAAGUCAUAAAUCCAUAUACAUGAAGAGGGUUAAACAAAUUCAUCAAGUCUCUAUCAUUCUUUUAUAGUAUCAAACUAAAAUUAUUUUCCUAUUUUUAUAGGAUAAUAAAUUAUUACUAUAAAAAAGAUUAUAAAUUAUUAAAAAUAAAUUCAUAUAUAUAUAAUUAUAACCAAAUAACUAAAAUAGUUUUCUUAUUAACAAAUCUUAUGGGAAAAAAAUUAAUUCAAUGAGCUACCUCACAAGCUAGUUCUGUCUGGCACACCCUAGCUAUUUCUUCCUUUGAAAUAUUUUUUGUUUGAAUUGUUUAGAUUUAAAUAUAUUUUUAAUUCUUACUAAAAAAAUUUAAUUUUGUCUUUUGUCCCUGUUAAAUUAUUGUUAACUUUUUGGUCCUUAAUAAAAAAAUUUAUUUUAUUUUUUGACUUUGGAUUUAUUUAGAUAGGGCUUUAAAAAUGAAAUAAAAUUAUUUUCAAAGUUAUUUAAGAAAAAACAAAACAAAAAUAUUAUUACAAACCAAAAAGUUAAUGGAAAUUUAUCAGGAAUUAAAGAACAAAAUUUUAAGAUUUAUGAACAACCAAAAAUAUAUUUAAACAGUUUAUAAAACAAAGAGAACAUGAAAAAUCAAUCAUUAUGCUAUUCUCCUUGAACAAGAGUUAUAAUUUCCAUCUAGUACUUCUUUAUUUGUGGAUAUUGAAAUUAUUCGAUGUAACGCCUUUAAAAUAAAUUUCAGAGAGCAACUCAGCCCAUACACUAGAUUGUGUUCUACCUUGACAGUUGAAAAAAAUGCAUUAAAAAGAAGGAUUUGCCGUGAAGGUUCAAGACAAUACAUGCAUGUUUAAUUUUAAAUGAUGAUGAUAUAAACACUAUAAGGUUAUUUGUUAUUUAUUUGAUAAGUUAACUGACUGAAUAUUUAAUUCCACUCCACUACUUGCUAAAACUGACCACCCUCAUCCGAUUCACCGAAGGUUUACAAAAUUCGCUCCGUCAUGUUAUUCCAUUUCUAGUUGGUAUUUUAAAGGGAAAAAAAUGGUUAAAUAAAGAUAUGAAGCAGAAAAAUCAAAUAAAUCAUGUUUGCAGAAAAAUGAGUUCCAAGUCAUGCGUGAGGGAUGGGCUGUUGAAGUCUUGAAGCUUAAUUUAGCCACAAACUUUGCAUAGUGUUUUUAAUUUGGGUAUAAAUAUUAGUGUUUGGUUCCUCAGUAUUUCAUGUAUAUUUUCCCUUAUAGUAAACAGUUUUGAGUAGAAUAUGGAAUCAUGGAUGUGGUGUUUCCUUCUCUGUUCCCAUUUGCUCAUCCUUUAUUUUUCACCCUCUCAUUCCUUAUGCCACCCCCAUGACAACUCUGCCUUGCUCCACUUCAAAAACUCCUUCACUAUUUAUGAAGAUCCUUAUUAUUCUUAUUAUUGUGAUCAUGGUUAUUCAAAGACGACAACAUGGGAAAAUGGGAGAGAUUGUUGCUCUUGGGCUGGAGUCACCUGCCACCCCAUCUCAGGUCACGUCACUGAGCUCGACCUCAGCUGCAGUGGCCUUCACGGCAAUAUCCAUCCAAACAGUACGCUUUUCCAUCUUUCUCAUCUUCACUCACUCAACCUUGCUUUCAAUCAUUUGUAUACAUCUCAUUUGUCAUCUCUCUUUGGUGGGUUUGUGAGCCUCACACAUCUCAACUUGUCUCAUUCUGAAUUUGAAGGGGAUAUUCCUUCCCAAAUCUCUCACCUUUCCAAAUUAGUCUCACUUGAUCUCUCGUACAAUUUGUUAAAGUGAAAGGAAGACACUUGGAAGAGUUUGCUAAAAAAAUGCAACAGUUUUAAAGGUGCUUCUUUUGGAUUUUACAGAUAUGUCUUCCAUUUCAAUCAGGACACUCAAUAUGUCUUCUUCUUUGGUAACUCUUGGUCUUCUAGCAAAUGGGCUAAGCGGAAAGUUGACAGAUGGCAUUCUUUGUUUACCAAAUCUUCAGUACCUAUAUCUUUCAUUUAAUGAGGACCUUCAUGGUCAGCAGCUUCCAGAAAUGAGUUGCAGCACAACUUCUCUUGGUUUCUUAGAUCUUUCAGGUUGUGGUUUCCAAGGGUCAAUCCCUCCCUCUUUCUCUAACCUCACACAUCUUACUUCCCUGGAUCUCUCAGCUAACAACCUCAAUGGUUCAGUCCCAUCCUCACUCUUAACCCUUCCACGGCUAACCUUUCUGAAUCUAAACAAUAACCAACUCAGUGGUCAAAUCCCAAAUAUUUUUCCUAAGUCAAACAACUUUCACGAAUUGCAUUUGAGUUAUAACAACAUAGAGGGUGAGAUCCCAUCAACACUUUCAAAUCUUCAACAUCUCAUUAUCUUGGAUCUGUCACUUUGUGAUUUCCAAGGUUCAAUCCCUCCCUCUUUCUCUAACCUCAUACUUCUUACUUCCCUGGAUCUCUCAUAUAACCACCUCAACGGUUCAGUCCCAUCCUCGCUCUUAACCCUUCCACGGCUAACUUUUCUAAAUCUCAAUGCUAAUUGUCUCAGUGGUCAAAUCCCAAAUGUCUUUCUUCAGUCAAACAACAUUCACGAAUUGGAUUUGAGUAAUAACAAAAUAGAGGGUGAGCUGCCAUCAACACUUUCAAAUCUUCAACGUCUCAUUCUCUUGGAUCUUUCACAUAAUAAAUUUAUUGGUCAAAUCCCAGAUGUGUUUGUCGGGCUAACCAAAUUGAAUAGUCUCAAUCUUUCGGAUAACAAUUUAGGAGGCCCAAUCCCAUCUUCAUUAUUUGGCUUAACACAAUUUUCUUACUUGGAUUGUUCUAAUAAUAAAUUGGAGGGCCCCCUGCCGAACAAAAUAAGAGGGUUUUCAAAUCUAACAUCGUUAAGGUUAUAUGGCAACUUCCUGAAUGGAACAAUUCCUUCUUGGUGUUUAUCUUUGCCAUCUUUGGUGGAUUUAUAUCUAUCAGAAAACCAAUUCUCAGGGCAUAUUAGUGUAAUCUCAUCAUAUUCAUUGGUGAGAUUAUCUUUAUCCCACAACAAGUUACAAGGCAAUAUUCCAGAUACAAUUUUCAGCCUUGUAAACCUUACUGACUUAGAUCUAUCAUCAAACAAUUUAAGCGGAUCUGUCAACUUUCCACUUUUCUCAAAGCUUCAAAAUUUGGAAAGACUUAAUCUUUCACAUAAUAAUCAGUUAUCACUAAAUUUCAAAUCCAAUGUCAAUUAUAGUUUUUCCAGUUUAUGGAGUUUGGACUUAUCUUCUACGGGUUUAACUGAAUUUCCAAAAUUAUCAGGAAAAGUCCCAAUUUUGAAAUUACUCCAUUUGUCCAAUAAUACACUUAAAGGUAGAGUACCAAAUUGGUUGCACGACACGAACUCAUCGUUAUAUUUAUUGGACCUCUCUCAUAACCUAUUGACGCAAUCAUUGGACCAAUUCUCAUGGAACCAACACCUCGUUUACCUUGAUCUUAGUUUUAACUCAAUCACUGCUGGCUCUUCCUCAAUUUGCAAUGCAACUGCAAUUGAGGUUCUCAACUUAUCUCACAACAAGUUGACAGGAACCAUUCCACAAUGCCUUAUUAACUCAUCAACCCUGGAAGUUUUGGAUCUGCAACUGAACAAGCUUCAUGGCCCUUUGCCAAGUACCUUUGCAAAGAACUGUCAGCUCAGAACUCUAGAUCUCAAUGGCAACCAAUUAUUAGAAGGUUUUCUGCCAGAAUCUUUGUCCAAUUGCAUUAAUCUGGAGGUUUUAAAUCUUGGAAACAAUCAAAUAAAGGAUGUGUUUCCCCAUUGGCUUCAAACUCUACCAGAAUUGAAAGUAUUGGUUUUGAGAGCCAACAAGUUGUACGGUCCCAUUGAGGGUUCAAAGACCAAGCAUGGAUUCCCCAGUUUAGUUAUUUUUGAUGUCUCUUCCAACAACUUCAGCGGCUCAAUACCAAAUGCCUACAUAAAAAAAUUUGAAGCCAUGAAGAACGUUGUUCUAUAUCCCGAUUGGCAAUACAUGGAAAUUUCUAUUUCUUUUGCAGAAACCAACUACCAUGAUUCUGUGACUAUAACAACAAAAGCAAUUACUAUGACAAUGGACAGAAUUCGAAAUGACUUUGUAAGCAUUGAUUUAUCCAAAAACAGAUUUGAAGGAGGGAUUCCAAAUGCCAUUGGAGAGCUUCAUUCACUCAGAGGACUCAACCUUUCCCAUAACAGGCUUAUUGGUCCUAUUCCCCAGUCCAUGGGAAAUUUGAGAUACUUAGAAUCAUUGGAUCUCUCCUCAAAUAUGCUCAUUGGUGGGAUACCUACAGAAUUAAGCAAUUUGAACUUUCUUGAAGUCCUAAAUCUUUCCAAUAACCAUCUUGUGGGAGAAAUACCUCGAGGACAACAGUUCAAUACUUUUCCCAAUGAUUCCUACAAGGGAAACUCUGGGUUAUGUGGACUCCCACUGACAAUCAAAUGCAGCAAGGACCCUGAACAACAUUCUCCACCUUCAACUACCUUCAGGAGAGAACCAGGAUUUGGAUUUGGUUGGAAACCAGUGGCUAUAGGAUAUGGAUGUGGAGUGGUCUUUGGAGUGGGAAUGGGAUGUUGUGUAUUGUUAAUAGGAAAGCCUCAAUGGCUUGUGAGAAUGGUCGGAGGUAAACUCAAUAAAAAGGUGAAAAGGAAGACAAGGAUGAGAUCUAAUGAAAAUGGUAGCAGAAUGAAUUAGUUGAUAUAUGGCAUGACUGGAGAAUGUCUUGUUCCAUACCUGCCAUCUUUGAAAACAAAACUUAAGGGCAAGAACUUUAUCACACUGCAUUGCAUGGGAGAUCUGGUUCAAAGUUUUGCUGUAAUAUGAAUGUGUUAUACUUUUGCUUUUUGUGUUCUUUUUUUGUUUGUUAUGUGUAGAAGAGUGCAUGUACUUCAUUUGCCUUGAGCUUGCAGUUUUGAUUUAUUUAAUACGUAUAACUGUAGCAUUAAUUGGUUGUAUAAUAAUAGAUGUUGUAUAUUUUUAAAAAUGAUAUGUAUUGGCCAAUGCUAAAAUAUUUUGUAUCUUAACAGUAUGCAGUUGUCUCAUUUCAUUGAAGGAGCUCAAUUCACGGUUUUAGCUUGUAUUGUAGUCUAUUUACUUAAUUUGCUAAAUUAUCAAACUGUUAUUCAAAAUAAAAUAAGCAUUAGUGACUUUUAUAAUAAUUACCUUAAUGAUUAAAUAUAUUUUUAUUUUCAAUAAAUAGUUGAUUUUUUUGUUUAUUUCCCAAUAAAAAAAAUUAUUUUGAGUACCUUAUAAAAUAAUAAAUUUUUUUGUUUCCCAGAUAUUUUUUUUGUAAUCCCUAAUAAAUUAGCACAUUUUUGUUUACUCCCUCUUAAAUUAACGAAUUUUGUUUUAAUCCUGAUUAAUAAUAAAUAAAAAAAAUUAUUAAGAAAUAAAUAAAUACACAAUUUGUGAAUUUAUCAUGGACUAAGAAAAGUAUCAAGGAUCAAAAUAAAAUGAUUUUUUUAUUUGAAACUCAACGGAAAGUAAAAUUUUAUUAAAAAUUAAAUAUUUAUUAGUUAUUAAAAUUAUAGUUAAAACUUAUCUUAAAGAUUAAAUAUAUUAUAAUUUUUAUUUGGUUCACAACAUAUAAAUAUUUACCAUUGUUAAAAUAUACUAUAAUUUCUCUUAAAUUAUUUUAAUGAAAAUAAAUAGUAAAAUAGUAGGAACUUAAUCUAAGUUACGUUUAGUAAAUAUUGGGUAAAAUUGGUAAGAGUGUGAGAAACUUAAUUAUUUAUCACUACCAAAUAUGUGGAUCAACUAAUGUGGGUUGUUGAGCCAGAGACUCAUGAGAAAAAAUAUUGUCUCAUAGUGAGAAGAAUAAAUCAUAAAAAAUAGAAAAGAUAAUAAAUUUGUUCAAUAUGAUUUAGACCUUCAUCCUUGUAUUAACAAUCUGAUACAUUUUAAGGACAAUUUAGACAAACUUACAAACAUUCUCUUCUAACGAUUCCCCUAUCUUAGUUAGGGUAGUGAUAUUUUCUUCACACUAGAUGUGGUGAUUCUUUUUAUCUCAAAAAAUUUCUAUUUACAGAUCUAACUAAUCUUAAAUGAAUUCAAAUCCAUAAUUUACAAAUAAUAUAUUUAAUUCUAAAUGGUAUCCUAAAAAUAAGAUAAUAUGUUUUUAAAAAUCUAAACAAUAUCCUAUAAAUUUGAUAUUCAUUGAUUGGACCAUCAUUAAUUCCUACAUACCCAACCUCUAUAUAAGUUUUUAUGACAAGUUAGACAAACUUACAAAUAUUUCCUCUACAUGACUCAAUCUCUCUUAGGGUGUUGACCUAGGCUGAGUGAUUAUUCUCAUCUCAUAAAUCUUAUUUUAUAGACAUAACAUCCUAAUCUUAAAUAAGAAAACAAAUAUCUAAGGGUGUGUUAGGUUUGCAUUUUUAUUUUUUAUUUUCAUUUCCUGUUUUUAUUUUCUGAAAACUGUUUUCAUUUUUCAAAUAUUAGAAUUCUAAAAACAUGUUUGGUUUGAUUUUUUGUUUUAUGUUCUCAGGAAAUAAAAACACUGAAAAUUUAUGAUAUAUUAACUUCUUGUUUUUUUUUGUAUUUUUAGAUUUGCUUAAAAUUACAUUCUUUGCCAUUACGUUUUUAUUUUAUCCAAAAUAAGGGUCCUGUUUUAACUGAAAACGAGAUGUUAUUGUUUUCAUUUUCUGGUUGUUUCCUAUUUUCAUUUUCACUCAAAAUGUUUUUAAAAAUCGAAUCAAACACAUCUUCAUCAUUAUUUUCUGUUUUCAGUGAAAAUGAAAACAAAAAACAACCAAAUCAAACACCUCCUAAUUUAUUAAUAAUAUAUUUAAUUUUAACAACAUUCUAAAAAUAAGAUAAUAUUUUGGUUAAGAAAACAAUAUCUGACAAAUUUGAGAAUACAAAUUUAAAUUAUUUCCUAAUAAAGUCAUCGAUAUGUAGUUAAAUACUUAGAAAAAGAGUUUCAUCAUCCAUAAUAAUCAUAUUGACUCAAACAAGAUUAUCUUCAAUCAAAUAUACCUAUCUACGGAAGAAAGACCUAUGUAAGAUAAAUCUAACAUGAAGCCAAGUUGGACUUAUGUAGAUCAAUUAACCAACUAAUCCCUAUGCCCACUCAUCACCUAAGCUCAACCAAACUCGCUUAAGCCCCAACCCUGCAUCGCUUAAGCUCUUAGCCAACACCACUUAAGCUACAUCAAAAAACAUGUUAGUUUUUGUGCCCAUUCUAGCUUAAGCGCUACCCAACACCACUUAAGCUACUUCAAACUAAUUUACUCAAAUUAAAAAAAUAAUAAUGAUUCUACUAUUUAAUCACUACACAUUAAAUACCUAAUUUAUUAUCCGCUUAUCAAGCAACUGGUCCAUUUAUCUUUUUUAUUUGUUUAUUACAUGUAAUUUUUAUUUCUUUUAUUUUUUAAAAUCUAAAAUUUUGAUCUCUAUUUUAAAAUAAAGAUAUUUAGUCUAUUAUUUUUUACAAUCUAAAAUUUUAGUUUUCUAAUUUAAAAUAGAAAUAUUAGUCUUUUAUAUUUAUAAAAUAUGUAAUUUUAGUUAUCCCAACUAAAAGCAUUGUCUGCUAAGAGCUUAAUUUUAAUUAUGAUACAGAUUAAAUAAAUUAUCUUGUAUCACAUUAUUAAAUUUGAAUCACAUUAAGUUAGCUUCUUAUUAAUUAACGCUAAAUGAUUAUGUGGAUAUAGGCAUACGGAUGAUUAAAAUGAUGAAUUUUAUAAAAUUAAGUAAUUAUAUGUUUUUAUUUUAAAAUAGAAGUAUUACAAUUGUAAAAUAUAAAAAUUAAGAAGAUUAAAUAUUUUUUAAAAUAUAGAUAUUAAAAUUAAAUAUUUUGAAAAUAGGAAAAAAAAUAUAUUUAAGUUUUCUUUUACCGGAGGUCCAUAUGUCCAGUACUUAGAAAUCUCGUCAUGAUAAAAAUGCGUCACUAGAGCAUAAUAUAAUAGCAUGAAGAACGUCAUUAUAAUUACAUUUAAGCCAUGAAGAACGUUGUUAUAUAUGCCAAUCCGCAAUACAUGGAAACUUCUGUUAUUGUUAGUGACACCAACAACAUUGAUCAUGAAACCAACUACGCUGAUUCUGUGACUGUAACAACAAAAGCAAUUACUAUAUGAAAAUGGAUAAAAUUUGAGAUGACUUUGUAAGCAUUGAUUUAUCGCACAACAAAUUUGAAGGAGAGAUUCCAAAUGCCAUUGGAGAGCUUCAUUCACUCAGAGGGCUAAACCUUUCCCAUAGCAGGCUUAUUGGUCCUAUUCCCCCAUCCAUGUGAAAUUUGACAAAUUUAGAAUCAUUGGAUCUCUCCUCAAGUAUGCUCACUGGCGGGAUACCUAGAGAAUUAAGCAAUUUGGACUUUCUUGAAGUCCUAAAUCUUUCCAAUAACCAUCAUGUGGGAGAAAUACCUCAAGGAAAACAGUUCAGCAGUACUUUUUCCAAUGACUCCUAUGAUAGAAACUUGGGGUUAUGUGGACUCCCAUUGACAGCAGAAUGAAGCAAGGACCUUGAACAACAUUCUCCACCUUCACUAACCUUUGGGGGAGAACAGGGAUUUGGAUUUGGUAGAAAGCAGUGGCUAUAAUGCGGAAUGGUCUUUGGAAGGGGAAUGGGAUGUUGUGUAUUGUUAAUGGGAAAGCCUCAAUGGCUUGUGAGAAUGGUUGGAGGUCAACUCAAUAAAAAGGUGAAAUGGAAGACAAGGAUGAGAUCUAAUGAAAAUGGUAGCAGAACGAAUUAGUUGACAUGUGGCAUGACUGUAGAAUGUCUUCUUGCUCACCUUCCCGUUGAAAUUCAAUUCUGUCUUGUUGGAAAACAAAACUUAAGGGCAAGAACCUUAUCACACUGCAUUGCAUAUGCAUGGGACAUCUGAUUCAAAGUUUAGUUGUAAUUGUAAUAUGGUGUUGUACUUUUUUUUCUUUGUGUUCGAUAGAUGAGUGUGAUAUACUUUUUUUUUUACUUCCAUUGCCCCAGAAACUCGGGUCUGAAUCAUCCAUAAGUUUGAUAAUUUUUCUGUUCAUUAAUACGCUUAGAUUGUUUUAUUUUUUUUAACUUUUUUAUAUUGGUGAAUAGUAUCAAGUUAAGUAGUGAAUAAUGUGUUGACAAUCAACAAUCAUUUCACUAAUAUGCUGCAUAUUACAAAAUUGUAGCAGUCAUUAAUACCAAUUUGCAUUAUCGACGCUAUUUUGUUCCCAUUGCUGUUGUGGAAGUACUUUUGCUCCAGACAAGGAAUGGAAAUUGACCAGGAAUUUUGUUUUUUUGUGCCAUCGAUUGAGUUUGUAUAAGUGAAGAUAUGUUGAUCUUCUGACCACCUUUUUUUUCGAAAUUAUAAUAAUUACUAGUUCGCUAUCUAAAUUCAUGGGAAAUUGAAAAUUGAUUCCCACGAAACUGUAUUCUUGUUCUACAUUACACUUCUCAGGUGUUCUUAGAAGUCCUCUUCCUACUGGUAAGCCAUAUCAUAUUCACUCUCCCUUGAAUUCUGAUUUUUACUUAUAAAUAAGUUAAUGUCUAAGAGCAGGGUUGAAUGAGCGUAAAAAUUAGUUUGUAUGCUUUAAAUUAAUAUUAAGCAUUGUGUUACUUCUAUGAUUGAGACAGCUAAUAGAGGAUGGGGUUGGAUUUUUGAAAUAAGGGGCGCAGAUACAAGUCUAGAUCCUCUUUAGUUUGUGAACUAAAAUUUUUGUUUUGGUUUUGCCUAUCUCUUAAGCUAUUAAAAUUAUUCUAGAAUCCACCUAAAGUUUUUUAUUCAAAAAUAAGUGUUGGAGUCUUAAGAUAAUGAUAUCAUUAAGAUAAUGAUAUCAAGUUUAUUUAUGUAAUUUGUUUUUGGUGACUUAUUGCAGAAAAUCUUCUUGAUAUUUACUUUCUUGGAUUUUUCAAAAAAUUGAUAUUAGAGUCAAUCUUCGACAUAGUGACCGGUUUAGACAAGGAAGAUGACGUCGAUGAAUUUAUGGAUAUAAAGUUUAUUGUAUCAAAAGUCUUUCUGUCACCUGAAUUCAUGCAUAAAUGUCACGUAACAGAGUUGUAGGUGUUAUGUACAAUAAUGCAAGAUACUAAAACAUGUUAUGACAAUGGCUAGAAGAGCUAGAGACACUAAAAAUUAAGUUUCAUGAGUCACUAUUAAAUAUUCUUAGAUUGAAAAUGACUUUCGGUCUUGACUUGAGAGCCUUUUUCUUAGUUUACACCUGGCUGUGCCAUUAACAAUUGAUAAUGCUGUCUAGCAAGCUAUAUUGUGAAGAUAAAUACUUCUCUUCAUAUUUGUCCAUUUUACAUAUUUCCUGGUGUCAAAAUAUUAUUUUUAUUGUAUUUUUAUAUCCUUUAAAAUAAAUUUGCUUUUGGAGUUUUCUCUUGGACGAGAUACCAUUCAAAGAAUUUCACAUAAUGUAAAUGCACGGGGUUCUUUUUUAAUUUUGAUUUUGUGGCAUUUAUCUCUAUAUUUGGUUGAUAUAUUUGAAACUUGAUAGCGCGAUUAGCUGAUGUAUCAGUCAACGGACCCUAGUAUGGAAAAAGAAUACGGUGAAGACAGAAUUUUUCCACAAACUAAUGUAUCAGCGUGAGUUUCCUUUAAUUUUCUUUUGAUUUAAAUAUUUUUGUGGACGUGUUUUAAUUUUCAUUUUUUGAUGUGAUUGGCGAGCUUAAUUUUCUAACCCAUAUUUUAAGGGUUGGCAGACUUGGAAAUCAACGCUUGGAUUUAAUUGAACUGGCUGUUUAUACAUGUUUUGUUUUUAGAAUCAUAUCACAUAUAUGUAGUCUGUUGGUGAAAGUAUAUAGUGGCAGCUUAUGUUUUGGGCAGAAAUUGUUUCCUCAAACUUUCAUGUGAUAAGACAAAUUAACUUCUGAAUUUUCACAAUAAUAUUCUUCUAUGCUAUCAUAAGAAGAAGAAAAAACCACCAAUAACUUGUAGAUGCAUGUUCUCUUAAACAGGUGGUAUUCUUCUAGACCCAAAAAAAAAGGUGGUAUUCUCUGUGUUCAAUUAUAUCUUUUGGCUGGGAUCUUCCUUUUUCAUAUGUUGGGGUUUAAAAUAUUUAAUAGGGAUUAAUUAACAGGAACAUAUCCAGAAAAUAAUAACAAGCUUAAACAUACAAAAUUAUGUUAAUUAAUAAAUUUCAUCACUAUAUAUUUUAUAUAAAAAAAUUAAUUAACCUGUAUAUAUAAUUUUUUAAAGAAAAAUAUGAGAGGGAAACCAUUCUUGUUUCAUUUGAUACUGCCAUGUUAAUCAAUCAUGUCUAAUAAAUAUUUUCUCCGAUUUCUAUUAUAAAAAAAUUAUUUCAUAUUUAUUAAAAAAUUAAUUACUUUUAUUAAAUUGUAUUAAUAUUAAAAUAUUUUUUUUCUAAAUUAUUCUUCACUAAAAGUUGAUAUGAAGCAUAAAAAUAUCCAGCCUUAUAUAUAUUGUAGGCCAACACACAUUUCAUUUGCUUUUCUUUAUGAAAAAAGUUAAAUUAAUAGAGGAUGGGAUUGCAUUUUGGAAAUAAAGGGCUCACAUACAAGUACCUAGGUACAGUUUAGUUUGUGGCCUUAAACUCUGUUUUGGUUUUACCUUUCCUCUUGUGCUAUUAAAAUUCUUCUAGCAUCCGUUCACAAGUUUUUUAUUCAAAAGUAUUUGACGUACUGUUAGUUUAGUUGUUGAGAGUCUUUUUGUACUCCAGAAUUAACUAUGCCAUUGACAAUGGAUAAUUCUGUCAAGCAUGCUAUAUUGUUAAGAAAAAUACUUCUCUCCUAGUUUGUUCAAUUUUACAAAUAUACGUAUAUCAAAUUUUGAUGGUGGUCUCAUUUUUUUGCCUCUAUUCCUUAUCUGCUUCCCUCACUUGGAAAAGUAAAAUGGUAUCAACAUAUUUUUUUUAUUGUAUUUUUAUAUUCUUUUGAAAUAAAUUUACUUUAGAGGAGUGUUUGGACCAGAUACCAUACAAACCAAUUAAAAAAUUUAAAUGCACGGUGUCUUUUUUAAUUUUUAUUUUGUGGCAUUUUUCCUCUAUAUUUGAUUGGUAUUUUUGAAACAUGAUUGCGAUUAGCUGAUGUAUAAAGUCAACGAACCCUAGUGUGGAAAAAUAAUACGGUGAAGACAGUUUUUCAACAACUAAUUUUAUCAGCCAGAGUUUCCUUUAAUCUUCUUUUGAUGUGAUUAGAGUGUCUAAUUUUCUAACCCAUAUUUUAAAGGUUGGAAGACUCGGAAAACAACUGUUUGGUUCAACUAGGAUUGAUUAUAUAUAUAAAACUCUGUGAAUUGAAUAAUAGUUGGGGGCGGGACCUAGGAUUUAUCUAGACAUAGCUUUCCAACUCUUAACAGCUAAAACUUCUAGACACAACCCCAAUUAGAAGAUCAACAGUACAUACACCUCAACUCAUGAAAAAAACCUCUAUAUUCCAUAGAUAAACUUAAAUUUCUCAAUUUAGGAUAUCUACAGUCCUAUACAACUGAUCAAGCGUACUCUCUAUCAAUUAAUGGAAUGUUGAGUAAUUUGAUCAAAUGAAGUUUCCAAUACAGGGUACCUCUUGCCCUUCAGUUUAGAGGUCUAAGCCAAUCACUUUAGGUAGGAUUUAAUCAAACCAUGACUUAAUUCAAUUAUAUUUUAAUGGAUUAAUUUGGGUCAACGGACGUAAUAAUUUAAUUUUUUUUUCUUUUUUAAAACCUAAUAUUUUGUAGAAAUUAAAUUUUUUAUUAAAUAAAUUAAAUAUAAUUAUUUCUUAUUAUAUUUUAUUAAAAAGAAAUUUUUGUGAUGUGACCGCAUCUUACUCCGCUAACUCCUAUUUAUCCAAAGGAAUUGGGAAAUUAAGUGUAUCAUAUCACAAGCUCUUUUUAAGGUUUAGCUUUAUUGGAAGAUCUUAUAAAUAGGAGAAAAAGUAAACUAUGCUGGAAAAAAAUGUUAAGCAAUGAAGUAGACAUUAAAGAAAAACAAAAAGAAAUAUUGAAUAGAAUUGUAUUGUUUAUAAUUUUUUACGUUAUCUUACUGUUUCUACUUUCUGCAAUACUUUUAUUUUAAUUUUUUAUUUAAUGUCUAAGAGUACCCGUAGUUGACAAGACACUUCUUGUAAACAAGAAGUCAUAUAAUAGAUAACUAGAAUAAGUUGAAUUUGGAUAAUAAUUUGAGUAUUCUCUGUCAUUGUGAGAGUUGUUCUUCUUUAAUAACUUUGAUUUUAUUAACAUAUUGCGAUUAUGAUCAAAUUCUACUUGUUCACUUUGCAUGAAUUUAACAUGAUCCUAUAAAUCGAUUCGUAUUAUUGUUUAUCAGACAAUAUAAUUAAUUGUUAGUACAGUGACCUGUGAGCACAUCUAUUUGUAUACAUAUGGUAUAGAUAAACUAUUGGUUUUUUCAAUUUGAGAACAAAUCUCCUAAUAUAAUUUUUGUUCAUUUCUAAUAUUUUACAAAAAUAUUGAUGUAACCGUAUUGUCAUCUCUAUUUUAAAUUUGGCAAUAACACAUCAAACUAAAUUAAAUAAAAUCGAAUUUCAAAUUUGGGAAUAACACAUUAUCUAAUAAUGACCUCCAAAUCAAUUUCGAUGACAAUGGUGUAACAACCUUAAUUAAUAACUUCUUUGACAUAUCUGCGUUCCUUCUUUGCAUAAAUUAACUUCCAAGUCAAUGCAAAACGUUUUGCAUGGGGUAGAAAAUGGGAAACUUUUUGGGAUACAAAUACCAAUUAUAUAUGUAAGUUCUAAAAGAUAGAAACUAUAUAACUCUAUUACUAUAAUAAAGAUCCAUUCUUUUUUAAUUGACAAAUUAUUUAGUUUAUUAAUUUUAUUUAUUCAAAUUAAUUUAUUCAAUGCUAUUUAAUUUCAGUCAACAAAUUGCUAUUUAAUUUAUUCAUCAAUACUCACUCACUUGCUAAAACUUAUUAUCCGUCUUCACUGAAGUCUAAAGGUUUACAAAUUAGAAAAUGCAUUUUAAAGAGAAAAAUUAAAACGAUAAAAUAGAUAUAUGAAGUAGAAAAAUCAAAUAAAUCAUGUUUGCAAAGAGUUCCUAGAGAUAAUAUAAUGAAAGGGUUGAGAAAUGAAUGUUGAUUUGCAUGAGGGAUGGGUUGUUGUAGUGUAUACUCCUUGCGUGUUAACAAAAUUAAUUUUAAAUGUAAUUGAUUUUGUAAAAUUGAUUUUGAAGUAAUUAAUGUUUGUAUGUUUUAUUAUAAAAUUAAAUUAACAAUAAAAUUUGUUAUAAAAUUUUAGAUUCAAUACAGAAAUUGUUUAAAACAUAUAAAAAUAUAUUUAAAAUUAAUUAUAGAUUCAAAAUCAAUUUUUCAUCGUGAAUCAAACAAUAAAAAGUCUCAAAAUGGUUGAUGAAGGAUAAUUUUUUUAAAAAAUUUAUCAUUUGGAGAUAAAAUUUAAGUUGAUAUUCCAAAAGGAAUAAGUCUUAAUAAAUAAUGCAACUUCUAAAUUAAAAAUAGUGAAAUUUGUUAUAACUUUUUUUUAUUUUUUACAUUAAAGUCAUAAGAAAUUUUAUGGACUUCAUUUUUAUUUUUUAAAUACGUCUAAAAUUUAAUUCUCAUAGACAUUAAAGUCAUAAUUUUUUUUAUUGAAUUCGUAAAUUAUUUUAUGACUUUAAUUUAUUUUGCAUCUGAUAUAUUUUUUAAAAUUAUAAAUAAUUUUUAUUUUGGUUAUUUAAUAAAUUAAUGAUUUUAGUUUUAUUUAAUAUUUUGGUUAUUUUGCUAAAACCACCCUCAUCCGAUUCACCAAAGGUUUACAAAAUUCGCUCCGUCAUGUUGUUUCAUUGCUAGUUGGUAUUUUAAAGGGAAAACAUGGUUAAACAAAGAUAUGAAGUAGAAAAAUAAAAUAAAUCAUGUUUGCAGAAAAAAUGAGUUCCAAGUCAAGUCAAUUUAAAUAGCAAUUGCUGGGACAACUUUGAUAGCGUGUAAAAGGAUCAUAAGAUUUAUGGUCAAUUUGCGUGAGGUUUGGGCUGUUGAAGACUUGAAGCUUAAUUUAGCCACAAAUUUUGCAUAUCAUCUUUUAAAUUUGGCUAUAAAUAUUAAUGUUUGGUUGCUCAGUAUUAAUUUCAUGUAUAUUUGAGUAGAAAAUGGAAUCAUGGAUGUGGUGUUUCCUUCUCUGUUCCCAUUUGCUCAUCCUUUAUUUUUCACCCUCUCAUUCCUUAUGCCACCCCCAUGACACCUCUGCCUUGCUCCACUUCAAAAACUCCUUCACUAUUUAUGAAGAUCCUUAUUAUUCUUAUUAUUGUGAUCAUGGUUAUUCAAAGACGACAACAUGGGAAAAUGGGACAGAUUGUUGCUCUUGGGCUGGAGUCAGCUGCAACCCCAUCUCAGGUCACGUCACUGAGCUCGACCUCAGCUGCAGUCGCCUUUACGGCAAUAUCCAUCCAAACAGUACGCUUUUCCAUCUUUCUCAUCUUCACUCACUCAACCUUGCUUUCAAUGAUUUUAAUUAUUCUCAUUUGUCAUCUCUCUUUGGUGGGUUUGUGAGCCUCACUCAUCUCAACUUGUCUAAUUCUCACUUUGAAGGGGAUAUUCCUUCCCAAAUCUCUCACCUUUCCAAAUUAGUCUCACUUGAUCUCUCUGGUAAUAAUUUGUUAAAGUGGAAGGAAGACACUUGGAAGAGAUUGCUCCAAAAUGCAACAGUUUUAAGGGUGCUUGUUUUGGAUCAAACAGAUAUGUCUUCCAUUUCAAUCAGGACACUCAAUAUGUCUUCCUCUUUGGUUACUCUUAGUCUAGGACUGACUUGGCUAAGAGGAAACUUGACAGAUGGCAUUCUCUGUUUACCAAAUCUUCAGCACUUGGAUCUUUCACUUAAUCGGGCCCUUGAAGGUAAGCUUCCAGAAGUGAGUUGCAGAACAACUUCUCUUGAUUUCUUAGAUCUUUCACUUUGUGGUUUCCAAGGGUCAAUCCCUCCCUCUUUCUCCAACCUCAUACAUCUCACUUCCCUGGACCUCUCAGGUAACAACCUCAACGGUUCAAUCCCUCCCUCUUUCUCCAACCUCAUACAUCUUACUUCCUUGGAUCUCUCAUAUAACAACCUCAACGGUUCAAUCCCAUCCUCACUCUUAACCCUUCCAUGGCUAAACUUUCUGUAUCUAAACUAUAACCAACUCAGUGGUCAAAUCCCAGAUGCCUUUCCUCAGUCAAACAGCUUUCACGAAUUGCAUUUGAGUGAUAACAAAAUAGAGGGUGAGCUGCCUUCAACACUUUCAAAUCUUCAACAUCUCAUUCACUUGGAUCUUUCACAUAAUAAAUUGGAGGGCCCUCUGCCUAACAAUAUAACAGGGUUUUCAAACCUAACAUCGUUAUGGUUAUCUGGAAACUUACUGAAUGGGACAAUUCCUUCUUGGUGUUUAUCUUUGCCAUCUUUGGUGGAUUUAGAUCUAUCAGGCAACCAACUCUCUGGGCAUAUUAGUGCAAUCUCAUCAUAUUCCUUGGAGACAUUGUUUUUAUCCCACAACAAGUUACAAGGCAAUAUUCCAGAAUCAAUUUUUAGCCUUCUAAACCUUACUCACUUAGAUCUAUCAUCAAACAAUUUAAGUGGAUCUGUCAAAUUUCAUCGUUUCUCCAAGCUUCAAAAUUUGGAAAAACUUCACCUUUCAUGGAAUGAUCAGUUAUCACUAAAUUUCGAAUCCAAUGUCAAUUAUAGUUUCUCUAAUUUAAAGUUGUUGAACUUAUCUUCUAUGGUUUUAACUGAAUUUCCAAAAUUAUCGGGAAAAGUCCCAAUUUUAGAAUCACUCUAUUUGUCCAAUAACAAACUUAAAGGUAGAGUGCCACAUUGGUUGCAUGAAGUAUCGUUAUCUGAAUUGAACCUUUCUCAUAACCUAUUGACGCAAUCAUUGGACCAAUUCUCAUGGAACCAACAACUCGGUUACCUUGAUCUUAGUUUUAACUCAAUCACUGGUGACUUCUCUUCCUCAAUUUGCAAUGCAAGUGCAAUUGAGAUUCUCAACUUGUCUCACAACAAGUUGACAGGAACCAUUCCACAAUGCCUUGCAAACUCAUCAUCCCUUCUAGUUUUGGAUCUACAACUGAACAAGCUUCAUGGCACUUUGCCAAGUAUCUUUUCAAAGGACUGUCGGCUCAGAACUCUGGAUCUCAAUGGCAACCAACUAUUAGAAGGUCUUUUGCCAGAAUCUUUGUCCAAUUGCAUUGAUCUGGAGGUUUUAGAUCUUGGAAACAAUCAAAUAAAGGAUGUGUUUCCCCAUUGGCUUCAAACUCUACCAGAAUUGAAAGUAUUGGUUUUGCGAGCCAACAAGUUGUACGGUCCCAUUGUCGGUUUAAAGAUCAAGCAUGGAUUCCCCCGUUUAGUCAUCUUUGAUGUCUCUUUCAACAACUUCAGCGGCCCAAUACCAAAAGCCUACAUACAAAAAUUUGAAGCGAUGAAGAACGUUGUUAUAGAUACCGAUCUGCAGUACAUGGAAAUUUCUAUUGGAGCUAAAAAGAUGUACAGUGAUUCUGUGACUAUAACAACAAAAGCAAUUACUAUGACAAUGGACAAAAUUCCAAAAGGCUUUGUCAGCAUUGAUUUAUCAAAAAACGGAUUUGAAGGAGAGAUUCCAAAUGCCAUUGGAGAGCUUCAUGCCCUCAGAGGGCUCAACCUUUCCCAUAACAGAAUUAUUGGUCCUAUUCCCCAAUCCAUGGGAAAUUUGACAAACUUAGAAUCAUUGGAUCUCUCCUCAAAUAUGCUCACUGGUGGGAUACCUACGGAAUUAAGCAAUUUGAACUUCCUUGAAGUCCUAAAUCUUUCCAAUAACCAUCUUGCGGGAGAAAUACCUCGAGGACAACAGUUCAGUACUUUUACCAAUGAUUCCUAUGAGGGAAACUCAGGGUUAUGUGGACUCCCACUGACAAUCAAAUGCAGCAAGGACCCUGAACAACAUUCUCCAACUUCAACUACCUUGAGGAGAGAAGGAGGAUUUGGAUUUGGUUGGAAACCAGUGGCUAUAGGAUAUGGAUGUGGAAUGGUCUUUGGAGUGGGAAUGGGAUGUUGUGUAUUGUUAAUAGGAAAGCCUCAAUGGCUUGUGAGAAUGGUCGGAGGUAAACCCAAUAAAAAGGUGAAAAGGAAGACAAGGAUGAGAUCUAAUGAAAAUGGUAGCAGAAUGAAUUAGUUGAUAUAUGGCAUGACUGGAGAAUGUCUUGUUACAUACCUGCCAUCUUUGAAAACAAAACUUAAGGGCAAGAACUUUAUCACACUGCAUUGCAUGGGAGAUCUGGUUCAAAGUUUUGCUGUAAUAUGAAUGUGUUAUACUCUUGCUUUUGUCGUAUAACUGUGGCAUUAAUUGGUUGUAUAAUAAUAGAUGUUGUAUAUUUUUAAAAAUGGUAUGUAUUGGCCAAUGCUAAAAUAUUUUGUAUCUUAAUUCAAGGAGCUGAAUUCACGGUUUUAGCUUCCAUUGUAGUCUAUUUAAUUAAUUUUCUAAGUAUUUAACCACCGUGAAAUGGCUUUAGAAGCUGAGGUUGAGGUCCAGGUAUAAGAGCACAAACAAUGCAUACUAAAGGAUGGCUAUGGGUAUAGCCUAGGCCUUAUGGUCCGUAGGAUAUCACAUAUUUAUUUUUUAUUAAGUAAUUUUUCCCAAAUUAGAACAAUUGUCUGGUGAAAAUUUUCAAACUUUGAAAUAAAAGUUGCAGUACUAAAAUCAGUUAUAAUUAAACCUAAACUUUUUCUUUUUCAAUUACUAUUACGAUAAAUUGGUAGUGGUACGUGCUGUAAAUAUUACAUCUACUUAUAAUGUCAGCACCCAAAAAUUAUUUUUAUAAUGUAAAAUUUACAUUGUCAUUAAUUUGCUUUAUUAAUUUUUAUUAUAACUAUUUUAAAUUUAUAUUAUUAUCAUAAAAUCUGAAAAAUCGUAUCUAUAAUUUUUAAUUAAGCGUAAAAUUUUGUAACUUUUAUAAAUUUUAGUAAAUAUUAAAAAAAUAUAUAAUAUAAUGCUAGUAUUUUUCAAAAAAAUCAACAUUAUCAUUAAAUAAACCUGUGUGUUGUACAAUAAUUCCCUUUUAUCAUUCAAAAGAAAAAUUGAAACUGUUAUUCAAAAUAAAAUAACCAUUAGUGAAUUUUAUGAUAAUUACCUUAAUGAUUAAAUAUAUUUAGUUAAUUUUUUUUGCUCCCUAAUAAAUUUUUGUUUUGUUUUGAGUAUUAUAUAAAACAAUAAUUUUAUUUUUGGUCCUAGAUAUUUUGUUGUAUAUAAUCCCUAAUAAGUUAGCAAAUUUUUGUUUACUUCCUUUUAAAUUAACAAAUUUUGUUUUAGUCCCAACUAAUAACAAAUGAAAAAAAUUAUCAAGAAAUAAACACACAAUUUGUGAAUCUAUCAGGGACUAAGAAAAGUAUCAAGAACCAAAAUAAAAUGAUUUUUUUAUUAGAAACUCAACGAAAAGUAAAAAUUUAUUAAAAAUUAAAUACAAAAAAUAAAUAUUUAUUAGGGAUUAAAAUUAUAAUUAAAACUUGUCUUAAAUAUUAAAUCUAUUAUAAUUAUUAAUUGGUUCACAACAUAUAAAUAUUUACACUUGUUAAAAUAUACUAUAAUUUCUCUUAAAUUAUUAGGUAAAAUUGGUAAGAGUGUGAGAAACUUAAUUAUUUAUCAAUACCAGCUAUGUGAAUGAACUAAUGUGAGUUUUUGAGCUAGAGACUCUUGGGAAAAAAAUAUUGUCUCAUAAUGAGAAGAAUACAUCAUAAAAAAAUAGAAAAUAUAAAAAUUUGUUUAAUAUGUUUCAACCCUCAUCCUUGCAUUGACAAUAUUAUACAUUUUAAGGAUAACAUAGAAAAAUUUACAAACAUUUUCUCCUUACGAUUUCCCCUCUGUUUGUUAGGGUAGUGACAGUUUCUUCGCACUAGAUGUGGUGAUUCUUCUCAUCUCAAAAAAUCUCUAUUUAUAAACCUAACAUUCUAAUAUUAACUGAAUUCAAAUCCUUAAUUUAUAAAUAAUAUAUUUAAUUCUAAAUGAUAUCCUAAAAAUAAGAUAAUAUCUUUUUUAAAAGCUAAACAAUAUCCUAUAGAUUUGUUAUUCAUUGAUUGAACCAUCAUUAAUUCCUACAUCCACAACUUUUAUAUAAGAUUUUAUGACAAGCAAGACAAACUUGCAAACCUUCCCUUGAUAUGACUCAUCUCUCUUAGGGUAUUGACCUAGGUUGAGUGAUUAUUCUUAUCUCAUAAAUCUUAUUUUAUAGACAUAACAUUCUAAUCUUAAAUGAGGAAACAAAUACCUAAUUUAUUAAUAAUAUAUUUAAUUUUAUCAACAUUCUAAAAAUAAGAUAAUAUCUUUUUUUAAGAAAAUAAAUAUCUUAUAGAUUUGAGAAUACAAAUAAGAUAUAUCUAACAAGAAGCAAAGUUGGACUUAUGUAGAUCAACCAACUAAUCCCUAUACCCACUCAUCACCUAAGCUCAGCCAAAACUCGCUUAGGCCUCAACCCUGCAUCGCUUAAGCUCUUAGCCAACACCACUUAAGCUACAUAAAAAAACAUGCUAAUUUUUGUGCCCAUUCUAGCUUAAGCGCUACCCAACACCAUUUAAGCUACUUCAAACUAAUUUACUCAAAUUAAAAAGAAUAAUGAUUCAACUAUUUAAUCACUACACAUUAAAUACCUAAUUUAUUUUCCGCACAUCACGCAACUGGUCCAUUUAUCUUUUUUAUUUAUUUCUUACAUGUAAUUUUCUUUUUAUUUUUUAAAAUCCAAAAUUUUCAUCUCUAUUUUAAAAUAAAGAUAUUUAAUCGAUUGUUUUUUACGAUCUAUAAUUUUAAUUUUCUAUUUUAAAAUAGAAAUAUUAGUCAUUUAUAUUUAUAAAAUAUGGAAUUUUAGUUAUCCCCAACUAAAAGCUUUGAUUGUUAAGAGCUUAAUCUUUAUUAUGAUAUAGAUUAACUAAAUUAUCUUGUGUCACAUUAUUAGAUUUGAAUCACAUCAAGUUAGCUUCUUACUAAUCAACGCUAAAUGAUUAUGUGGAUAUAAUCACAAAUGAUCAAAAUUAUAAAUUUUAUAACCUUAAGUAAUUAAUUGUUUUUAUUUUAAAAUAGAAGUAUUAAAAUUGUAAAAUAUAAAAAUUAAGACGGUCAAAUAUUUUUUAAAAUAUAGAAAUCAAAAUUAGAUAUUUUGAAAAUAGGAAAAAAUUACAUUUAAGUUUUUAUUUUUAUUUUUUACCGGAGGUCCAUAUGUCUAGUACUUAGAAAUCACGUCAUUAUAAAAAUGCGCCACUAGAGCAUAAUAUAAUAGCAUGAAGGACGUCAUUAUAAUUACAUUUAAGCCAUGAAGAACGUUGUUAUAUAUGCCAAUCCGCAAUACAUGGAAACUUCUGUUAUGGUUAGUGACACCAACAACACUGAUCAUGAAACCAACUACGCUGAUUCUGUGACUGUAACAAAAAAAAACAAUUACUAUGAAAAUGGACAAAAUUCGAAAUGACUUUGUAAGCAUUGCACAACAGAUUUGUAGGAGAGAUAUUCCAAAUGCCAUUGGAGAGCUUCACUCACUCAGAGGGCUAAACCUUUCCCAUAACAGAUUUAUUGGUCCUAUUCUACAAUCCAUUGGAAAUUUGACAAAGUUAGAAUCAUUGGAUCUCUCCUCAAAUAUGCUCACUGGCGGGAUACCUAGAGAAUUAAGCAAUUUGAACUUUCUUGAAGUCCAAAAUCUUUCCAAUAACCAUCUUGCAUUUGUGGGAGAAAUACCUCAAGGAAAACAGUUCAGUACUUUUUCCAAUGACUCCUAUGGUAGAAACUUGGGGUUGUGUGGACUCCCAUUGACAGCAGAAUGCAGCAAGGACCUUGAACAACAUUCUCCACCUUCACUAACCGUUGGGGGAGAACAGGGAGUUGGAUUUGGUUGGAAACCAGUGGCUAUGUGAUAUGGAUGCGGAAUGGUCUUUGGAGUGGGAAUGGGAUGUUGUGUAUUGUUAAUAGGAAAGCCUCAAUGGCUUGUGAGAAUGGUUGGAGGUCAACUCAAUAAAAAGGUGAAAAGGAAGACAAGGAUGAGAUCUAAUGAAAAUGGUAGCAGAAUGAAUUAGUUGAUAUGUGGCAUGACUGUAGAAUGUUUUCUUGCUCACCUUCCUGUUGAAAUUCAAUUCUGCCUUGUUGGAAAACAAAACUUAAGGGCAAGAACUUUAUCACACUGCAUUGCAUAUGCAUGGGAGAUCUGAUUCAAAGUUUAGUUGUAAUUGUAAUAUGGUGUUGUACUUUUUUUUCUUUGUGUUCAAUAAAUGAGUGUGAUAUACUUUUUUUUUUCUUCCAUUGCCCCAGAAACUCGGGUCUGAAUCAUCCAAAAGUUUGAUAAUUUUUCUGUUCAUUAAUACGCUUAGAUUGUUUUAUUUUUUUUAACAUUUUUAUAUCGGUGAAUUGUAUCAAGUUAAGUAGUGAAUAAUGUGUUGACAAUCAACAAUCAUUUCGUUAAUAUGCUGCAGAUUACAAAAUUGUAGCAGUCAUUAAUAGGCAAAUAUUGACCUGGGGGGAUUUCUUUUAGAAACUAAUUUCCAACCAUUUUGAAACAUCUACAGUUUUUUUAUUAUAAAAUAAGUGUUGGAUUCUUAAAAUAUGAUGUCAAGUUUCCUUAUAUAAUUUAUUUGGUGACCUAUUGCGGAUAAUCUCCCUGGCAUUUACUACUCUCUUGGAUUUUUCAAAAAAUUGAUAUUAGAACCAAUGGUUCGAUUUGAUGACUAGCUUAGACAAGUAAGAUGACAUCGAUGAAUUCAUGGAUAUAGAGUCCUUUGUAUCAAAAGUCUUUUUGACAGGUGAAUUCAUGCAUGAAUGUCAGGUAGCAGAGUUGCAUGUGUUGCAAUAGUGCAAGAUACUAGAACAUGUUAUGACAAUGGCUAGACAAGCUAGGGUAAUAAAGAUUAAGUUUUAAGAGUCACCAUUGAAUAUUCCUGAAUUGAAAAUGAUUUCCAUCCAAUGGAAAGGUUAACAUGUGGAAGAGACACAAACUUGAGAAAAAGAUUGUUAAAAUAUAAGUGUGAGAAAAAAUCUCAUAUUAGAUCGAAAUGACAGUUGAGUAUCAUAUAACAAGUGAGAAGAAAAUCAUAAACAUGAGUGAUAUGAUUUUAAUUUAAAAUAUGAUGUAAAAAUCACUUACAUAAUUACUCGGGAUAAAAUAUUUGAAGGAAAAAGAAUUGACUUGAGAGCCUUUUUCUUAGUUUACAUCUCGUUGUGCCAUUAACAAUUGAUAAUUCUGUCGAGCAUGCUAUAUUGUAAAGAAAAAUACUUCUCUCUUUAUUUGUUCAUUUUACAUAUUUCCUGGUGUCAAAAAAUUCUUUUUAUUGUAUUUUUAUAUCCUUUAAAAUAAAUUUGCUUUUGAAGUUUUCUCUUGGACCAGAUACCAUACAAAGAAUUUCACAUAAUGUAAAUGCACGGGGUUCUUUUUUAAUUUUGAUUUUGUGGCAUUUAUCUCUAUAUUUGGUUGAUAUAUUUGAAACUUGAUAGCGAUUAGCUGAUGUAUCAGUCAACGGACCCUAGUAUGGAAAAAGAAUAUGGUGAAGACAGAAUUUUUCCACAAACUAAUGUAUCAGCGUGAGUUUCCUUUAAUUUUCUUUUGAUUUAAACAUUUUUGUGGACGUAUUUUAAUUUUCCUUUUUGAUGUGAUUGGCGAGCUUAAUUUUCUAACCCAUAUUUUAAGGGUUGGCAGACUUGGAAAACAAUUGCUUGGAUUUAACUGAAGUGGCUGUUUAUACAUGUUUUCUUUUUAGAAUCAUAUCACAUAUAUGUAGUCGAUCUGUUGGUGAGGUAGACAGUGGGAGCUUAUGUUUUGUGCAGAGAUUGUGUCCUCAAACUUUCAUGUGAUAAGACAAAUUAACUUCUGAAUUUUCACAAUAAUACAGUUCUAUUCUAUCAUAAGAAAAAAAAAAAUACCACCAAUAACUUGUAGAUGCAUUUUCUCUUAAACAGGUGGUAUUCUAUCUCUGUGUUCAAUUAUAUCUUUUGGCUGGAAUCUUCCGUGUUCAUAUGUUGGGGAUUAAAAUAUUUAAUAGGGAUUAAUUAACAGGAAUAUAUCCAGAAAACAAGUAGUGUUCAAUUUUCCUUUUUGAUGUGAUUAGAGUGUCUAAUUUUCUAACCCAUAUUUUUAAGGUUGUAAGACUCGGAAAACAAUUGUUUGGUUUAACUAAAUUGGUUUAUACAUGUUUUGUUUUCUGAAUGAUAUGUAGCAUGCUUUCUGCGGUAGAAAACUAAGUCAGUCGAUCACAUGAGACAAAAAUUAAAUAUUUUCAUCGUCACCGUUGUAAUAGCUUGCUACAUUAAACAUAAUUAGUAAUAUAUUUUUUUUAAUUAUUAUCAAAACAAGGAUAAAAUUUUCAUGAUUAAACAAAAUAUCUAUUAAACUUAUUUAAAAAUGAUGGAUUAGUAAAAGCGAUGUAAAGGCAUAAAUUAUUAUAUGAAGAAUUAUCUUCCAAAAAUAAAAUCAACUCAUGAUACAAAAAUAAACAGAGUUUGAAGUAUAUAUAUAUAUAUAUAUAUAUAUAUAUAUAACUCUGUCAAUUGAAUAAUAGUUGGGGGGCGGGACCUAGGAUUUAUCUAGACAUAGCUUUCUAACUCUUAACAACUAAAAUUUCUAGACACAAGCCCGAUUAGAAGAUCAACAGUACAUACACCUCAACUCAUGACAAAAACCUUUAUAUUCCAUAGAUAAACUUAAAUUUCUCAAUUUAGGAGUACGAUUUGUCAAAUCUUAGACUUAAUCUAAUUAUAUUUGAACGGGUUAAUUUGAGUUGAUUUUCUAAAAAAUAUAUGAAAUUUAACCAAAACCAACUUAUUUAUAAAUUGUUUGAGUUUGAUUGGAUCAACCAAGGUAACAAUUUAAUAAUAUUUACAACAAUUUAAUAACACUUAAAACUCAUCCACCAUGUCUUAACAAUGUCCAACUCCUAAAUUGUGACAAAUAUAAGUUUUCUAACUUAUAAAUAAUUUAAUAUAUAAAUUUAAAUUUUCACAAAUAUUAAUUUUAAAAGAAUUUGUUUAAAUGAUAUAAUUUUGAAAAGUAUGUUAAUUUUAUACAUAUUCUUUCAACAAAUAUUUUAGAAUUAUGUAUUCUUUUUAAUUAAAUGUAAUAUUUAUUUUUAAAUAUUUCUAACAUCUUGAAAUUAUAUCAUAUACAAUUAUCCAUUUACAAAUAAUUUUAUAAAUGAUAUACUUUUGACAAAUUUAUUUUUUAUGUAUAAUUUCAAAAAAUAUUUUAUAAUUUAAAUUUUUAUAGUUUAAGGUAAUAUUUAUAUUUUAGAUGUUUUUCUCCGAAUUAUAUAUAUCAUAAACAAUUAUUUCUAGCGUUAUUUCAAAAUAAAUUUUGGGGAGCAAUUGCAUAAAUUAGUAAGGCAAAGGUUUUAGCUUGACAAUUGAAAAAAAAAUGCAUAAAAAAGGAUAUCCAUUAUUGAAAUAAAAUAAAUUUCUUUAAUUAAAUUAUAAUAUAUUUUAUUUUGGAAAGUGAAGGAAACACGUCAUAAAAAAACAAAAAAAAAAAAACUAAAAAGCUCCAUUGUUUUUAAAACUCAUAAAUCCAUAUACCUGAAUAGGGUUAAAAAAAUUCUUCAAAAUCUCUAUCACUCUUUUAUAGUAUCAAAUUUAAAUUAUUUUCCUAUUUUUAAGAUGACAAAUUGUUUCUGUAAAAAGACAAUAAAUUAUUAAAAAUAAAUUCAAAUAUAUAUAUAAUUAUAAACAAAACUAAAAAUAUUUUUUAUAAACAAAUCAUAUGAAAAAAAAUUCAAUUCAAUGAGCUAGUUCACAAGCUAGUUCUGUCAAGCACACCCUAUCUCUUCCUUAAAACAUUUUUUUGUUUAAAUCGUUUAGAUUUAAAUAGGUAAAUUUUUUAUUUUUUGGUUUUUUCCCUUUUAAAUUAUUGUUAAAUUUUUGCUCCCAAAAAAAUAAUUUUUGUAUUUUAUUUUUUGACUUUGGAUUUAUUUAGAUAGGGCUUUAGAAAAUGGAAUAAAAUUAUUUUGAUAGUUAUUUAGCAAAAAAACAAAAGAAAAAAUUAUUACAAACCAAAAAGUUAACAAAAAUUUAUUAGGAAUAAAAAAAAUUAAUGAUUUAUCAAGAACUAAAAAUAUAUUUAAAUUGUUUAUAACAUAAAAGAACAUGAAAAAUCAACCAUUAUGCAAUUCUCUUUGAACAAAAUUGUAAGAUGUAACAUUUUUAAAAUAAAUUUCAGAGAGCAACUCAGUCCAUACACUAAGAUAGUGUUUUACCUUGACAGUUGAAAAAAUGCAUUAAAAAGAAGGAUUUGCCGUGAAGGUUUCAAGAAAAUACAUGCAUGUGUAAUGUUAUUUCAUUUCUAGUUGGUAUUUUAAAGGGAAAACAUGGUUAAACAAAGAUAUGAAGUAGAAAAAUAAAAUAAAUCAUGUUUACAGAAAAAAUGAGUUCCAAGUCAAGUCAAUUUAAAUUGCAAUUGCUGGGACAACUUUGAUAGCGUGUAAAAGGAUCAUAAAAUUUAUGUGUCAAUUUGCGUGAGGUUUGGGCUGUUGAAGUCUUGAAGCUUAAUUUAGCCACAAAUUUUGCAUAUCAUCUUUUUAAUUUGACUAUAAAUAUUAAUGUUUGGUUGCUCAGUAUUAAUUUCAUGUAUAUUUUCCAUCCCUUAUAGUAAAGAGUAUUUGAGUAGAAAAUGGAAUCAUGGAUGUGGUGUUUCCUUCUCUGUUCCCAUUUGCUCAUCCUUUAUUUUUCACCCUCUCAUUCCUUAUGCCACCCCCAUGACACCUCUGCCUUGCUCCACUUCAAAAACUCCUUCACUAUUAAUACUAGUUAUGGCCAUAAUGAAUAUCCUUAUUAUUAUCAUAAAUGUGAUACUGGUUAUUCAAAGACGAGAACAUGGGAAAAUGGGACAGAUUGUUGCUCUUGGGCUGGAGUCACCUGCCACCCCAUCUCAGGUCAUGUCACUGACCUCGACCUCAGCUGCAGUGGCCUUCACGGCAAUAUCCAUCCAAACAGUACGCUUUUCCAUCUUUCUCAUCUUCACUCACUCAACCUUGCUUUCAAUCAUUUGUAUCAAUCUCAUUGGUCAUCUCUCUUUGGUGGGUUUGUGAGCCUCACUCAUCUCAACUUGUCUUAUUCUGAAUUUGAAGGGGAUAUUCAUUCCCAAAUCUCUCACCUUUCCAAAUUAGUCUCGCUUGAUCUCUCAGGUAAUGAUUUGUUAGAGUGGAAGGAAGACACUUGGAAGAGAUUGCUCCAAAAUGCAACAGUUUUAAGGGUGCUUGUUUUGGAUGGAGCAGAUAUGUCUUCCAUUUCAAUCAGGACACUCAAUAUGUCUUCCUCUUUGGUUACUCUUAGUCUUCGAUACAGUGGGCUAAGAGGAAACUUGACAGAUGGCAUUCUCUGUUUACCAAAUCUUCAGCACUUGGAUCUUUCAGGAAACUGGGUCCGUGGAGGCCAGCUUGCAGAAGUGAGUUGCAGCACAACUUCUCUUGAUUUCUUAGCUCUUUCAGAUUGUGUUUUCCAAGGGUCAAUCCCUCCCUUCUUCUCUAACCUCACACAUCUUACUUCCCUGGAUCUCUCAUAUAACAACCUCAACGGUCCAAUCCCUCCCUCUUUCUUCAACCUCACACAUCUCACUUCCCUAGACCUCUCAGGUAUCAACCUCAACGGUUCAAUCCCAUCCUCACUCUUAACCCUUCCACGGCUAAACUUUCUGAAACUACAGAAUAACCAACUCAGUGGUCAAAUCCCAGAUGUCUUUCCUCAGUCAAACAGCUUUCACGAAUUGGAUUUGAGUGAUAACAAAAUAGAGGGUGAGCUGCCAUCAACACUUUCAAAUCUUCAACAUCUCAUUUUCUUGGAUCUUUCAUAUAAUAAAUUGGAUUUGAGUGGUAACAAAAUAGAGGGUGAGCUGCCAUCAACACUUUCAAAUCUUCAACAUCUCCUUCACUUGGAUCUUUCAUAUAAUAAAUUGGAGGGCCCUCUGCCUAACAAUAUAACAGGGUUUUCAAACCUAACAUCGUUAAGGUUAAAUGGAAACUUACUGAAUGGGACAAUUCCUUCUUGGUGUUUAUCUUUGCCAUCUUUGAAGCAGUUAGAUCUAUCAGGAAACCAACUCUCUGGGCAUAUUAGUGCAAUCUCAUCAUAUUCCUUGGAGACAUUGUCUUUAUCCCACAACAAGUUACAAGGCAAUAUUCCAGAAUCAAUUUUUAGCCUUCUAAACCUUACACUCUUAGAUCUAUCAUCAAACAAUUUAAGUGGAUCUGUCAAAUUUCAUCAUUUCUCCAAGCUUCAAAAUUUGAAAGAACUUCAACUUUCACGGAAUGAUCAGUUAUCACUAAAUUUCAAAUCCAAUGUCAAGUAUAAUUUCUCCCGUUUAUGGAGAUUGGACUUAUCUUCUAUGGAUUUAACUGAAUUUCCAAAAUUAUCGGGAAAAGUCCCAUUUUUGGAAUCACUCCAUUUGUCCAAUAACAAACUUAAAGGUAGAGUGCCAAAUUGGUUGCAUGAAACGAACUCAUUGUUAUUGGAAUUGGACCUCUCUCAUAACCUAUUGACGCAAUCAUUGGACCAAUUCUCGUGGAAGAAACCACUCGCUUACCUUGAUCUUAGUUUUAACUCAAUCACUGGUGGCUUCUCUUCCUCAAUUUGCAAUGCAAGUGCAAUUGAGAUUCUCAACUUAUCUCACAACAUGUUGACAGGAACCAUUCCACAAUGCCUUGUUAACUCAUCAACCCUUGAAGUUUUGGAUCUGCAACUGAACAAGCUUCAUGGCCCUUUGCCAAGUACCUUUGCACAGGACUGUUGGCUCAGAACUCUGGAUCUCAAUGGCAACCAAUUAUUAGAAGGCUUUUUGCCAGAAUCUUUGUCCAAUUGCAUUUAUCUGGAGGUUUUAAAUCUUGGAAACAAUCAAAUAAAGGAUGUGUUUCCCCAUUGGCUUCAAACUCUACCAGAAUUGAAAGUAUUGGUUUUGAGAGCCAACAAGUUGUACGGUCCCAUUGAGGGUUCAAAGACCAAGCAUGGAUUCCCCAGUUUAGUCAUUUUUGAUGUCUCUUCCAACAACUUCAGCGGCCCAAUUCCAAAAGCCUACAUUAAAAAAUUUGAAGCCAUGAAGAACGUUGUUCUAGAUGCCUAUAGCCAAUACAUAGAAGUUCCUUUUAAUUUAUUUUAUGGACCCAACGACAGACCCAACGACAGACCCAACUACGCUGAUUCUGUGACUAUAACAACAAAAGCAAUUACUAUGACAAUGGUCAGAAUUCGAAAUGACUUUGUAAGCAUUGAUUUAUCGCAAAACAGAUUUGAAGGAGAGAUUCCAGGUGUCAUUGGGGAGCUUCAUUCACUCAGAGGACUCAACCUUUCCCAUAACAGACUUAUUGGUCCUAUUCCCCAAUCCAUGGGAAAUUUGAGAAACUUAGAAUCAUUGGAUCUCUCCUCAAAUAUGCUCACUGGUCGGAUACCUACAGAAUUAAGCAAUUUGAACUUUCUUGAAGUCCUAAAUCUUUCCAAUAACCAUCUUGUGGGAGAAAUACCUCAAGGAAAACAGUUCGGUACUUUUUCCAAUGAUUCCUAUGAGGGAAACUCUGGGUUAUGUGGACUCCCACUGACAAUCAAAUGCAGCAAGGACCCUGAACAACAUUCUCCACCUUCAACUACCUUCAGGAAAGAAGGAGGAUUUGGAUUUGGUUGGAAAGCAGUGGCUAUAGGAUAUGGAUGUGGAAUGGUCUUUGGAGUGGGAAUGGGAUGUUGUGUAUUGUUAAUAGGAAAGCCUCAAUGGCUUGUGAGAAUGGUUGGAGGUAAACUCAAUAAAAAGGUGAAAAGGAAGACAAGAAUGAGAUCUAAUGAAAAUGGUAGCAGAAUGAAUUAGUUGAUAUAUGGCAUGACUGGAGAAUGUCUUGUUACAUACCUGCCACCUUUGAAAACAAAACUUAAGGGCAAGAACUUGAUCACACUGCAUUGCAUGGGAGAUCUGGUUCAAAGUUUUGCUGUAAUAUGAAUGUGUUGUACUUUUGCUUUUUUGUGUGUUCUUUUUCGUUUGUUGUGUAGAAGAGUGCGAUGUAUUGAGUUGCAGUUUUCAUUUAUUUAAUACGUAUAACUGUGGCAUUAAUUGGUUGUAUAAUAAUAGAUGUUGUAUAUUUUUAAAAAUGCUAUGUAUUGGCCAAUGCUAAAAUAUUUUGUAUCUGAAUUCACGGUUUUAGCUUCUAUUGUAGUCUAUUUAAUUAAUUUUCUAACUAUUUAACCAGCGUGACAUGGCUUUAGAAGCUGAGGUCCAAGGGGCGUAAGUAUAAGAGCACAAACAAUGCAUACUAAAGGAAGGCUAUGGGUAUAGCCUAGGCCUCAUGGUCCGUAGGAUAUCACAGAUUCAUUUUUUAUUAAGUAAUUUUUCCCAAAUUAGAAUAAUUUGAAAUAAAAGUAGCAUUACUAAAAUCAGUUAUAAUUAAAUCUAAACUUUUUCUUUUUCAAUUACUAUUACGAUAAAUUGGCAGUGGUACGUGCUGUAAAUAUUACAUCUACUUAUAAUGUCAGCACCCAAAAAUUAUUUUUAUAAUGUAAAAUUUACAUUGUCAUUAAUUUGCUUUAUUAAUUUUUAUUAUAACUAUUUAAAAUUUAUAUUAUUAUCAUAAAAUCCGUAUCGAUAAUUUUUAAUUAAGCACAAAUUUUUUUAAUUUUAGUAAAUAUUAAAAAAUAUAUAAUAUAAUGUUAGUUUUUUUCAAAAAAAAAAACAACAUUAUCAUUAAAUAAAUCAGUGUGCGCGCUGUACAAUAAUUCACUUUUAUCAUUGAAAAUAAAAAUAAAAACUGUUAUUCAAAAUAAAAUAUGCAUUAGUGACUAUUAUAAUAAUUAUCUUAAUGAUUAAAUAUAUUUUUAUCUUUAAUAAAUAAUUUUUUUUCUCCCUAAUAAAUAUUUGUUUUUUUACUAUCUUAUUAAAUAAUAAUUUUGUUUUUUGUCCUAGAUAUUUUGUUGUAAUCCCUAAUGAAUUAACAAAUUUUUGUUUACUUCCUUUUAAAUUAACGAAUUUUUCUUUGUCCGACUAAUAAUAAAUAAAAAAUUAUCAAAAAAUAAGCACACAAUUUAUGCCAUGAAAUAAUUAUAUCAUGCAUGAAAUAAUUAUUAAUCAUGCAUGAAAUAUUAUCAAAUAAUAAAUUAUAUCAUGCAUGAAAUAAUUAUUAAUCUAUAUCAUUUGGGUGAAAAAUUUCCCAAGUAGUCCAAUACAAAUAAUAAAUAAACUAAACCAACACUUUCCUAAAUUGAAAUAAGAUCAAUAUCCAAUCCAAACAAUAAUCAAACUAAAGUACCUAUUUCUGACGUAGAAAAGGAGAUUUCAAAUAAUUAUAAAAUCCUAAAUUUGGCAAUAAAAAUUAAACUAAAAUAAAAUAAAAUUUCAAAUUUGGCAAUAACACAUUAUCUAAUAAUGACCUCCAAACUAUUAACUCAAUCACCGGUGGCUUCUCUUCCUCAAUUUGCAAUGCAAGUGCAAUUUCUGGGCCACACCAGCUUGCUGCAAACUACUUGGGAGGCACACAAAAGGCUAAGAAUGCUGUUUUCUGAACCUUUAUCAAUUGAUGGUCUGAACAAAUAUUUUCCAUUUCAUAAAUACUCGGGCAAUGGAUACAGUAGAUCAAUGGCUAGGAAGGAAAGUCCUGGUUCUUGAAGAGGCUUCUAAUUUGAGUUCCAAUAAGUUUUCAGACAAUAAAAUUUUCCAUAUUUAGUUAUGCAUCUUAUUUGAUAAUAAUCAGUAUUUGAAAUAUUAAAUAUAACAGUUUACUCUAAAAGUGAUUGAACACAUGAUCAUGAGUUUAGAGCCUUCUUUGGAAGAACAAGAAAAGUUUGGUCAAAGUUUAAGAUUAUUUCUUCCACAUUUGCUUCAUUGCCUUUUAAACUUUCAGAGACAUAAUUUUCAUCGCAGUAUCAAGGUAACAAAGCAAUACACGACUAACCACACAUGACACACCACUAAACAGGCUGGGUUCACUGAUUUAAUUAUGAGGAUCACUGAAUUCUCCUUUCCUCGGAUACAUAUGUUAUGCAUGUAUGCAUGCUCCGGGAUAUUAUGCACUACACGUUGGAUUCUAUAAUGUUUUAAAGAGAAAACUGCCAAGACAUUAAACAAGAUUUCUUAGAACCCUUAGAAUUAGAUAUGAAAAAUAGAAGAGAAGACGGAGAAGAAGAUACAUAAUUGAAGGACAAUAUAUUAACUCUGCUGGUUGCAGGCCAUGAUACCACAAUUAUUCUCAUACAUAGCUCAUCAAAUUUCUUGAUGAAAAUCCAACUGUUCUGGAACAAUUGAGAGUAAAUAUUAAGAACCUAUAAUGUUUAUCCUUUACAUGGUUGAAGAUUGUAAAAACAAGCUUCAUGAAUGCUGAUGUUUUUGUAGGAGGUGCACAAACAAAUUGUUGCAAACAGAAGGAGUCGAAAAAUAUUACAGUGUUUGAAGUUAAUAGCAUUUCCCUUUAUCUGCGGCGACGCUUGUUCCUAACUGAAUAUUUGGGUGCUUUGGUUUGUCUCUGAAACGAGCUCUAUGUUUGUUUCUGAGCAACGGCUUUCCUUUGUCUCUGAGCUUUUAGGUUCGAAGCAUAUUUCACUUUCAGCCUUACCCUCGAGGCGUAUUUUUGCAGCGUAGUUGAGGUCACGAGUGCAUUCGAAUUUUAAGAAUAGGGUUCAUGACUUCAUGUAUGUGCACUGGACCAUCCUGUACACUAGGGAUUGCUAGUGGGAAAUGUAUUAGCAUGGAUAUUCUUUUACUUGUUUUGGAACUGAUAUAACAGGCUUUGGUUCUUGAACGUGUAAUGUUCAUAAACAUCUUAAGUUAAGGUCUGAUUUGAGCAUUUGAGGUUGUAACAUGUAUGCUUUAAUGGAACAAGAUGUAAAAAAGUCGAAUUGAACCUUGGUGGUAAAAUCAAAAUCACACCUCCUCCACCUAGAGGUACAUCACUUAGCAAUACAACACUUAGCGUGCUAGCACUUCAUGUCUAGCAAGAGGAGUGAUAGCUUUGUAACUAAUAACAUUUUUUAGUUAAUUACUAGAUAUAUUCCUGACAAUAUUAAUGGCAUCAACGUCCAAUGAUGGACUAUUGUUGAACAAUGGGUUUUCUCCCGCAAGGCUGCAACUUAUAAUUAAAUACUCAUUUUAAACUAUUUUUCUGAGAAUUUUAAGAUUGUUACGAGCUUGUCUGAGUUUAGGGAUCAAUGGCUGUUAUGGAGUUCAAUAAUUUUAGGGCUCAUCAACCUCAUCUUACUUGAAAAUAAAUUACGUAAUUAAACGAGCCACCCUAAGAAUUUAAAUUAUCUGGAGGGCUAAAAUAAGGAACAUUGUCAAUACUGGGUGAAGAUAAUACACCCAUUCUGAUCGACUCUUCUCAUCAACCCAACGGAGACUGAGUUUGCAGUCAGUGUCAAGAAAACCUCAUUGCUGAUUUGCAGUAUUUUAUAAUAAAUCACAAUUAGAGUAUCACAGUUGUAGACUUGCAGUCAACAUUAAAAACAAAUAUAUAAAGGUUGUCUAUCUUAACAUUAACAUAUCUUCUUAAUUAUGUUUGCGUUUGCUUACUUUUUGUUUUGGUUUUUAAUUUCAACUUGGUUUUCUCGUUUAAGGUGUUCUAAUUUGCAUACUUAGUUAAGAAAAGGCGAUGUAAUUGAAGGAGUAUAGUAAUUUUCUAUUUUUUUCCGUAGGAUAUCGCAUUUGUUUUUUUCAAAGUUCGAGUAAUUCAACUAUAUAAAAUAUUUUUAUAACACAUCAUGAACAUCUAAUCUUAUUGGAAACGAUAUUAAUGAAUGAAAAGAUAAACAUUUAUUUUAAACCUUAUACAUCAUUCAAAUAAUUAUUUCAUGUAUCAUGUUUAAAAGUUCCUAAUUUUUAAUUAUAGUCUCUUCUUCUAAAAUAUAAAGACAUGUACACCAAUUAACAAAGUUUAUGUUGUUUACAUCUUUCUUUUAAAAAAAUGUUGUUUACGACUUAUUUUUCACGUUAAUUAUUAUCAUACUCUCUUUUUUCGAAACAAAAUUGAUAAUCAUAUUUUCUUAUAAAAUUUAAUUAUAACAUUUAAUUUUAUUCUCGUGUUCAACAACCACGUUAGUUACACUUACAACUCAUCCACAAUAUCCUAACAAUGUCCAACUCCUAAAUUGUGACAAAUAUAAGAUUUCUAAUUUAUAAAUAUUUUAAUUUGUAAAUUAAAAUUUUGACAAAUUUUAAUUUAAAAAUAUUUUUUAAAACAAUAUAAUUUUGAAAAAAUAUGUUAAUUAAUUUUAUGGAUGAAAAAAAGAGGAUAUCCCGUGAAGUUGAAGACAAUACAAUUGAAAUGGCAAUACUGAAUAGUGAGCACAAUCUGGGUAGCGUUAUGAUAGGGUUAGAAAUGAAAUGAAAUGACAGCACUGAGGAUGACCUAGCUGUAGCGUUAUGAAAGGGUUUAGAAAAUGGAUGUUUGCGUGAAGCAUGGAAGGAAGCACAUCAUAAAAAUCAAAAUAAAAUAAAACUGCAACACUCCAUUGUUUUCAAAAGUCAUAUUUCAUUUACAUGAGAGUUAAAGAAAUUCAUCAAAUCUCUACCAUUCUUUUAUUAUAUAAAAUUUAAAUUAUUGUCAUAUUUUUACUUAAUAUUUAAUUCCAUCCACUCCACUACUUGCUAAAACUGACCAUAUCCUCAUCCGAUUCACUCAAGGUUUACAAAAUUGGCUCCAUCAUGUUAUUUCAUUUCUAGUUGGUAUUUUAAAGGGGAAAAAUGUUAAAUAAAGAUAUGAACUACAAAAAUCAAAUAAAUCAUGUUUUCCUGAAAAGAGACUUCCAGGUCAAUUAACAAAAUGGCGUGAUGAGAGGAUUGGAAAAUAAAUCAUAUCUAAUUGGAAACGAUAUUAAUGGAUCAAAAGAUAAACAUUUCUUUUUAAACUUUAUACAUCAUUCACAUACUUAUUUCAUCUAUCAUGUCUACCAUUUUCUAAUUUUAAUUUAUAUUUCCUUCUUCGUAAAUAUAAAGACAUGUACACCAAUUAACAAACUUCAAAUUGUUUACAACUUCCUUUAAAAAAAUGUUGAUUACAACUUAUUUUCCACAUUAAUCAAUUAUUGCCUUAAUCUUUUUUUUCAAACAUAACUUAUAAUCAAUUUUUCAUAUAAAAAUUAAUUCUAACAUUUAAUUUUAUUCUGAAGGUUAAUUAAACAACCACAUUAAAAACACUUACAACUCAUGCGCCAUAUCGUAACAAUGUCCAACUCCUAAAUUGUGACAAAUAUAAGUUUUCUAACUUAUAAAUAUUUUAAUAUGUAAAUUAAAAUUUUGAUAAAUAUUAAUUUAAAAAUAAUUUGUUUAAAUAAUAUAAUUUUGAAAAGGAUGUUAAUUUUAUACAUAUGCUUUCAACAAAUAUUUUAUAAUUACGUAUUCUUUUUAAUUUAAUAUAAUAUUUAUUUUUAAAUAUUUCUAACAUCUUGAAAUUAUAUCAUAUAGAAUUAUUAAUUUACAAAUAAUUCUAUAAAUGAUAUAAUUUUGACAAAUGCAUUUUUUUAUGUAUAAUUUCAAAAAAUAUUUUAUAAUUUAAAUUUUUAUAGUUUAAGGUAAUAUUUAUAUUUUAAAUAUUUUUCUCCGAAUUAUAUCUAUCAUAAACAAUUAUUUCUAGCGUUAUUUCAAAAUAAAUUUUGGGGAGCAAUUGCAUAAAGUAAGGCAAAUGUUUUAGCUUGACAAUUGAAAAAAAAUGCAUAAAAAAAGGAUAUCCAUUUUUGAAAUAAAAUAAAUUUAUUUAAUUAAAUUAUAAUAUAUUUUAUUUUUGAAAGUGAAGGAAACACGUCAUAAAAAACAAAACAAAAUAAAGCUACAAACCUCCAUUGUUUUUAAAACUCAUAAAUCCAUAUACCUGAAUAGGGUUAAACAAAUUCUUCAAAAUCUCUAUCAUUCUUUUAUAGUAUCAAAUUUAAAUUAUUUUCCUAUUUUUAAGAUGACAAAUUGUUUCUGUAAAAAAGUUAAUAAAUUAUUAAGAAUAAAUUCAAAUAUAUAUAUAUAUAUAUAUAUAUAAUUAUAACCAAAAACUUAAAAUAUUUGUUAUUAACAAAUCAUAUGAAAGAAAAUUAAUUCAAUGAGCUAGUUCACACGCUAGUUCUGACAAGCACACCCUAUCUCUUCCUUAAAAAAAAAUUUUGUUUAAAUCGUUUAGAUUUAAAUAGGUACGUUUUUUAAUUUUGGUUUUUGCCCCUUUUAAAUUAUUGUUAACUUUUUGCUCCCAAAUAAAUAAAUUUUGUAUUUUAUUUUUUGACUUUGGAUUUAUUUAGAUAGGGCUUUAGAAAAUGGAAUAAAAUUAUUUUGAUAGUUAUUUAGGAAAAGAACAAAAGAAAAAUUUAUUACAAACCAAAAAGUUAACAAAAAUUUAUUAGGAAUAAAAAAAAAACAAAAUUUGAUGAUUUAUCAACAACUAAAUACAUAUUUAAAUAGUUUAUAACACAAAAGAACAUGAAAAAUCAACCAUUAUGCAAUUCUCUUUGAAUAAGAGUUAUAAUUUCCAUCUAGUACUUCUUUACUUGUGAAUAUUAAAAUUAUUAGAUGUAACAUUUUUAAAUUAAAUUUCAGAGAACAACUCAGUCCAUACACUAAGAUAUAUAGUGUUUUACCUUAACAGUUGAAAAAAUUCAUUAAGAAUUAACUAAGGAUUUGCCGUGAAGGUUUCAAUACAAUACAUGCAUGUGUAAUGUUAUUUCAUUUCUAGUUGGUAUUUUAAAGGGAAAACAUGGUUAAACAAAGAUAUGAAGUAGAAAAAUAAAAUAAAUCAUGUUUGCAGAAAAAAUGAGUUCCAAGUCAAGUCAAUUUAAAUUGCAAUUGCUGGGACAACUUUGAUAGCGUGUAAAAAGAUCAUAAGAUUUAUGGUCAAUUUGCGUGAGGUUUGGGCUGUUGAAGUCUUGAAGCUUAAUUUAGCCACAAAUUUUGCAUAUCAUCUUUUUAAUUUGACUAUAAAUAUUAAUGUUUGGUUGCUCAGUAUUAAUUUCAUGUAUAUUUUCCUUCCCUUAUAGUAAAGAGUAUUUGAGUAGAAAAUGGAAUCAUGGAUGUGGUGUUUCCUUCUCUGUUCCCAUUUGCUCAUCCUUUAUUUUUCACCCUCUCAUUCCUUAUGCCACCCCAUGACACCUCUGCCUUGCUCCACUUCAAAAACUCCUUCACUAUUUAUGAAGAUCCUUAUUAUUCUUAUUUUUGUGAUCAUGGUUAUUCAAAGACGACAACAUGGGAAAAUGGGAGAGAUUGUUGCUCUUGGGCUGGAGUCACCUGCCACCCCAUCUCAGGUCACGUCACUCAGCUCGACCUCAGCUGCAAUGGCCUUUACGGCAAUAUCCAUCCAAACAGUACGCUUUUCCAUCUUUCUCAUCUUCACUCACUCAACCUUGCUUUCAAUGAUUUUGAUGAAUCUAAUUUGUCAUCUCUCUUUGGUGGGUUUGAGAGCCUCACGCAUCUCAACUUGUCUUCUUCUGACUUUGAAGGGGAUAUUCCUUCCCAAAUCUCUCACCUUUCCAAAUUAGUCUCGCUUGAUCUCUCAUAUAAUAUAUUAAAGUGGAAGGAAGACACUUGGAAGAGAUUGCUCCAAAAUGCAACAGUUUUAAGGGUGAUUGUUUUGGAUGGAAAUGAUAUGUCUUCCAUUUCAAUCAGGACACUCGAUAUGUCUUCCUCUUUGGUUACUCUUAGUCUAAGACAGACUGGGCUAAGAGGAAACUUGACAGAUGGCAUUCUCUGUUUACCAAAUCUUCAACACUUGGAUCUUUCACUUAAUUGGGACCUUAAAGGUCAGCUUCCAGAAGUGAGUUGUAGAACAACUUCUCUUGAUUUCUUACAUCUUUCAUGUUGUGAUUUCCAAGGGUCAAUCCCUCCUUCUUUCUCCAACCUCAUACAUCUCACUUCCCUAUAUCUCUCACUUAACAACCUCAACGGUUCAAUCCCUCCCUUUUUCUCUAACUUUACACAUCUUACUUCCUUAGAUCUCUCAGAAAACAACCUCAACGGUUCAAUCCCUCCCUCUUUCUCCAACCUCAUACAUCUCACUUUCCUGGACCUCUCACAUAACAACCUCAACGGUUCAAUCCCUCCCUCUUUCUCCAACCUCAUACAUCUCACUUCCCUGGACCUUUCAGGUAACAACCUCAACGGUUCAAUCCCUCCCUUUUUCUCUAACUUCACACAUCUUACUUCCUUGGAUCUCUCAGAAAACAACCUCAACGGUUCAAUCCCUCCCUCUUUCUCCAACCUCAUACAUCUCACUUCCCUGGCCCUUUCACGUAACAACCUCAGUGGUCAAAUCCCAGAUGUCUUUCCUCAGUCAAACAGCUUUCACGAAUUGGAUUUGAGCGAUAACAAAAUAGAGGGUGAGCUGCCUUCAACACUUUCAAAUCUUCAACAUCUCAUUCACUUGGAUCUUUCAUAUAAUAAAUUGGAGGGCCCUCUGCCUAACAAUAUAACAGGGUUUUCAAACCUAACAUUCUUAUGGUUAUAUGAAAACUUACUGAAUGGGACAAUUCCUUCUUGGUGUUUAUCUUUGCCAUCUUUGGUGGGUUUAGAUCUAUCAGGAAACCAAUUCUCAGGGCAUAUUAGUGCAAUCUCAUCAUAUUCCUUGGAGAGAUUGAUUUUAUCCCACAACAAGUUACAAGGCAAUAUUCCAGAAUCAAUUUUUAGCCUUCUAAACCUUACUGACUUAGAUCUAUCAUCAAACAAUUUAAGUGGAUCUGUCAAAUUUCAUCAUUUCUCCAAGCUUCAAAAUUUGAAAGAACUUCAACUUUCACAGAAUGAUCAGUUAUCACUAAAUUUCAAAUCAAAUGUCAGUUAUAGUUUCUCCAAUUUAUUGAGUUUGGACUUAUCUUCUAUGGGUUUAACUGAAUUUCCAAAAUUAUCGGGAAAAGUCCCAAUCUUGGAAUCACUCUAUUUGUCCAAUAACAAACUUAAAGGUAGAGUGCCAAAUUGGUUCCAUGAAAUAUCGUUAUAUGAAUUGGACCUCUCUCAUAACCUAUUGACACAAUCAUUGGACCAAUUCUCGUGGAACCAACAACUCGGUUACCUUGAUCUUAGUUUUAACUCAAUCACUGGUGACUUCUCUUCCUCAAUUUGCAAUGCAAGUGCAAUUGAGAUUCUCAACUUGUCUCACAACAAGUUGACAGGAACCAUUCCACAAUGCCUUGCUAACUCAUCAUCCCUUCAAGUUUUGGAUCUACAACUGAACAAGCUUCAUGGCACUUUGCCAAGUACCUUUGCAAAGGACUGUUGGCUCAGAACUCUGGAUCUCAAUGGCAACCAAUUAUUAGAAGGUUUUUUGCCAGAAUCUUUGUCCAAUUGCAUUAAUCUGGAGGUUUUAGAUCUUGGAAACAAUCAAAUAAAGGAUGUGUUUCCCCAUUGGCUUCAAAUUCUACCAGAAUUGAAAGUAUUGGUUUUGCGAGCCAACAAGUUGUACGGUCCCAUUGCCGGUUUAAAGACCAAACACGGAUUCCCCAGUUUAGUCAUUUUUGAUGUCUCUUCCAACAACUUCAGCGGCCCAAUACCAAAAGCCUACAUUAAAACAUUUGAAGCGAUGAAGAACGUUGCUCUACAUGCCUAUAGCCAAUACAUGGAAGUUUCUGUAAAUGCUUCUUCUGGACCCAACUACACUGAUUCUGUGACUAUAACAACAAAAGCAAUUACUAUGACAAUGGACAGAAUUCGAAAUGACUUUGUAAGCAUUGAUUUAUCCCAAAACAGAUUUGAAGGAGAGAUUCCAAGUGUCAUUGGGGAACUUCAUUCACUCAGAGGGCUAAACCUUUCCCAUAACAGACUUAUUGGUCCUAUUCCCCAAUCCGUGGGAAAUUUGAGAAACUUAGAAUCGUUGGAUCUCUCCUCAAAUAUGCUUACUGGUGGGAUACCUACAGAAUUAAUCAAUUUGAACUUUCUUGAAGUCCUAAAUCUUUCCAAUAACAAUCUUGUGGGAGAAAUACCUCAAGGAAAACAGUUCGGUACUUUUUCCAAUGAUUCCUAUGAGGGAAACUCAGGGUUAUGUGGACUCCCACUGACAAUCAAAUGCAGCAAGGACCCUGAACAACAUUCUCCACCUUCAACUACCUUCAGGAGAGAAGGAGGAUUUGGAUUUGGUUGGAAACCAGUGGCUAUAGGAUAUGGAUGUGGAAUGGUCUUUGGAGUUGGAAUGGGAUGUUGUGUACUGUUAAUGGGAAAGCCUCAAUGGCUUGUGAGAAUGGUUGGAGGUCAACUAAAUAAAAAGGUGAAAAGGAAGACAAGGAUGAAAUCUAAUGAAAAUGGUAGCAUAAUGAAUUAGAUGAUAUGUGGCAUGACUGUAGAAUGUCUUCUUGCACACCUUCCUGUUGAAAUUCAAUUCUGCCUUGUUGAAAAUAAAACAUAAGGGCCAAAACCUUAUCACACUGCAUUGCAUAUGCAUGGGAGAUCUGUUUCAAAGUUUAGUUGUAAUUGUAAUAUGAUGUGUUGUACUUUUUUUUUUCUCUGUUGGAUAGAUGAGUGUGAUGUACUUUUUUCCCCUUCCUUUGCUACUGAAACUCGGGUCUAAAUCAUCAUAAGUUUGAUGUUCUUCAUUUUCCUUGAGCGGGCUAUUUUGUUUUAUUUAAUACAUAUAAUUGUAGUAUUGGUUAUAUAAUAAUAGUUGUUGUUGUAUACUCUUAAAAAUGUUCUGCAUUCGUCGUUGCUAGAAACAAAAUAUUUUGUGUUAACAGUAUGUAGUUAUAUUUCAUUCGAGGAGCUUAGUUCACGUACAGUAGUUUUCCUAUUUCGUUUCUAACUCCCUCAUGCACAUAUUGUCUUACAUGGCAAUUCUAUGACUGGAUGACCAUAUAAAAAAACUUGACACAGAUAUGGAAAGAUUUUCAAGAGCUGUCCUGAGGAGGUUCAUUGUCUUGAUGACUAGGAUGGGAUUGAGUUUGAAUCUGUUUUAUACUAGCCAGCAAUUUCUAGGCCACACCAACCUGCUGCAAAGUACUUGGGAGGCACACAAAAGACUAAGAAUGCUGUUUUCUGAACCUUUAUCAAUUGAUGGCCUGAAAAAAUAUUUUUCAUUUCAUAAAUACUCAGGCAAUGGAAACAUUAGAUAAAUGCCUAGGAAGGAAAGUGUUAGAAUUAAUGUCUCAUGUGAGAGGUAUAUGACUUAGUAGGGACUAAUAAAUAAAUAAUUAACGAUUAAAGGCUAAAUUGUAAUUGGGCUUAAUAGGAGAAGUUUCUAGGUUAACUGCUACUUGAUGGGAGUAGUGGUUAUAAAAGGGGCUUAAUACCCACUAACGUGAAAUAAGGUCCCCUUCCUGACCAAAAAGUGCUCUUUUCUCACCCAUAGCCAUCACGAACGGAGAGAGACAGAAAAGAAAGGUCAAAGGAAGUGAAAUCCUAUUUCUCUCAUCUUCAAAGAAAUCAAAGUGCACCAGAGAGAAGUUCCUAUGGAGAAAGGUACACAUCAUUAUCUAUUAUUCUUUAUUGAUUGUUUGUGAGAAUCAUAGGUUUCAAGAUCCUGUUGGUUUUCUAUAAUUGAUAGUCUAGGAAACCCCUUAAGAAUUUUUACAUGUGGUAUCAGAGCAUGUGUUAUGAAAUUUAUGAUUCUCCAAGAAUGAUUUAAUUUCUCCCAAUUAUGUAUGAACCCUAAUUAUGAAAUUUAGGGAUAAUUUAAUUUCUCUCAAUUAUGUAUGAACCCUAAUUAUGAAAUUUAGGGAUAAUUUAAUUUCUCCCAAUUAUGCAUAAAUCCUAAUUAUGAAAUUUAGGAAUUUUAUUUUCCGCUGCAUUUAUUGUUUUAUUGGUAAUAUUUUAUUAUUGUUGAAUACCAAUUUUUGGAGAAAGUAUAAAUAUUAUGUAAAUUUGGAGAAAACGAUUGUGGCUGCCACUAUCUAUUUAUAAUGGAAAAAGAAAGCGUGAGUUGCAAUUCCAAUUCAUGGAAAAGCUAUGGCUGCUACACGUAGGUUAGUAAGUGAAGGAAUUUUGAAAAGCUGCGCACUGCGCAGGUAUGUUUGUUCCUAUAAGAAAUUUUGGAAAUUGCUAUUUCCAACCUUAUGUUUGCUAUUUCCAAUCCCAUUUAAUUUUUUUUUUCUCCGAAAAAUUAUUGUUGAACGUGAUUAAAGGAUUGAAAAUUUAUGUUCUGUAAUUAAAUUAAUGUGAAUGUUUUGCAAUUAUUGAUAGUAGUAAAUAUAUGUAUAUGCUACAUAUUUGCUUGAACGUGUUGGAAUGUAAAAACACAAAUAAAUGCAAAUCUUAUUUUAUGGUCUGGAAUGAAAUUAAUAGAAUGACUAUGAAUUGUUAAUAGCAAUAAGUAUGUGCAGGCCAUACAUAUUUGGUUGGAAUUAAAUGUAUGUUGAAUUUGUUAGUCACCAAAGUGACCAAAUUUGUAAGAUUAUUUAAUUCCAAAUCAAUGAUUAUUUCAAUUAUACUUGGUUGGAAUUAAAUGUAUGUUGAAUUUGUUAGUCACCAAAGUGGCCAAAUUUGUAAGGUUAUUUAAUUCCAAAAUUAAUGAUUAUUUUGAUUACUCAUAGAAUAAUGGAUGCUAAAUUAUAUGGUUAUUGGUUUAUGGGUAAUUGAAAUUCAUUGUUAUAAGGCAUUUAUGGAUCGCUCAAAGGUUGAUUAGUUGUUCUUAUAAUUAAUGAAUAUAAUUGUAGACGAUUUGUGUGUAUCAUUAGUUUUAUUUAUAUGCCCAAAGGAAAUAGAUACUACUAAUUGGUGCAUAUUUAAUUGCCAAAUAAUGUUAAAAUUUUAUUAGUAUCAUUAUGUUUGUAUGUUGUGUGUUGAUGUAUCACCCAAAGGAGAACAUCAAUAUACAUUGACUGUUAUCUGAAUGAAUCAUAUGUGAUUGAGAGAUGGAAAUACCAUUGUUUCCACGUUUGAUCUUUAUUCCUAAGAUCACAUCCGCCUCCCCCAUAUCUUUCAUAUCAAACUUAGAAGACAAAAAUGCCUUAGUUUCAUCAACUUGAUCUUGGUCGGUACCAAAGAUCAACAUGUCGUCUACAUACAGACAAAUGAUAACUCCUUUGCCAUGAGUAUCAAACUUGCUGUAUAGACAUUUAUCUGCUUGGUUUAUAACAAAACCACUAGACAACACAACCUCAUCAAAUUUUUGAUGCCAUUGCUUAGGCGCUUGUUUCAAGCCAUAAAGAGAUUUCAUCAGUUUACACACCUUAUUUUCAUUUCCUGGCAUAACAAACCCUUCAGGUUGUUUCAUGUAUAUCUCUUCAUCCAAUUCACCAUUUAAGAAUGCAGUUUUCACAUCCAUUUGGUGAAUCAUCAGAUUGUGGAUAGCAGCAAGUGCUAACAACAGUCUAAUAGUGGAUAUCCUAGCUACAGGAGCAUAUGUAUCGAAAAAAUCAAUACCCUUCUUUUGCCUAAAGCCUUGGAUAACCAAUCUGGCUUUGUACUUGUCAACAGUACCAUCCACUUUCAUCUUUCUCCUAAAGAUCAUCUUACAUCCUAAUGGCUUACAUCCAGGAGGUAAGUCAACCAAUUUCCAUGUAUUAUUUUGCAUGAUGGAAUCCAUCUCACUUUGGAUUACUUCUUUCCAGAAUACAGCAUCCCUUGAAGCCAUUGCUUCACUAAAAGUCUUUGGGUCUUCCUCAACAUUAAGGCAAUAUUGAUAUUGAAAUUCAAUAUCAUUCCUUGACCCUUCAACCAAAUAGAGUUGAAAGUCAUCACCAAAUGACUUAGCUUUUCUUACUCUCGUACUCUUUCUAGUUUCAGUACUAGUUAAAGGUAUAUCCUCAAUAUUAACUGAGACUUUCGACAUGGAAUUCAUGUCCUUUGGCCUAGGUAUAGAUGUAAACCUUUGUUCAUGGGAAAAUGGGACAGAUUGUUGCUCUUGGGCUGGAGUCACCUGCCACCCCAUCUCAGGUCACGUCACUCAGCUCAACCUCAGCUGCAAUGGCCUUUACGGCAAUAUCCAUCCAAACAGUACGCUUUUUCAUCUUUCUCAUCUUCACUCACUCAACCUUGCUUUCAAUGAUUUUGAUGAAUCUCAUUUGUCAUCUCUCUUUGGUGGGUUUGUGAGCCUCACUCAUCUCAACUUGUCUAAUUCGUACUUUGAAGGGGAUAUUCCUUCCCAAAUCUCUCACCUUUCCAAAUUAGUCUCACUUGAUCUCUCAGAUAACAACCUCAACGGUUCAAUCCCAUCCUCACUCUUAACCCUCACACAUCUUACUUUCUUGGAUCUCUCAUAUAACCAACUCAGUGGUCAAAUCCCAGAUGUCUUUCCUCAGUCAAACAGCUUUCACGAAUUGCAUUUGAAUGAUAACAAAAUAGAGGGUGAGCUGCCAUCAACACUUUCAAAUCUUCAACAUCUCAUUCUCUUGGAUCUUUCAGAUAAUAAAUUGGAGGGCCCUCUGCCUAACAAUAUAACAGGGUUUUCAAACCUAACAUCGUUAAGGUUAAAUGGAAACUUACUGAAUGGGACAAUUCCUUCUUGGUGUUUAUCUUUGCCAUCUUUGAAGCAGUUAGAUCUAUCAGGAAACCAACUCUCUGGGCAUAUUAGUGCAAUCUCAUCAUAUUCCUUGGAGACAUUGUCUUUAUCCCACAACAAGUUACAAGGCAAUAUUCCAGAAUCAAUUUUUAGCCUUCUAAACCUUUAUUACUUAGGUCUAUCAUCAAACAAUCUAAGUGGAUCUGUCAAAUUUCAUCGUUUCUCCAAGCUUCAAUAUUUGGAAGAACUUCACCUUUCAUGGAAUGAUCAGUUAUCACUAAAUUUCGAAUCCAAUGUCAAUUAUAAUUUCUCUAAUUUAAGGUUGUUGAACUUAUCUUCUAUGGUUUUAACUGAAUUUCCAAAAUUAUCGGGAAAAGUCCCAAUUUUAGAAUCACUCUAUUUGUCCAAUAACAAACUUAAAGGUAGAGUGCCACAUUGGUUGCAUGAAAUAUCGUUAUCUGAAUUGGACCUCUCUCAUAACCUAUUGACACAAUCAUUGCACCAAUUCUCGUGGAACCAACAACUCGGUUCCCUUGAUCUUAGUUUUAACUCAAUCACUGGUGACUUCUCUUCCUCAAUUUGCAAUGCAAGUGCAAUUGAGAUUCUCAACUUGUCUCACAACAAGUUGACAGGAACCAUUCCACAAUGCCUUGCAAACUCAUCAUCCCUUCUAGUUUUGGAUCUACAACUGAACAAGCUUCAUGGCACUUUGCCAAGUAUCUUUUCAAAGGACUGUCAGCUCAGAACUCUGGAUCUCAAUGGCAACCAAUUAUUAGAAGGUCUUUUGCCAGAAUCUAUAUCCAAUUGCAUUCAUCUGGAGGUUUUAGAUCUUGGAAACAAUCAAAUAAAGGAUGUGUUUCCCCAUUGGCUUCAAACUCUACCAGAAUUGAAAGUAUUGGUUUUGCGAGCCAACAAGUUGUACGGUCCCAUUGCCGGUUUAAAGAUCAAGGAUGGAUUCCCCAGUUUAGUCAUCUUUGAUGUCUCUUCCAACAACUUCAGCGGCCCAAUACCAAAAGCCUACAUACAAAAAUUUGAAGCGAUGAAGAACGUUGUUAUAGAUACCGAUCUGCAGUACAUGGAAAUUUCUUUUUCUUAUGGUGGAAACAAGUACAGUGAUUCUGUGACUAUAACAACAAAAGCAAUUACUAUGACAAUGGAUAGAAUUCGAAAUGACUUUGUAAGCAUUGAUUUAUCGCAAAACGGAUUUGAAGGAGAGAUUCCAAAUGCCAUUGGAGAGCUUCAUUCACUCAGAGGACUCAACCUUUCCCAUAACAGACUUAUUGGUCCUAUUCCCCAAUCCAUGGGAAAUUUGACAAACUUAGAAUCAUUGGAUCUCUCCUCAAAUAUGCUCACUGGUCGGAUACCUACAGAAUUAACCAAUUUGAACUUUCUUGAAGUGCUAAAUCUUUCCAAUAACCAUCUUGCGGGAGAAAUACCUCGAGGACAACAGUUCAAUACUUUUUCCAAUGAUUCCUACAAGGGAAACUUGGGGUUAUGUGGACUCCCAUUGACAACAGAAUGCAGCAAGGGCCCUGAACAACAUUCUCCACCUUCAACUACCUUGAGGAGAGAAGCAGGAUUUGGAUUUGGUUGGAAACCAGUGGCUAUAGGAUAUGGAUGUGGAGUGGUCUUUGGAGUGGGAAUGGG